RNAcentral lists this long non-coding RNA (105194 nucleotides) under Marmota monax (woodchuck). The stretch from base 25846 to 25914 matches the Rfam family "tRNA". The record is from RNAcentral. Lineage: Eukaryota; Metazoa; Chordata; Mammalia; Rodentia; Sciuridae.
UGCUGUGUGCCUGGAUUUGUGCCCUAGACUGGGUAAACAGAGGUCACAUUUUUUAUUUGUGGUUCAGGCCUAUAAUCAAGUAAGCCCAGUGUGCCCUGAUAGUUGUAAGAAAAAGUGUCUUCCAGGAAGAGAGAGGAGCAUGAGGACAGGAGUAAUGAGCCAGUCCUGGCACGGAGGGCUGGAUGAUUAGAGGUAAAUCUCCAGAAUCAGAGAAAGUGAAGCUAGUUCUGAAAGACAAAAGAUUAUUCAGUGUUGAAAGUGAAUAAGGUUUGAGGCAACAGUGAAUCCGGAAGAAGACCCUGGUCUGCCUUGACAGGGCACAUGGUGGAAUUCUGUGAGUGGUUAUUAUGGCUGGGGCAUGGGUUGGGGGAGAGAGAGACAUGGGAGGUGACGCUGAAGCCGCAGCAGCUUAGGGGAACUUGUACCUGGUGCUAGAGAGUUUGGGGUUCCUCCUGUUCUGACUGAGAGAAGCUAAUGUGGGUUUUCAACUGGGGCAGCUGUGCAGCCAAGCAGGGUAGUAGCACUAUGAGAUUUUCAUCCACAGGUGGCUUUUAGGAAAUUACGAUCCAAUAGAGCACAUCCAGGAGACACAUUUGAAGGUGGAGCUGAAGCAAGAGAAAACCAGAGCCUGAAUUAGUGUAAAUCCAGUGGGAAGGGGAAAAGGAUAGGAUUUGGGAGCUAUUGAUAAAAGAGUUAUGAGAGCACAGAUGACAAUGUUGACCAUAGAGCUUUAAGAUUUAUGACAAGAAAAACACCACGGACCAUGAUGCCAUUAGCCAAGAGAUGGAUUCCAGGUUCACUAGUUUUAAGAAGAAAGGAAAGUAAAUGUUGAGUUUGCCUUCAAACACAUGUAUUUGAAGUCCUAAUGGGACACGCAGGUAGAAAUAGUGAAUUGUGGUGGAAAGGGUGUCAAAAAUGUAGGUUUGGUGUGUUCAAGGGAACAAUCUGGGCUUGAAACAGAUUAAAAGUCAUCAGCACAUGAAUGGUAAUUAAGCUGUCUUUUAAUAAGCAUAGGCUUUACUCUGAGUGAGAGGAGGGCUAGGCAGAGGAGAGGAUGGGCACUCACAGCCGAGAAGAGCAUUUGAGGGUGAGGAAAUAAAGAAGAGACCAAGAGAGAGUUUCCUGGAGGACAUCAGUGAAAGAUUUCCCUACAGGCAAGGGAGUCAACAGUUUGGGGAGUUAAAUGUCAGCAGAGCAGCAGGGAACAAGAUAAGGAGUGAAAAGGGUCACUUGGCUGUGCCAGCUGGUAGGUCACUAGAGACCCUGGAAGAACAGUUUCUGAGGAGUGACAAGGCCCCAAGCCAGAGGACAGUGGGUUAGAGAGUAAACAAGGACGCUACGAGGUGGGGGCAGGGAGGGUCAGUGAUGCUGAAGGUUGCAGGGCUCCUUGGUGACAGAGCUGGGACUGUCCCUCAGUGCCCUGACUUUCACUUCUUCAUCUUUAAAUUUAUUUAUGUACAUAUGCCCCCCCCCCGCACUAUGUUCUAAAUGACUUGGCAUUAAAUACCUCAGAUAUUUUAUCAUACAAAGCGAGUUCUGAGUGAUUGUCAAGAACUGGGAAGGUCUGAGAUUUUUAUUUUCCUUGCAAGCUAACAAGUUGGCCUGCCACACGCGCUGGGAGGCCGGCAGAAGACAGGAGACUUCUGAGUAGAGACAGACAGCUAGCUGUCUACUGGCAAUGGUCACAGUAACCAACUAACAGCAUUUCCUCAAGCCCUUGCCCAGAGCCUUAGUUUCCACAGGUGACACGGAGAGGGUUGUGCGAUGCCCGUGCAGAUGGUAGGUGGUUAUAGGAAGGGGACCCAGAGGUUAGGGAAACUGAGUUUUUUUAUAAUGGGUGGGGACAUACUAACCUUGUCCCAGAGAGAGAAAUCAACCAUAUCAUACCAGACAUUAACCAGAUCUUCUGCUAUGAAGAGAAAUGCUACCUCUAGCUUCCAAGGCUAUUAGCUAUACAAACAGUCUUGAAAAACCAGUCCAGGACAAAAGGAGGUCAUAGCUCUGCAUAUGUAAUGUGUAGAAAUGCAAGACACUCGUGAGAAAUUGUCUGCUAAUAAUGAUAUGGUAUACAAGUACAAUUUGCCUACCCAAUAUUCAUUUUCUUCCAUUUAGUACCAAACUGAAUACAUGUCACAUAAUAGUAUACCUAAUUAAAAAUAAUGUGAUAGCUGGAGCUCUCGAUGUCUUCUUGUAACCUUGAUGACUACAGCUACAUAGGAAAAAAAGUAAAGUGGAAUGACAGAAUUCUGGGUCCCUGAUGGUUUUGUGGAGCUAUUAUAGCAGCUAUGAGCUGUUUAUCGUGAGUUGUGUGUGUGGAUAAACCUUUAUGUGUUGAGUCAUUAUAGCUAGGUUCUAUUAUUAGCAACAAUACACUAAUAGUUAAUAUUAGUAACUGAAUAUGAUUACCAACAAAAUGGGGGGUGGGAGCACUAGAUAAUAGUCCUUAGAUAAUAUAAAGACUUAGAAGAUAUUUAGAAGAUUAAAUUAUGAUCAUGAAUGUGCUACUAACAUACUGUGUUAACCUGUGCAUAUCAAUUAACUUUUCUCAGCUUAAUAUUAUAAACUUCUUAGCUCUAAUAUUUUUUGAGCCUAAGUUUUAAAAAAAUUCCUUUUGUCUUUAUAUUUUAAAACAAAUUAAUUUUAAUUAAUUGAGAUUUGCAUCUCAUUUACCCUUGAACGGUGAUCCAUCUGAACAAUAAUUGGGGGCAAAAAUCCAGAUAAUAGCCAAAUUUGCUGCUUUCCUUCCCCCAACCUCUGAUUAUGUGUACUUUGGCAGGGAAUGUGACUUUCUAAUAGAUUUCCAGAUAUCUUUAAGCUUGGUAGGGAGAGAUUUAGUGAAACAUCUCAUAAAAAUGCAAACAUCUUGUCUGUCACGACUUCUAUGUUCCUAAUGCUUAGCGCAGAGCCUGGCAUAUAGUAAACUUCCCUCAAACAAACUUGAAAGAAUGAAUAGACACCUCAUUUUAGAAACUAGCAAAUUCAGGACAAGAAAAGGGUGGGGCAGGACCCCCUUGAUCAUAUCUGAUAAACUGCUGCUUCCACCUCCAUGAGGGACGUGACCCAGCAUAUUUAGUAGUCUAAAAAUGAAAAGGUCAAAAAGAAAAAAAAAUAUUUAAAUGAUUCUUCUUUUUUUAUUUUAUAAAGAAUAGUAGGUCAUUUGUUCAUUGAAAAUAUAGCUGUCAGUUUAAAUUAUGCCCUCAUUUGUACAAAUUGAUAUUGGAAAAUUAGGUUUUACUGAAUGACUAUGUAUUUUUUUUUCCGUGUGGGCUAAAAAAUUCCAAUUGCUCUCACCUUUUCUUAUGAAUUCUAUUUUCUAGGCUCUUAAUCACUCUUUUUUGUUCUCCCCUGAGAUUGAAUAAAAAAAUACUAACCACAACAAAUACCACCUGAUGAUUUUUAUAUGAACAUUAGCCCUGUCCUCACUUUUAAACACAUCAUGCCAUUAGUGACACUAGCAUCAGAUUAAGUCUUUUAUGAUAUAAUAGAAUAAGUUUUACCUUGCUAAUAUGUGGAAAUGCCUCUAAGUUUAUUUUAGACUCUGUGUGCAGGACACAGGCUAUAUAGAUAUUACCAAAUAUCUACAUAAUUAAUAUCAAGCAAACUAAACAGCAAGUUGGUGUAAGGGAUUUUUACAUUUUCAUUCUAAUUAGUUCAUUUUUCCACUAAGGAAUCAAUCUGUCUGUUCAUCUAAAUAACAAGUAUUAUUUCCAUAUUCUGUAGCAGGUUCCAACGUAAAUGCUCAUGUAAAAAUCAAAGAAAGUCCAGAGGAGCUUAUAGGCUCAAAGGUUAAGAAUUCCAUGAGGAAUUCUUAUGGAAUUCUUAUAGAAUUUCAUUCUAUAAGGAAGCAUGAUGAACACAAAGAUGUAAGGAUAGAGUGAUACUGGGCUUCAAAAAUGUCCCCUCGUGUAUUUGGAUUUAGAGGUCUUGAAGGACAAGCAGUUGGCUAGGCAAAAAGGGGUGGCUGGACAAGUAGCUUCAUGAUGAAAUACUAACAUGUAUGUCAUAUGCUGGUGGCUACAAUGAGAGGACUUUGGAAGACCAUUUCAUCUGUACAUCCUUGAUACAGGGCCACUGCUGAAGUGAAGGACCUUCCCUGUGUUGGGGGCUGCGCUUAGAUGCUGGAGACAGAGCAGGGAAUGAACUGAGCACGGCGUGAGGCUUCAUGCCUGGACGAGGAACCAAAUGAAUGCAUUGGUUAAAAUGAGAGUGGCCUAGUUUUCUAAGGAGCAUCUCAGCCAGUUUCCACUGUUCUAGAUUAAUUAUUAACAUUUUUCCUUUCAUUCCCCAAAGUGUUCCAGUGUUAUGGUCUGGGUCUGGAAUGUCCCCUGAAAAGCUUGUGUGGUAGCAAUGUCCAGAAGUGAAAAAGAUUGGAUGAUUAGAGUCAGAAUCUCAUUAGUAGAUUACUUCAUUUGAAGGAUUAGUAAUUUGAGUGGACCACUGGAAGGCAACUGUAGGCAGGGGGGGUACGGUCAGAGAAAGUGGGUCACUGGCAACAUUCCUUUGGGGACUAUAUCUUGUCCCUGGAUCGCCUCUCUCUCAUCUGCUGUGAGCUGAUCAGGUUUCCUCUGCCAUACCCUUCAGCCAUGAUAUUCUGCAUCACCUUGGACCCAGAGCAAAGGAGUCAGCCAACCAUGGACUGCACCUCUGAAACCAUGAGCCAAAAUGAAUUUUUCCUCUUCUGAGUUGUUCUGGUCAGUUCUUUUGGUCACAGAGAUGCAAAGCUGAUUAACGCACAAUUUAAAUGAUAAAACUGUAUGGUCAUCCUUGUCAUGGGGCAAUUUUGGUAACUAAUACCAUAAAGAGGUAUAGGGUAUAAUGGGAGUGCUGGAAGAACACCAAGAAGGAAAUUCUAAACUAGUUGAUAGACUGAUACACUGAUAUUACGUAUGUCUUAUUUCUGGAAAUUUCCAAGUAGUAAAGUUGAAGUAAAUUGCACACCAGAUAAAAAAAUACUUAAACUAAUUUUGUUAAUAGCCUGGUCCAAGCAAACCCUGAUAACUCAGUUGUACUGGUGUGGAAAUGAUGAUGUCAAAUGGGGAAUCAAGUCAUGUCCAUGAGAAGGCAGUUUUACUCAAAUUCAGUUGAGAGAUGCACAGUCAAUAGUGGAUGCUUUGGAGGAGGAACAAUAGUAAUCAAUUCACAAGAUGAACAGGUCUGGAGGAUUGACUAUUCUGUUGCAAGAAUGUUUGGGCUGUCAUCAAAGUAAAUCCUUAAGUCACUCAAAUGAAAACCUGUUUCAGAAUUUCUUUGAGGACCUGGAGAUAUCCGAGCAAAAUGCUUAUGCAUACUUAGAAAGACACAGAUGAACAUUCAAUGACUCAAGGUAUUUUUUCCCCAUUAAACAAUUUUAAAUACAUUGUAGAAAGAGACAUGAACAUGUGAACUUCAAAAGGCAAAACGUGGUUCAAAGUUGAAAUGAAAUCAUAUUGUGUGAUGAUGACACUUCUGUUUUUGAGGUGAGGGGGACAUUUCUUGAGCUGAGAAUCAUCUAGACAGAAGACCCCAGCAAGCUAAUGAAGGCAAGAGGACUGAAAAGACGACUGUUCUCAUUUAUUCCUUUAUUAUUUCUGUCCAGGGAAGGAGAGAAACAAGCCAGGAGAUCAGUGGCUGAGGAAGGCUAAGUGAUUGCUUGAAAUUUAUACUACACACACUUGAUGAUACCUCAGUUAAAUCUCAGCUAAUUAAACAUCAACGAUUGUGUUAUUUCUCCUUUUCAUUUUUCAAGGUACCUCUUGGAUCUGAAAAAAAUGGGUAUUGUUUGAUAUGUGGAGUUGGUAAAGGACAGAAGAUUCUACUGAUUCUUUCUAGCAUAGCCUGUAGGAGAGGAAUUUUUAUAGAAAUGUCUUCUUCAUUGCCAAAAGUAGCCAUACAUAUUGCACAGACUAUCUUGCAGUAGGGCAAAUAAAAAAUAGAAAAGAGAAAAGAUGGAACUAAACAGAGAAGAUUAACAUGUUCUCUGUAAAAGAACAACAAGAAAAAUUAUCCUGGGCCCUGUAUGUGUUAGAAUUCUUGGUUACAAGCAACAAUUGCUUUUAGUUAACUUAAGCAAAUGAUGGAGAAGCCAAAGCCCUGGGUUUUAGGAAGCCCAAGAACCAGGAAACUCCUAGAAUCAAGGAAGUAAAUGGGACUGUGUCUGCAGGGAGCUGCCAUUAGCAUAAAGAUCCAAGCUACAGGAGGGGUCCCCAAAAGGCCCACUUUGGAUAUGAGUCAUCCUUUGAUGCGCGCAGCAAAGUCUUGUGAUAGGCAAUGAAGAAUGUAGUUCCCCACAGCAAAAGUGACUUAAGAAACAUGUGACGGCACCAAAAGAUGUCUUAGGGCAACUUCUUUCUCACCAUGAUAGUUCUAAUGCUCUUUUCUUCUACAUUACUUUCUUAGGUAAGUCAAAAUAAAGUACCACAAAUCAGGUGGUACUUGAAGUACUACAAAUAAAAAAAAAGAAAAAAAGAAAGAAAGAAAAUAAAUUCAUUCUCUCAUAGCUCUAGAGACCAGAAGUCUGAAACUACGGUGUCAGCAUGGCCAUGAUCCUUCUAAAGGCUCCAGUGAAAAGGACCCCCGAGCCUCUUCCAUAUUUUGGUGCCUCCUGGGGAUUCUUGGAGCUCCUUGCUUGGUGGUCACAUCAGUCUAAUCUCUGCUUCCAUUGUCACAUGGUCUUUUCUGUGUGUGUGUGUUUGUGCACUCUCUCCUCUUCUGAUAAUGACUCCUGUCACUGGGUUUGCAUCCUGUCUUCAUCAUCUAUGAUCUCAUUCCUUACAUUGGCAAAGACCCUAUUUCCACAUACAUUCAUCGCUUGAGGGUCCGGCUAGGCACGAACUUGGGGAGGGGACAAUUUAAACUCAUACACUCUGUCUCCCUUUGGAAUCAUUUGCUUCCUUUUACCAGAAACUAACUCUACUGUAUACUCUCGAUGCCAAUCAAAUGAGGUUUUGCAUAGGCUGUGGGUCUUUAAGGGUAGGGACCCUGGGUGUUCAUCUUCAUUAUCCAGAAUCUUAUAAAGUGCCUUGUGCAUUGCAGGCACAAAAUCAGUUUAUGGAAUGAAUGAAUACGUAGAUGAAUUAUUAAAUGAAGAGAAGAAAUAGGGGGAAAAAAGACAACUACAAAGUGCUUGGGGAAUGACAUUUGGCAUGUGGCCCUACGUGAGAUUAUAGAACCCCAUAGGCUUGUCACAUACCAAACAACACAACUGCAGAAACAGCAAAUAAAAGCAUGUUUCCUGUCCCUGUGAGGGUUUAUAAUGAGCUGAAUAUUGAGAAAAUUAACUUUGUUUCGACUUUGAUUCUUCCAAGUUCUCAGAUAAAAUAGACAAUUUACAACUUGCAUGUAUUUUCCCUCGACUUCUCAUCUAAUUUGCCUUGUCAUAGCGUGAUUACAUCAUGUAAUCCUGUUUAUCUCCUCCUUGCCUUGGCCAACUUCCUUUACUUUCACACCCAUUGCAGAGGACAUUUGCUUUCCCUUCAAGGAUUUUAUUUUUAUACUCUGCUUGUCUGCACUUAAUUUACAUCUUCUCCUCCAGCUUCAAAGGUUUGCCGAGGCUAUGACUUCACCUCCUUAACAGUGGCCACUUUCUUCUUUGAAGUUGCGUAUUCAUUGGAAGAGAGAUGCUGUGUCUUUUGGCUCCUUCUCCUCAUCCAGGCUGUCGGGAGAUGAGGGAAAACCACAGUUGCUCUAAUGAUUUUAUGGGAUAAACCUGAUACUUUUCUGCAUAGAAGGAGCCAGUUCACUUCCUUGCUAUGACUUGGAGAAAAAUGAUCCAAAUUUCAGGUGAAAUGUUAAGGAGCUUUGCUUCUUAGACACUGCUCUGUCAUGGAAGGUUUGGGGGCAGAAGCGGACAAGGGUCCAGCCCCACAAAUCUCCCAGCAGAGGCAGGCAGCAGGCUGUCUUCCAUUGCUGACCCCUGAUUCCCACAACAUAACCUUCCUCCUUUGCUGUGCCCACCCUGAUUGCACUUGGAGUUUACGAUGCAAGAUUUGUUUUUCAUCCUGUUCCAUGUCCUUGGAGAGAGCUCACUUUGAUGAUGGUGCCAGAAACUAAUUGUGAGGGGAACCAAUUGUAUGGGAGGAUGGCGUCCAUGGAGGCCAGAGGGCCUCCACAUCCUGCAGAGUAGGGAGGUGCCGCAAGGGGAUGUGUUUCCAGGGAAGGUUCCAGACUUCCUUUCCUGCGGACCUCUCAGAAUAGGCUGCUCAACUCCCCCACUGGAAUUACAGAGUCUUGUGUUUGGAAGGCCCUAUGGAGGCAGUUCAUGCUCUUUAGUAAUGUAAAUUCCUCGGAUUAGAAGAUCCAUGCUGUGGCCCAAUGUGGUGCUAAAGAAAAGAAGCAGCUUGGAGUUAGAUGGCCCAGAGUCAGAAUCUUGGCUCUGCCUCUGGUUGUGUUACCUUAUUAACAGUGUUAUUAACAAUAAUAGCCAACAUUUAUUGAACAUAUACAAUAAAUCACAGGACCAAGUGCUUUACCUUCAACAGCUUAUUUUUAAUCUCAAUACAUUCCAUGGGUAAAGAUCAUUAUUGCUGUUAUGUUACACAAAGUAGAACACAAACACACAACAAGGAAUCACGGAAUUAGUAAGAGUCAAAAUCAGGUCUUAGAGCAAGGUAAGGUCCUUGGGGACAUUUGCAAGUUUAUUUGUUAAACAGCUACAAGCUAUUUUCAUAUACCAUACCUUGCUAAGCCUUGUUUUCUCCUCUGGAAAAUAGGGAAAUAAUCCUAUUUAUAGAUUGACAGGAUUCAAUAAAUCUGUGGCCAGAUUGUGAAAGUGAGUAGCCAACCCCCCGAGAAUAUACAUUUUCAGUAGAAUCGUCAAUGCUUUUUUCUCCUUUCUUCUGCAAAAUUACAAACCCUAAAUCUCACCUUGGUGGACAAAGAACAUUGCUGUUCCAUGUGUCCACAGGAGAAUGUUUGUUGAUUGGUCCCAGCUAUUCCAUGGGGUGAGUGACUUGGAUGUUCCCAGUCAGUCCCUUGAGGGCCGAGGCAUGAAGGGGACCCAGCAGCGCAACCAGGGAUUUCCUCUGUCCUCUGGGCACAUCCCACUUAGCACUAGGCCCCAUGCAUGUUGGCCAGAGGAGACUCCUGUUACACAAUAUAUUAAUGAAAUGUGGUUCAAAAGGGCACCAAUAAGUAUUACACAAGCUCCCGCUCCUUCAGGGUGAAGAAACUUGAGUAGACUUCUGGCUCCAAUCAAUGUCGUAGCCCUUGGAGUUCCCAGUGGAGGAACCCAAGCCUAAGGUCCACUUUGGCCUUGCUUCCCUAAGGAGCUUUUAUUGGCUUGCUCCAUACAAUUCUCACGAUGGUCCUCCAAUGUCCGUGCCCCCACUGGACACACAGGAAAAUGACCCUCAGCCAGGAUCAGUAGCUUACUCAACACCAUGCACGAAGGAUUGAAGCCAGAUCUGUCUUAUGUCAAAGCUCUUUACAUAGCUCCACUUUCCAUGAUCACACUGGUCUGUCAGUCCAGAAGGCAAUAUUUAGUUAUUUACAUACUGAGUAUUUAGGAUGGGCUAGAUAUAGAUGCUGGUGAUAUGCCUAUGAAUAAAUACAGCUAUUCUUUCCUCAUGCAGAGCUUACAAAAAGAAUUCAGAAAACAGACAGUGACAAACAAGCUUAGCACUAGGCCCCGAAACUCACUUACUAUCUAAAUAAUCUGCUUGAUAUUCUGUAACAUUACUCCGAGUAUAUGAGAUGAUAGGUGAUGGCAAGUGCUAAGAAGAAAAUAAAUGCUGAGGUAACUUCUGAACAGAAUUUGGAUGGAGUAGAAAAGUGAUUUCUAUAGAUAUUGGAGAAGAGCAAAUCAGGAAAUGAUAUAAAAACCCACAGUUGCCCAUGCAGGAGGGUACUUGGUGUGUUUGAGGAGGAGCAUGGGGGCUGGCUAGAGAUAUCUAGGUGAAAGGGUCAUCACCAAUGAUCCCUGAAAAGCCAUUGUAGGGACGUGGUCCUCUUUUCUGAGAAAAGAUGAGCUGGAGAUAAGAAGCGAAGUGGUGGGACAUGUGGUACAAGUUCAAUGAGUCAAUAAGGGAUUGAAUUCCACAGACGGCUCCCAAUUCUGGCUGUGCAGCAGAUCCCCUACAAUCAGGUUCAAGACCUAAGUGUCCAGGCUCCACCAGAGAGCAUGCUUCAGGUGACCUGCAGCACAGGUUAGGUUGGUAGUCCUGAUGCCUGGCUCUGUUUGGCAACCACUUCCCUAGAUGCACUCUAAGACUUUUUUGAUUUCCUUCCUUAUAUAUAAUCUUGACUCUGUCUAGGGUAUUUUCAUAUUGUAAAUACAAUAUGACAUGUUAGCAUGUGUGAAAGGCUUCUGUUGUUGUUAUCUAUGAAAGCAAUUACAGUGUGAUCUCACUACUUCCUCCCUCAUCUCGGUUUCUAUUCUUCCUCUGAACACAGGGAUGGGAUUUAAAUAGCUACGGAGAGCAAAGGACUGCAUUCUAAUGCAAAAAGCACUUGGAUCAAACCUACUAUUUCUCUGUGUACAUUUUGAUGGCCUGCAAAUUGACCUGAUCAAACUGGAAACGCAUUUGCUAUCUAAAUAAUCUGCUUGAUAUGCUGUAACAUUACUCCAAUUACUCAUCCCUUCAAUAAAUUUAAUCUAUUGAUUUGGAUGCCUUAUUCUAUUUCACGCUCUCUCUCUCUUGUUCAAGAAAAGCCUCAGUGGUCUCAUAAUGAAAGUGAAAUAAACCUAAAAUGCUCAGGGCACUUUCUUUCCCUACCCCCCACACUUCUUUAUACCAAACUCAGACAUGAUAAGAAACUUGAAAAAUUGCUAUGUUUUCAGGUGAAUGAAUUUUGCAUUUGAGAAGUGACAUGGAUAGCUUUACCUACUGAGUCAUGUGUCAUGUUCUAGAAUGUGUUUCAUAUUGUGUGGUCACAAUGAAAACUCAGAUUCUGUUUUAGUCAAUUAUUUCACUGCUGUGAUUAAAGAUCUGACCAGAGCCAUGUAAAAGGAGAAAAAGUUUGUUUCGGGGCUCACAGUUUCAGAGGUUUUAGUCCAUAGAUUGCCAGCUCCAUUCAUCAGGGCUCUCUAGGUGACACUGAACAUCCUGGUGGGAGAGAGUGACAGAAGGAAGCAGAUCACAUCACCGUGAUCAGGAAGUGGAGAGAAUCCACUCACCAGAUGCAAAUAGAUACCCAAAGCCAUGCUCCAAUUCCAACCUCCUCCAGCCACACCCUACCACUCAGUUACCACUCGGUUAAUCCUUAACAGGGGAUUAAAUAACUGAUUGAGUUGAGACUCUUACAAUCCAAUUAUUUUUCCUCUGAACCUUCUUGCAUUGUCUCACAUGUGAGCUUUUGCCGGGGAACCUCACAUCCAAACCAUAACAGAUGCCUAAUCUUUUAGAGAAUCAUUUUGACCAUGAAUUCUUCUGGUACUAAUCAAUGAACUUCUUCUAUUAAGUACCAUCUGUAAAUACUUUCUGUUUACAGACCUAUCUGCAUUGCAACUGCUCAGCUUUGCCAUUGUGGCAUAAAACAGCCACAGACAGUAUGCAAAUGAACAGGCCUGGCUGAGUUUCAAUAAAACUUUAUGCAGAAACAGGCUGUGGGCCAGAUUUUGCCAGCAGGAUAUAGUUUGCUGAAACCUAAUCCAAUCUAAUUUCCCUAGUUUUCUUUUCAUCUUAGAUGAUGAAACUGAGGCCUAGAUGUGAUAUUUGACUUGGACUAGCUGUAUCACAUCUCAGAUGAGAACCUGCAAUUUUGACCCUCAGUUCAGUGUUCUGCUAGCUACAGCAGGUGGGCCUCUCCCAGGCCCUCGUACUGUCACGCAGCCCCAGGAACUCCCUCUUAUAACAUAGAGCUAGGAAUGAGGAGUACCAGCUGGUGAAGUUGAUUGGGCAUGAGCCCACUGCCAGGAGUCUUUGUGUCUAUUACCUCUCCAUCCUGUCCCUGUUCUAGUCUGGGGCUCUGAGAGGCACUUCUCACCGAAUCUGUUUUAAAGAUGCAUUACCUUCUGUAGCCACAGCAGGUAAGAACUAAGACUAAAAGAACUGCCCGUAUGUAUCUUGCAGUCAGCUGGGAAGAUGGCACUUGUCCUGACCUGAGUUGCCCUUUAGAGGCAAUGCGUUACCCUCUCUUUUGAAAAAAAUGUGUCCUUUCAAAUAGCUUCCUAUUUGCUUUCCUAUAGUACCACUGAUUCUAGCUAAAAAUUCUUUCUUUGGGGCCUACACCCCAUUUGUUUUGCUUUUUUGAGAAGUGGGAUAAAAGCAAGUGAAUUGUUUGUGCCUAUGCAACAGGAAACUCCAAGUUCCAAUAUCCUGCAGAUCAUACAGCCUAGCUCCCAAAUAUAUAUUUGGAUAUAAUUUUGUAGUCUUGUUAUGUUUAUCUUCCUCUUUUAUUUUGCCUUGCCAUAAAACGAUGCUUAUGUUUAUUUCUUACUUUUUCUUAUAGGAAUUUCUCAUAUGGACUUGACUUUAGACCAGAGUCAGGCAAGUUCUGGAACUUGCUGUAGGAAUGUCACUUCCUGUUUAUUAACAAAGGAUGGAGGACAAUAGUUUCUCCUGCUAAUUGCAACCCUCUCUACUCUGUGCUACUAACUCAUCAACAAAGAUUCAACGGCUGGGUUGUGCUCUUUCCCCCUAGUUAGAAUGACCAUGCCUAUAUUUCAAGUUAAAUCCUGAAUUCCAGAAUGAUUUGCUUCCUUCUCAUUUUAAGAAUAAAAUCAGAAGUAAAGACAUUGGUGGACAUUUGUGGAAGUGCUUUGCAAAUACAAAAUAACAUGUUUAUUGUCACUUUUAUUGUUUCUAUUUUCAGCAUGCAAUCUAGGCUCCUUUGUUGACCUGUCAAGUGUCUAGAUACUAGAACAAGAAGAAACAAUUCAAUAUGUUUUUUAGCAUCUGGCUGUUGGACCUCCCAUUUCUUAAGUGUGAUGAAUAAAAUGCAAUUCCUUCAUUAUUACUAAAACAAAUUGUUUUUAGUGAUUUAAAAUGUUUGAAGAGAAAUACAGCCCUGCCCUUUUAAGGAUCAAAAGCCAUUUGUAUAAGCAGAGAAAAUAAGGUUGUAAAAAUCCCAUGUAACAAAAGCUGUAGUUAAAAGGUGAUUUCAGGGCUGGGGACACAGCCCAGUGGUAGAGCACUUGCCUAGUCCAUGCAAAGACCUGGGUUAAAUCUCGGGCAAUCACAAAAACAAACAAACAAACAAACAAAUACUUAAGUGUAUGCAAACUAAAUUCUGCCAAACAAAGUAGUUCAAAGAAACAAUGUAGACCUAUGAUUUUCUACCGACCUUUUUAAAAACUGAAGUUAAGUAUUAGAAUACUUACUGAAAAAAAAAAAAUCAGAGAGGAGUAGUGAUGUUGGAAAUUGUCCUUCCUUAUAAUAGCAGUGUAGAAAGGUACAAUCUGGGGUCAUGGGUGAGGUGACUAAAUAAAGCCAAAUGUUUCACUUUUUAGGUUUUACUUUUUUUUUUUUUUGUAAUGCUGGGGAUCAAACCCAGGGUCUCACCCAUGCUAGGUAAGCACUUUACCUCUGAGCUAAACCCCCAGCCUACAAAAUAUAUUUUUAUUGAUAGUCCUAUCUAUGAUAAUCAAAACAGGCUUAUUUAGUCUAAUAGGAAAAGAGUGAGCAGUUAACAGGGUCUCCUUAAGGACCCAUAGCAUAUCAAUCUCAGUGUUUGUGUCAAUUUCUGUCUUCAGCUUUUAGUAGACUAAUUGAUUAGCUGAUUGAUUAAUUGAUUUCCUAUUAUAUGCCAGGUUAUUUCUGUUUUAUGGGCCAAUAUUUCUGCUACUAGCAUGUGACUUUGAUAUAGUUACUCACAGAAACUUUCUUUCCCACCCUUCCCUGGGUUUUAUUACUAUCUUGUCUGUUUGGGCCACUUUAACAAAACACCUGAAACAUGAUAUAUUACAAACAAUAUAAACACAUUUCCCAAAGUCCUAGCUCUGGGAAGUCCAAGAUCAAGGCACCAGUACAUUCUAUGUCCUGGUUCAUCGAAUGGCACCUUCUUUUUUUUUUUUUAAUUUUUUAUUGUUGGUUGUUCAAAACAUUACAUAGUUCUUAAUAUAUCAUAUUUCACACUUUGAUUCAAGUGGGUUAUGAGCUCCCAUUUUUACCCCAUAUACAGAUUGCAGAAUCACAUCAGUUACACAUCCAUUGAUUUACAUAUUGCCACCUUCUUGCUGUGUCCUCAAGUAGCAGAACAGGUGUCCUAGCCAGCUCUUUACAAUCUCCUUUAAGGACAUUAAUUCCCAUUCACAAGGACUCCACCCUCAUGAUUCUUAUCACCUCUCCAAAGAUCCAUUUCCUAAUCCUAUCCCUUUGAAGGUCAGGAUGUCAAUGUAUGAAUUUAGAGUUGUUCACAGACAUUCAGACCACAGCAAUGAAGGGUUCGUAUUUUAUUCAUUACAGUUUUCAUAGCUCAUUCUGCUAAUGAUAAAGUAAAGGAAUGCCAAAGUUUCAGAAGAGUUCAAUGUAGUAUAACACUGGAUGAGCUUGCUUUCUUUUGUUUUUCAAACUUUGAUCUAUAUCUCCUGAAUACUUACUAAGGCUCUGAUGACAUGCACAUAGUAGGAACACAGGGUGAGUGAACUAAGACCCAUGCUCUAGGUGGAGAAACACCAUGUGAGCAAAGAAAUGUCACAUGCUGUGGCAUGUACUUUAAUAAAAUAUAAAAGUUACUGGGCAUAGAGGAAAGGACUUGUUAGCUUCUGGACAAAGGGCCAUCCUCCCUGGAUCAGUGACCCUUGAUGUGAAUUGUGGAGAUAAACAGGGGAAUUAUUACAGCUCUCUUGUGAGACUAGCUGCAUUAUCUGACAGAUCCUGCUUUCAAGAAAAUAAAUUCUCCACCUACUGUUUUAGGCUUCAGAGACCUUCAGCUGCUUCUUCCAUUCAAUAGUCCUUUCCUAAGUCUAGACAAUGGGCAAACUCCUUUACAGCUGGGAAAUAUUUUGUCUACUUGUGACCCUAUCCUCAAAAUUGCAGGUGACUUUUGAUCAGCCUUUGUUUGAAAUCCCUCCUUAUUAUUUCUCCAGUAAGUUUCAAUGGGUCUCUUUGGAAGUAGAUCUCAUUGCAUGUUUUUACAGUAAGUUCCACACAAAUCUGGAUUCCCCAACAUCUUUCCAUGAACUCAUUUUUUUUUCCCUCUCUUUCUGCUCCAGUCACAUGAUAAGGUUAAGGAGAACAAUAGAGCAAAACAGCAGAAAAACCAUGAAGACAGAAGCACAGAGGGGGGACCAGGGGAGGACUUUCUUGAAUACAAAUGGAAGUAAACAGUGGCAAGUUGGUAUUGCAGUCAUAGCUUUCAGAUGGGCAGUAGGAAAAGACAUCCACGGGCAGGGCCAAGGGCAGGAGAGGACAGGAUGAACUGAGGACACCUCCUCAACAACCUCAGCUCCUGAGUGUGCCUGAGGGGAGGCAGGAGAUGAAGCUGGAAAACCAGGCAAGUUCCACAUCCUGAAGCCUUGUGCCUGUCACACAGAAGACUUGAGCUUCAUCCUGGACUUAGCAAAUUCAGGAUUGCAACUGGUGGUGCUGAGAAGCAAGGAGGUAAAGUGAUUUCUUCUCAAAGUUACUUUGGUGACAAUAAUGAGAAUGGAUUGAAGGGGCUAUAGGGGAGCAACAGGUUGGCAAGCUAUUGACAAAGCCCCAAACGAGGAGGGACUACAGAAGGACUGCAGUAUAAGGGGUCAUGAACGAGCAUGAAAGUGAGAAAUAUUUCUCGAAAAAUAUUUCAAAGAGGCGAGAUGGUUCAACUCUAGUUUGAAGACAUCGGCUCCUCAACUGAUGGAUUGAUGGAUUCAUUCAGCCCUCCACUUGAUGCUCAUUGUUCCACUCAUUUCUUAUGUUCCACUGCUAGGGGCCAGACAUGCAUGUGCAGGACAGAGAAUAAAAAUGAACUUUCUGCUCUCUUUCGGUUUACAGCCUAGCAGAGGGAAAUUAGAAGAAGUACACAUAGACAUAGAGAGCUAGGAGAAAUGAGAACUACAGGGCUUGUGGGGCUAGUGUGUCUUUUUCAUGGACUAGCCAGAUGGAACUUUCUGAUAAGGAGACAUUGCAAUAGCAGUCCACGGAGGGAGGGAGUAAUUUUUUUUGAAGGAACAACAGCAUCUUUGCAGUCCCUACAACAGUGCCUGUGGGAUGAUGCUGGAAGAGGAGAGGUUUGGAGGAUGAUAGAAGAAAGCGUCCUGGACCUCCACAGUCUCUUUCUCUUGGAGCCCCAGACAGAAAACCUCCCUCACUUGUCUUAUGAGAACCGGGGACGUCCCACCAGCUUCGUACAACCUGCUGGAGCGCUAAGGGCAGAGGUCCCCUGGUGUUGCUUGACCCAUGAGCACAGCAGGCAUUUGAAGGAAUCUGAUGCUUCGCUUUUGUUUUCCAUACCCUUUUUUUGCUUUAUUUCUUAAAAAAAUUCCUACGGAGGCUAUUUAUUACACAGAGGCAGUCGCGUGCACCAAGCAGAAUUGCUUUUCAUAAUAAACCUAUUCAUCUUCUGGCAUGUCAGAAAUUUCUCAAAUUGAUACUUAUAAUAAAUAUGAUUAAUACCAUAUUGUAUUUCAGUUGUUGCCAUAAAAUAAUUGGGAACAAAUAUCGUAUUGUGAUGUUGACAGUGUUGGGUCGGUUGGUGCCAAAUGGUGGGGGCAGCCAACUGUAUUUCAUUAACAACCACGUUGCUACAGUGCUAUUAAGUUUUUCAUAAUCCUUUUUACUCAAGGUUGAUCAUUCAUUCCGUUAGACAAAUUCUUGCAACAAUCAUGCUGGAAGUAAAUCUGCCAGGAAAAAUCUCAGCAAGAUGGGUUCUUGCAGGAUGUUCAGUCUCCUGCCUGUGAAAUAGGCCAAGCAGGAAGUGCAACACUGGACUCAGGGUCUAGGGAGUAGACAAGGGAUGUGAGAAAGAGCUGGGUUUAAUGACCUGAGGAGGGUAAACUUGAAUUUAGAAUGGCAGGAGACAAGAAAAGACAUGACUUUCAAAGGAAGGUCAGAUGCCUUGUGACUCCUCGGCUUCUCCAGUGUCACUUUUCUCAAGCCUCCUGCUUCUGCCACACAGUUAUUGGUUGCUCUCCAAACGUAGUGAACCCCAUCCAGGAUCCUCACUAUUACAUUAGCAAAAUGCAAUUUUUGCUUCUGUGUAUGUCCUCCCUAUCUCCUUAAAAGUCUGACAAACUCUAACUCACCCCAGAAAAUCUGUUCAAGCCACAUUUCCUCCUGGAAUCCAUCCCACUCACUCACCCACUCCUUCCACUGGGCUCAUGUAAGACCACAUGUAUUAGUCAAUACCUCUCUUACACUUGAGCCCAGUGACCUGGGUUCACGGGUACCUUGCCUUAUACACUGAGUUCCCCUUAAAGGCAGGACAGACUUAAUAUUGAGCCUAUGGUUGCUUAGCUGGAGAAAGUGCUCAGAAAAUAACUGAAUGGAACUAGACUGAGGGGAACCUAGAAAUGACCUGGCACAGCAAGAAGCCAGCGGUACUGGCCACUCCAGUGGUGUGUAGAGAAUGUACCUCCUGCACUGAGUGCAGAAGGCCUGUUAUGGACCCUGGAUAUGUAGGACAUUUCUCAUAGAUGCACCCAUGAGCUUGUACAUAGGAAGUGCUAAGGAGUAAGCCAUUUCCCUAUACUCAUGGCUUCUCAGCUUUGAAUGAAAUUUUUAGAUAAUUUCCCCCAGAUCUGUAAAUCCCUUAGCAUUACAAUAAUUGAGAUUCCUGGAUCAAAUUCUUCAUAUGCUGGUCUAUUCUUGUACUUAUUUAAUACAUGUGUACUGAACAUCCAUUAUUGGUCAAGACACUGGGCUGGGCACUGUGGAUAGAGGAAAGCUAAUGUGAGUUUCCAUUUUAAGAGAGUGGAGGACAGGCAGCCAUCAACCAAUUAACCACACAAAUAAAUAUACAAUAAUAAACCAUGGUAAAGAAAUGUUCAGGGUGCUAGGAAUAUGUUCAUGGCAGAAUCUAAACUUGUCUGAGCUGAAUUUUAAAAGUUAAGUAGAAGUCAAGUAGGUGAACGUAGGUAAGAAAUGGGAGGUACUCAGGCAGAAGGAAUAGCUUGUACCAAGCCCCUGAGGCCAGAAGGAGCACGUGGCACUUGAAUGAUAAAAGACAGGCCCAAGUGGCUGGUGCACAGGAAGGAACCCUGAGAGGCCAGUAGGGUGCAGACCAAGAGGGAAACUUUAGAGCAUGUUGUAGAGUUUAAAGUUGAGUCUUUUGUUCCAAGAGCUGUGGGAGGCCUCAUGGAAGAUUUCAUUCAGGGCUAAAUGAUAAGUUAUAUUUUUGUCUAAAAAGAUCAAUAUGGCUGCAAAAGCAAAAAGGAGUGUAGCAUUUGGUUGACAAAUCGGGCGUCUCUGACAGUGGUCCAUGUACUCAUUAAGAAUAGUAAUAGUGGAGACAGAGAAAUUGAUGAAUGCAGGAAGUAUUUAGCAGGACACGAUGACAGGAGUUGGUGAAGAACUGAAUAAGGAUGAAGUGGUCAAUGAGGAUUGACCACUGAGGAUGACCACCUUUUCUAGAGCAAAAGUGAGAUGUCACUUCUGAAGUGAGGAUUUGGGAAGCGUCUGGCCCUUCCGACUUGGGAACACCCUCAGGAUCUGUGCUUGCAUGUAGUUUCCCAGGCAUCCUCAUCAGCCAGCCCAGGUUCAUCAGACGGGCGUUCACGUCUUCUGGUCUGAUGUCCUACAAGGGCCCUCAGCCCACGGGCGUGAUCAGUGCUCCCCCAUGUUACCUUACCAGAUCUCAGACUUUGGGGGCACCUAUUGUUUUCUUGCCCUACUUGACUGCCCUGCUCAGCGUUGUUGUGGGGACCAUAUGAGGCUAUUUGUUCCAUUCAGAAGUAACUACUAGGCUCUUCCUAUGUGCUAGGCUGCGUCCUAGGCAUGGAGGCUCCAAAAUGGAAUAGCAUGCAACGUGCCGCCCCUGGAACUCAGAUUCUGCUGAGAAAGGCAGACGUGGGUUGAGGAGUCAACCAGAUGAAAUGCCAGGCCAGGUGGAGGAGGCAGCCACGAUUUUGAGGUGUGGAGAUACUUGUUGUUAGUCUUCCAAGAUGGACAAGACUGAGCCCAACAAAAGUACAAGGAGCGGUUGAGUCAAGGGAAAGCAGAGAACAGGUGACACAGAGCCUGGCACAGAAUAAGUCGUCUCUUCCCUCCUUCCUUCCUGGUCUGCUCCUGACUUCCUUGUUCAAGUCCUGCACUAUCUCCACCACUAGCUUCCGUCUUUAUGUUCUAUCUCCCAGAGAAUGUACCAGUUGCUUAGUUCAAGCUUCUAUCACUGGUCUCCGAGUCACACUGAAACAUGUCACCACACCCAGGUUUCUGUCUCCUUUCUAUCACUGUCUUCCUCUUUUCUAAAGUCCUUAGGCACCAUGGUAAGCCCAGGCCCUAUACUGAUUGAUGCUCACAGCUCAGCACUUGCCAGAAAUGCCCUCUUGCAAGAACAGCCCCCCUGUGUUUGGAAAGACUAGUACUCAUUCCCUCUUCCUGUCUUGCAUGUGUUCAGAGGCUGGGUGACUCAUACACAUUGAAAUGUAGACCUGGUACUUCAAUCCAGAUCUCCAAACUUCCAACUUCACUUUCUACCACAUCAUCUGAUCUCAAAAUACGAUUUGCCAGGGGUUAUGGAUGGUUAUGAGGUGUCCCACAAAAGCUCUUACGUUGAUGCAGGAAUACUCACAGGUAAAAUGAUUGGAUUGUGAGCGCUGUCAUCUAAUCAGUCUAUCCUAGUUUGAAUGGACUGACUGAGGGUAGCUGUAGGCCAGUGGGACAUGGCUAGAGAAUAUGGGUCACUGGGACAUGCCCUGCAAGGGUGCAUCUUCCUGUGGCCCCUUCCCCUUCCCUCUCUCUGCUUCCUGGCUGCAGGAGGUGAGCCACUUUCCUUAGCCACACCUUUCUACCAUGAUGUUCUGCCUUAUUUUGGGCCCAGAACAACAGUCGGCUGAUCACGCACUGAACCUCUGAAACUGUGAGCCAAAACAAAUUUUUCCUCCUUUUGAUUGUUCUUGUCAGGUAAUUUUGUCAGAGCAACACAAAGCUAAAGAACCAAUCAGGAAUAAGUAAUACUAAACCAAGAACACCAUUCCCACCAUAAAGACCACACACUAUCUAGAGCUCACAGAUGCCUUCACAUGUUCAGAUGUGUUUGUUAAACUUCAAACUUUGCAUCAUUUUGAAUUGGGUUAUUUUUAUUUUCAGAAGUGGAAACAGCUGGCUUUCCUAAACCCUUGGGUCACUUCACUUUCCGAGACUGUCUCCACCAAGUGUAGCUGGUCUCUCUUGAAUAAGUGUUGCAAACAUGAGUUAUGUGCUUCUGAAUGAUGUCACUGGGGAGAUCAGGCACCUUAGCUCAGUGUGCUCUUUUACCAGGCGACUGCUCAAAGUUGCUCUGUGUCUACAGAUUCCUUCUGGGCAGGAGCUUAUUGGAUGCAGCAUCUCAAUCUGGGCAUCUUUCCUGACUGCUGCGUGUAGCUGGGCAUCCCUUGUGGUUGGGUGGGAUGUGGCAGCACAUUGCGUUUCCAGUGCUCUGGAAUUCAGGAAGUGCUCCCUGAGUCAAAGUCUGCCUGUGGGUCCUCAAGAGCUGCUCAGAUUGAGCAAACUCUUGGAUCUAGCAUGGCCUCAGACCCUGCAGAAACUCUGUGGCUUUGGCCUAAGGCUCCUCCACUGUUCUUUCCCCUUAGAAAAUGCCAAUUGGCCUUUUGGGUUGCCAAAUAUCUCCUCCAGUAUGUUCUGCGAGCAUUCAGCCUAGUCCCAGAUCUGUGUAAUGAUGGACACAAUAUACCAUUUGUUUCAGAUUGGAUUCUCAUGUCUAGCUCAAGAGCUACAUGGUUUACUCUUCAUUUAUAUAUAUUUUUUGAAAAUUUUAUUUGUAAUUGACAUAAAAUUACAUAUAUGCAUGGAGUACAGUGUGAUGUUUUGAUAAAUAUAUAUACUGUAGAAUGAUUAUAUUAAGUAACAUAUCUAUCACCUCCUGUAGUUAUUAUUUUUUGUAGUGAGAAAAUUUAUUUCUAAGCAAUUUUGAAAUAUAUAUUUUUAUAAACUAUAAUCACUAUGCUAUAAAGUAGAUCUUCAAAUAUUAUUUCUCCUGUCUAACUGAAGCUUUGUACUCUUUGGUCAACAUCUUUCCAUUAUCCUCCAACUCCCAUCUUGUAUUCUCUGGAAACAACCAUUCUAAUCUCUACUGCAGAUUCAAUGUUUUAUGAUCCCAUAUGUAAGUAAAACCACAUGGUGUUUGUCUUUCUGUGCUUGGCUUAUUUCACUUGGCAUGAGUCUUCCUGGUUGAUCUAUAUCAUUGCUAAUGACAGUAUUUUCUUCUUUUUAAGGCUGAGUAAUAUUCCUUUGUGUAUAUAUAUCAUAUUUUCUUUACCUGUUCAUCAGUUUAUGGGUACUUAGAUUGCUUUCAAAUCUUGUCUACUAUGAAGAGUGCUGCAAUAAACCUGGGGUGCAGAUGUCUCUUUGAUAUAUUUGAUUUCAUUCUUUGGGAUAUAUGCCAGUAGUGGGAUUGCUGGGUCUUAUGAUUUUAGGAAUUCUAGUCAUAUGCCCUUUCUACUUUAUUUGUUAUCUCUGUUCUGCUCAGAAAUGAGACAAGAAUUAUCAAGGGAAGAGAUGGAUAUGUUUAACCUGAUUUGAACAUUAUGUAAUUUAUACAUGUAUUAAAACUUUGCAUGACACCUAGUAAUGUAUACAUUUCUGAUGUAUCAUUGAAAUAUUAAAUGAAAGUAUUAGCAUUGGAAAACUUUUCUGACUCUCCAAUUUUUUCUUAAUUUUUUUGGAGGGGUACUGGGGAUUGAACUCAAAAGGGCUUUACCACUGAAUUACGUCCUCAGCCCAUUUUAUUAGUAUUAUAUUUAUUUUGAAACAGGGUCUGUUAAGUUGCUUAAGGCCUUGCUAAGUUGCUGAGGCUGGUCUUGAAUUUGUGAUCCUCUUGCCCCUGCUUCCUGAGUCGUUGGGAUUAGAGGCAUGUGCCACAUGCCUGGCCCCUGACUCUCUAUUUGUUCUUCAGAGAAAUCCUGGCAGGGAUCUUAUAUCCCAGAAAUGCAUUCCAUCAGUCCCAACCCACCUCACAUAUUUUUGGAGAUAGAAAACUAUCUAACAAGGCUACUAUUUUGUUGUCAUUUAAUUUAGCAGUUAGAAGAGCCUUUCUACUUUUGAAAAUGCAAAUCUAUGUGUACUUAUGUUUCCUGGCCAUUAAGGCAAGUGUUGCUUUUCUUAGGUCAGGUAAAGCUUAAUCCCUCUUCCUCCCAACUGUCUGUCAAAUAUUUGAAGUCAGUGACCAUGUCUCCAUUGGCUCCUUCUCCUUCAGAAGCACAACUGGAUUCCUGUAGUAUUUAUCAGCAAAUAAGUAGUGAAGGCCCUGCCUCCUUGAAUAGCCCUACCCUUUUAAAGACUGGCGUCUGAAAAAAACGGCCUUCCUGCUGUCCAUUCCUUUGGGCUCAAUUCCUCUCUUGCCUUAGACUGAAGACCUUUGUUAAUGUAGCCUAAAAAGUGAAUGUUUUGGCAGAGCUAUGGUUUAGCUGUGGUUUGUCACUGCCAAAUCUUUUGCUGAGAUUUGAUCACCAGCACAGCGGUACUGAGAGGUAGUGCAGGUAACAGUCAGUAAUGGAUUAAUGUCUUUCUUGUGAGAUUGGAUUUGGAUUUGCUCUUAUGGGAAUGUUUAGUUCUCCUGAGAGGAGGUUGUUAUAAGUGCCCAGGCACCUCCCUGACUCUCGCAUACCUGAUUCUUUUCUGUCUGUGUCUGCAUGUCCUUCCACCAGGAGGCCCUCAUCAGAAAAAAAGCGGAUGGUGGUACCCAGCUCUUGGAGUUCCAGAAUCAUGAGCCAAAAUAAAACUCUUUGUGAGUUAUCCCAUCUCAGAUAUUCUGUUACCUCAAUAGAAAGCAGACUAUAACUGGCAGGAUCAAUGCUACAGUCCCACAGACAACACCCACCAACCCCUGUCUUCCUCACUUAAUCCUUGAGGGCUUGAUUUUGGCAUCAGGAAACUCCAUCUGAAACCCGAAUUUGGGAAACCAGUUCAAAUACCCUGUAAUUGUGAUGGAUGGGACAUUUUCCACACAGUCAGAAUGGGUGGCCACUAAGUCUUCAAUUAAGUGGUUCUGGAGAUUCUAGUCUCUGCUACAAGGGUGGGAAGUUCUUCCCAAGGAAACCAACUAUCAGGAAAGGUUUAGCACACAUAUAAACACACACACACACACGAUAAAUGUCGAACUUUGCAUAUAUACAUAUUAUAUAAACACAUUACCUGUAAUUAUAUUGUAUAUAUAACAUAUUCAUAAUAUUAUGUAUAUUAUAUACAUAUGUAUAUAUAUAUAUACACACACACAGAGUGUACAUACACUACUUGGAUACAUAUAUACAUAUUUUUAUGGCUGAAUGUGAAUUCAACCUUAUUUAAUAUAUAAGAGACAAUAAAAAAUAAUUAAACUCAUAGCUCUGACAAUUUUCAAGAGCUAUAGUCAGAGGAAAGUUAACUCUUCAACAGUGGAUUGGCUGAAGUUGAGUUUUGGAAAUAUUCACUCUAAGUAAAAAAUUGCAAUUUCAGGGGAUGAGAUAGCACUUUUUGGAUUUCUAAUCCCAAGCUCUAUGUUUGAGUUAAUAGUGUUUGCUUUUUGGUUUCUGUACUGAGGCAGAAUUGAGCCUGGCUUUAUUCUGGCUGUGACUCUGGGUGGGGCUGGGGGAUGGGAGGGAGGGGAUAGCAACAGCUGGAUUUGGUGCCUUCACAUGUACAAUCUCACCUCAUCUCACAAUCGCCCUUUGAAGGAAAGUUAAUUUCCCCAUGUUCCAAGUGAGAAAAAUUAAAAUCAGAAGGCCCCGGACCUGACUGCUGGUCGAAGGCCAUGGUCCAAGCCCCCAACUUACUAAAGGAUCUUUUGAGCAUCUCGUGCUUCAGUCUGUGGAACCCCCUCUGUCCUGCCUCCUCUGCCUCCCGAGCAGAGGUUGUUUGGAUGGGCUGAAUGACUUCAUUUCCAGUGUCGAAUGUUUCUUUUUCUUUCUCUUUCCUCCUUCAUUUCACCUUUCAAAAUAAUUUCUCCAAUAACAUUUCCUUUCCAAAUUUCCUCCUGGCUCAGGCAACAUUUCCUCUUUUAUGAUGGUAAUGUAUAGCUCUCAUCCUAAUUGGUGAGCGAGAAGGAUAUAGUUGCUCCAGGAGAAUAAUUAACUCUUUGUGAAUUGUAUGUUGAGAAAGGAAGGGAAUGAAGCCUGUUUUAGUCCAAGCAGGAAUUACAAUCCAGCAUGUAAUUUAUCAGCACAAAACAGCUUCCAUUUAGAGGAUGUUUUAAGAACGGUGUUAAAAGUAGUAAGAGGACACUAAUUUAUUCAUAUUUGGAACAUGUAAUAUUAAAAGUGCUUCCAAAAUUAAUACAGUGGGAGUUCCUUGAAGUAAAUUCUCUGAGACAUCUGAGAUUUUUACAUAUUUUAUUUAGUAUUUAUCAGUGGCCAUGACUUUAUGUUUAAGAAUGUAUUUUUCAAAAUCCUAUGUUUAGUAUAUCUUGAAGGAAAAGGCAAACAUUACUAAUUCUUUUUUUCACAUGUCAUCUAUACCAUCUGAUUAAUGGACAUUAUUAAUAAGUAGCUGAGGAUCUCUUAUAGGCCUUAGAUACGUUAAAUACCUGCAAUAGGUAGAGGCAAGAGAGAUGUGUUCCUACCCUCAUGGCACUCACAGACUCUGGCAUUAAGGGGAAGGUCACAAAUAAGUAAAAUAACAGUAAUGUCAACAACGAUGAUAGAAAUCCAAUGGUUACUAAGCCAUUACAAAUAAGAGCUAUGCUGGAAAUAAAAAAUAGAGACUAGAGUAACGGAAUUGGGGACAUUACUCAUUAGCUAGAGAGGUCAGGAAGUAGCAGGUGGCCUUAAGAUUGAGACCUUACACAUGGAGAGUGUCCAGUCAUGCAGAAGAAGAACAGAAAUAAAGAACAUUCUUUCCUCUGGAGACUAAAGAUAAGUGCUGAUUUCACAGGUGAUCCCAGAGCCCACUGAGGUGGCCACUGACGGUGCAACCUGUGCUGCUCCCCAGCUGCACGGCGGAGAUUAGAGCCUCAGAGGUCCUGCUUCCUGACUUGGAGUAGUUUUGCUCUCUGCACUGGCCUGUUUCCUGUUUUCCCCAUUUGGCCUUUUUUGCCCCUCUCUCCCUCCCUGUCAUCAUCUCCAGGGUCCAGCUAGAUUUCCCUUUUCUCUACCCCGGACAAUAUAGUUUGAAUAAACAGACCCAACAGGACAGCCUUAGACAUGUUUAUAGGGUGUGCUGGAGAAUGUCAAAAGCAAAGCCCAGGGAGGCCCCGGACCCUCAGCCAGGCAGGCUUCACGCUGUCUCUGGGUGAGAAGGCGGGUCCCUGCCUCCUCUGACUUGUGCCUGGCGCACUAAUAAUGGAAUGUUAUCUAAUUGGUGCUUCCUCCACAUCAAUGGAAAUAGGAGCACGAGACACAGAGACAAAGCGGGAUGCCAGCAGUUAAGUAUAAGUGAGGUUCAGGCCCAUCACUCCCGGGCUUUGCAGUAAUAUUUAGAACACAUCCUAAUGACUAAGGCAUAUGUCCUUGGGCGGGACAGCUUCGUAUAAGAGACAUCUGGCACGUAUUUUCUGCUCUAAAAUUAUGCACUACCCCCUCCAGCAAUUUAUAUUUCUAAGAAGAUGGGAGAGAAUGAUGAGGUACCAUUUGACAAUUUAUUUGUCAUUUAAAUAUAAAAUAAAAAUGAAAAGUCCAGAACUGAUAUUAUAUAUGGGGUUAAAAAACAAACAAACACACAUACACACAGAAUGAAGGAAGUUUGCCAAAAUAUUCACUGCAAAUUUCUUUCAUUCUGACCAUUUCUGUAAAUCUUGUGCAUUGACAUCUCAUCACUUAAGUUGUGUUUUUUUUAAUUAAAGUCAUCCCAGAAUCUGGGGAUAUCACCCUUUAUACGAAAAGCUUGACACUCUUGUUCCUCAUUUUAACCAUCUAAAAACAUUCAGGUCGGGGGUGCUGGGGUUGUGGCUCAGUGGUAGAGCCCUUGCCUAGCAUGUGUGAGGCACUGGGUUCGAUUCUCAGCACCGCAUAUAAGUAAAUAAAAAAUAAAAGUCGAUUGAAAACUAAAAAAUAUUUAAAAAAAUAAAAUAAAAUAAAAACAUUCAGGUCAGAAGAUUCCUCUCUGUUUCCCCUUAAGUUCUUAUGGGAGACAUCAUAGAACCAAAGGCAAAGAAAACAGCUCACUGCAGGACUUGCCCAAGAAACUCCUAAGGGUCUCACAGAAGGUUCCAGCACACCCCAGAGGGUCAUGAGCCAAGACCAGUAGGGAACUUCUGUUCAUAUAUGUCGGAAAUAGAAGGAGCAUGGGAUUUCCCAAUGAUACACUGUGUUGGAAGGGAAGAAAGUGGGGAAGGUUAGGAUUCCUUUGGCUAAACCAUAGUGGACACCGCUAACUGUGGUGGUCCCCACUCUCUAGCAGGCUGGCCAGUUAAGGUGUUUUCUGCUCAGGGACACUGCCCUUCCCUAAGUCAUGGAUUAUCCAUGGAGAGGCUGUCUGGGAGGAACCUCCCUGGGAAUCCCGUCCUCCUUUUUGCAAACUCCCGUAUGUCUGGUUGAAAUGGCUCCCAAGGAAGGGAUUUCAAACACUGUCUCUAGCAGUCCUCCUUCCAAAUCUGCCUGACAUCUUUGUUUGCAACUCAGUUGAGCAAAACCACCUGAGUUAGAUGGGGAGGAGUUCAGAGUUUUGCCCCUUGAUUCUCCACCAACUCUCUGAGAUGACCUCUGAGACAUCUUUGGACUUCUUGGAAUUUAAUUUGAAACCUUAAAGAAGUGCUGGCCCUCUGAUUGUGGCUUUUUUUUUUUUUUGUCAAGUUAAAUCAAUGAAUAUUUAUUGAGCAUCCUUUAAGAGCAAUACUGAAUGAAGGUCUUAAGGGCAUUUAGACACACAGAAUAGCCCAGACCUGAACUGCCCUUCCCACCUCUUCCACUCCAUGAAUGAAUUAUGCACUUAGUUCCACUGUAAUGCAAAUCUCUCUCUUCUUCAAAGCAGCCUUGUGCAUGGGGUCAGUGUUCCUGCUAUCUAACCUUUCCCUGGGCAGCCACCUCUCUCCUCCCCAGACCAGCCAGUCCACCCUCCCUGCAGUCUGAUCUGGGUGUGGUCUGAGAACACUCAUCUUGUGCUCUUUAAUUGCUCUCUUGAAUUUUGUAGCCUUUGCUUCUUCAGCCCCCUCUCUCGGGAUGUGGAGAUAAAUUCUCCUUUGCACUUGGAGCAAAAGUCAACAGUGACUGUUCCCACACUCAGUUCUGGCUCCCAGGGCUCUGUCCUGUGCUAUAAACACUUUGUCUGUAUACUUAACAUUUAUGUUAAAAUGUCUCUGAGAAUGGAUAAGAUGCAUUUUCCUCUUCUUUGGAAUUGCGACUCUCAAUACCAUGCUCUUGAACCUAGUAACACUUGAAGCAAUAGUCAUGCUUUUUCAGAGAAACUCACAUACUGAACAAGCAACCUGCCAAGAAAAAUCCAUGGCCAAAUUCUUUAGGUAGAAUCAACCCCUUGACUGACUUGAGAGUGAGUGUGUGAGUGAGUGAAGUGUGUGUGUAUUUAGCCCCUGGUUUAAUGGCACGUGUCCUUAAAACCUCUUUCUUCUGCUUCUGAAAUGACCCAUAACCAUAGGGUCAGUACUAGAACAUUUCAGAAUAUGCCACUGGUUCCAUGCUAAACUGCACAGUCAUAAGACUUUUCAUGGGAAAGACAUAACUAACUGCCAGUUACUCCAAUAUGCAAUCUUUGUUUAACAAGGCCUUUAGGUUUGCUGUAGGUAGGUGGGUAUUAUGUAUAUAUAUAUGCACAUACACACUUAUUAAUAUAUGUGUAGUAGAAAAUAAACUUAUGUAGUAGAAAACCUCAAAAGCUUAUAUAUAUGCAUAUAUAUGAAUCUAUAUAUAGAUUAAGUAGUCAGUCCAUCUAAUUUUGCCCCCAGAGAGAUACACUAAUACUUUGUGAUAUAUUCCACUUUCUGCAAUACUGCUUUAUGAAAUAGAUGCUCUCAUUCAAAUACAGUUACAUUCUAUUUUUUCACUUGACAUUCUAUCAUGGUUUCUUUGUAGUUAUCAGUGACCUCGUCAUACUUACAAUUUAAUAGUCUGUAAUGUGUCAUCAUAUGGAAUUACUAUAAUUUAAGUAUUCCUCUUGUUUGACAUUUAAGUUGUUGUCACAUUGUGUGUGUGUGUGUGUGUGUAAUAUAGCAAGAAAUAGCUUCAUGUAUAACAACAACAACAACAACAACAAUAACCCCAAUUAAAUGUAAAGUCAGAGCCUGAUCUUUAUUUUGCUGAGAUAUGAAUAGGCUUGAUUGCUUUCUAGAUGACCUGCUGCACCUACUCUUGAGAAAGCUUGUGUGUGUGUGCAGAAGCAGUAUGCAAACAAACCUGAUAAUUUAAAAGAUCAAUCAAAUGAUCACAUAUGCAACUAAGCUGACAGCAAUUAGUUUUCAAUACAUUAAAGCAAAUUUGUUAGUUAAUUAAGAUGUUCAAAUGUCUGAACCCAAAUACACAUGUCUUACUGGAAAUGGACCAAAAACAAAACAAAGCUUCUAUCUCAUGAUAGCACACGUGCAGCUAUGUGUACACAUGCUUGUCCACACAAUGAGCAACGACUUCACAGACACACUGUAUCGUAUUUCAAUCUAUGGAUGCUACUAAUUGAAGUAUAAUUAAGACAUAAUGAUUUGGAGAAUGCCCUUUGGAGUCAAACUGUCUAAAUCCACUUGUCAGUUCUUCCAUUCUUGCUAACUCUGCCCAUUUCACCUGGUGCUUUGGCCUCUUGACACCACAGUUUCUUUAUCUACAAAUGAGACUUAGACUUAUGUGGGUCACCAUCAAUUCUUUAGCAUAGAAAUAAUGAGAUAAUUCAUGUCAACUCCUUAUCCCUGUCCUUGAGGUCUUCCUCUUUGAUUGGGGCUUUAUUUUUUUUUUUUAAAAUUAGACUCACUUCCUCCACUCUUGUGUGAAAGAUCUGGUUUUCACUUCAGUAUAUGACUUGAUUUCUAUAAGACAAAGAUCCUCAGAGAACCAUAACAGAAAAUCUUGGAAAGAAGUCCCUUCUGACAGGGGAGGCCCACUCUCUGGCUUGGACCUUUUCAGAACCACUUUACUCUUUGGGUCGUUAAUUUAUUGAUAAGACAACUCGUGAAUCUCCACUGUGUUCCAGGCACAACACUAAGUGUGAGGGACUCAGAGACAUAACGACAUAGUGCCUGGUGACAUGGAGGCCCUGGCACACAGCAGCACACAUGCUUUUUGGAGUAGUGCAGUGCUUCCUUUUCAAAGCCUAAAGCUUGUGCAAAAUCUGUUUGCUCGGCGUAAACAGGAGAUGCAGUGAAAUUAAGAAAACAAUACUUACUAAGAGGUGACAAAGAACUGAAGGCAGAAGUAUGAGCAGUGGUCAGUUAGACUCUUUAACAGAGCAGGUAACUGCACAGCAAGAAACUGGUCUGAGAAUCCACCUUGGGACCAGCAUUCUGCCUGUUUUCAGGCCCCCAGGUGACUCUCAGAGGGUGCUACUCCCUGACUCCCUUUCACAUCCUCUGGCCUCCAGAAAGCCCACUACUGACUUCUUUGCCCGGUCUCAAACUGAAUGCAUAAGGACUUUCCCUCAGGUAAAUGUCAAACUUUUCCUUAAGUUAUUUUUCCAAGGCAGGAUGGAUUUUUCAGGGUCAGGGAGCAGUGUUGCCAGACAUCCUCUGAGACCAAGUGAGCUGUUGCCACCUGUUACCAGCCCCGUUUACUUCCCAAACCAAUAACCACGAUGGUGGCUUUCUCCAUACCACUGGGGACAAGUCCUACAUGUCCCAGAGCUGCGUGCAGAGCAACCAAGGGACAACGUACAACAUGAGCAGCACAAGUGAGCCACACGUGACAUUUAUGUUUUUAGUCAUCAUAUAUAAAAAGGGAAAUUGUAAUUUAAGUAACAUGUAAUUUUAAUAACAUGGUAUUUAACUGAAUAUAUCAACAAUGUUGAUAUUUAAUACAUAACCAAAUAGAAGUCACCGAGAUAUUUUGCUUUCAAUUUUUCAUACCAAGUCUUUGAAAGACACUUUGUACUUUACACUCAGAGCAUUUUUGAAAUUCAGACGAGUCACAUUUCCAGCGCUCUACAGCCACAUGUGACUAGAGUGGCCGUGUUGGGUGGCUCAGGCCCUGGAAAUCCCUUCACCACACAGCAGGGCUAACAUACAUACUGCAGGAAUUCUCCCACCCAUCACUACAGGAGGGUCACUCUCUCAUAACCUCUCACUUCCUUUCUCCCAUGUACCCUUCCAGGACUAAUAAAUCAUAUCCUCAUUCAAGCACCGUACCCAAAGGAUGUUCCCACAAUACGUUCAGGAGACUACCAUCUACACUGCUCUGCCUCAACCCAACUCUCCCCAAUGAAGUCAUUGUCACACAUUUCUACAGCUAAUGUCUCAAGACGUCGUCUCCCAGCAAACAUCACUGGGAAUCUGAUUGUCCAUCAUCCUGAGCCAAAUAUGCAUUAAAAUAAGUGAAUGUAGAAUAUUCUCCUUCUGCUUUGGGCCUCACCCUGCUACUAAACAUAAACAUCUCUAUGGCUUUGCCUGUGUCUUUGCUGAUAACUUUAUUCUGUUAAAUAAAUUUUUUGUCUAGGCAGAAAACUGUUUUGAAGGUUGAACAUGGGGUUGUUAUGGUACAUGAUUAAAUUGAUUGGUCUCUAAGUUCAAAUAGUCAAACCAGUCCUGUGAGUAGAUAAGAAUAAGUAUGGACAAGAGGAUCCCUUGGGGAUCAUAUGUUUGUACAGAGCUAGUUCUCACUUUUCCUUUCUUUGGUCUUUUUUUAUGAGGAAAAAAUAAACUUAUCAAAGAAGAUCCUAUCACCGGUAUAUUAAAAAGUAGUUUGUUAACCAUCUCAUUCAAGCUUUGCUCUUUUUGAGAAGUCUUCCUGAGUUCCAGUCCUCCCUCUUCCACUGAUCAGCUGUGUGGCCUUGGAUCAGUUGUUUAACUUCUCUGAGCUUCAGUUUCUUUACUAAUGGUGUCUAUGGUUUUUGGCACUGGGUUUUGAACCCAUGGCCUAGUGCAUUCUAAGCAAAUGUUCCACAGAGCUCCACCCCCAGCCCAGGGCUACCUAUUUCUUAAAGCUGUUUGGGCUAAUAUGCAAACAUAUCUUGCAAAGUUAUCUACCAAGCAUUAAAUGUUGCCUAUUAUUACUCCAUAACUGCUUUUUGGAUUUUGUCCUGUCAUUGACCACUGCCAUCUUCUCACGUAAAUAUCUGAAACAUUAACAAGUUCCAAACAAGAAGUUCCUUUCCUGCCUUCGCAAUUUCUAUCUGUAUUGUCUCCUGUUAAAGCUCUCUCAGAACUUCACAGGUGUCUUGGGACAUCCUCUGUGGUUUCCUCUGAUCCGUUUUCUCCUGAUGCUUUGCUUUCACGCCUGCUCCAGGAAAAUCAAGAGUAUAUCAUAACACUCAGAGAGCAUGGAGCUGUCCCGGCUCUGAAUUUUACAAGCUGAGUGAUUUGAAAUUGUUCUUCAGCCUACAAUCCUCAGCUUCCUGAAAUGCAGAAUAUUUUAAUGCCUAUUUCAUAUCAUAAUUUUAUUAAAUCCUCUAGUAAAAGUGGAAGAGAUUCAUCUGGAGCCUGCAACCAUGCAAUUACUAACUGCUCUCUGUGCUCAGACUCCUUGAACUCAGGGCGGGAAGUAAGUCUCUUUGUCCAUCACUUUGAAGAACAUUUUCCUUGUGUGUGUGAUACUGAGGAUUGAACUCAGGGGUGCCUAACUACAGAGCCACAUCCCCAGCCCUUUUUAUGUUUUAUUUUGAGACUCUGUCUCAUUAAGUUGCUUAGGGCCUCACUAUGUUGCUGAGGCUGGCUUUGAAUUUAUGAACCUCUUGCUUCAGCCUCCCGAGCUGCUGGGAUUACAGGGUUGUGCCACUGUGCCUGGCUGUAGAACAUUUUCUUUCUUCCCCUCAGAAACCCAGAAUCUCAGUCCUUAAAGUGACUGGAGCAGUUAUCAAUUGCAAUUUCCUUGUCCAGUGGUUUCUUUCCUCCUAACAAUCCCCUCCUCCUUGAUUUUAAGAGUUUGUGACGAGGAAGGUUUCCACCUUAGCAUCAUCACUGUAAGGAAAUUAUUUGCUUGCUGGCGGAAACCCCCUCACUGUUACUCUUCAAUGAACCGGGCCACACUUCCUGAGAUGCUUUGGAAAAUGAUAUCCUAAAAGGACCGCUCUACAGCCACCUGCUGUCACCUUAAUGUACCAGAAAGCCAUCCCUGUAUGUGAAGGAAGCCUCAUCAGAAUCGAGUGAUGGCAGUCAGGAGCACCAUGCUAUGUGUGUAGACAAUCAUCAGAAAGAACCAGCUCAGGGAACGCUGCACUGAGCAAAUGGAGGUGAAAUGGCCAAUCUGUCAGACGGCAGCGGUUUCAGUGCCCAGUGGUAGUAUUUGUUCUUGAAAAUUUAUGAAAAUAUUUUGAGAAUUGUAGCCAAGCUGAAUCAGUCUUAGGAACAUUGAUGAAUCAUUUCUGUCUGAAGAACAUUAAAAUAUAGAAUUUUCUUCCACCCAAAUCUCAUUAAACUGUCAGAUAUUUUUCUGCCUUUUCCAGUAACUUAUCAAGAUAUUUAUGUGAGUGUGUGCGUGUGUCUAUAUAUCUUGAUAAUCAGCUCUGAUGGGAGAGGAAAUGCUGGAAAAGUGUUUGGCAGUUUAAUAAGCAUUUGUGACAUCUGUUUCCAAGGCUCCCCCAUGUGCUGCAGUAGCUUGUUAAAUUCUGGUGGCCCUGCAGAUUCAAAUAUUUCACACCUCCUGGGUGGCAUCCCCAGUCUUUCUUGGAGUUUUGAGUAUCGCACCACUUUGACCUGACUCAGAUUCCCAAGUCCCCGGGGCAUUAUUCUGCCAUUCAAUCAACUCCUGUGUUUUGUGGUAUAAAUGUCAUAUAAUAGAAAUCCAAAAAUUUCAGAUGUAGAUGUGGAGUACUUUCUAUCAUUCGGUUCCAUUUAAUCAUUCAGCUAUCGAUACAGCUUCCUGAGGCCCAUUCAAAUCUCUCGUCUCCUGGGCAGUUUCUAGAGAUCCCAAGAAUACUUGCUUUGGGUUGAAGUUUUAAAUUACGAUUUCCAGCCAGUAGGUUCUCUGCUCUCCAGGGUUGGGCAUGGCUGGGGAGUGAGUGAGUGUUGAUGGGAGAAGUGACUGAAAACCACAAAGGGCAGGAAGUAGUAGGAAGAGGGCUGACUUCACGGGGCUCCUGGAAGACGUCCCAACAGGUGCCUCAUUACAUGUUACGUCUGUCAGUCCCAGGCGUCCCCGACAAGUGGACAUUGUGACUCCUCAUUCUAACAACGAGGACUGAGCUUAGAGAAGUUAACUCCCCUGUCUAAGUGGUGGAGUCACCACAGGAUAGAGGUCUGGGGGUCUCCAGGCCAGGCUUUUCCCUCUAUUCUACUCAACUCUGGGUGGUGACUCACCUCCUUUUUCUCUGCACAGACACAGAGACACCUGGUGGGGCUGUAGCAAGUGGCACCUUCAUGUGACACCCCUCCUCUAACCCACAUGUGUCUGGGACCACCGGGACCACUUUAUCAUCAAGGGACCACCAUUAGCAAGGGUGUCUCAGGCCUCCUUGUUCACGAGCAGCCUGUGGAGCAGGGAAUGUGGCAACAACCAAGGGUCAAGGGGACUUUUAUAUGGUCAAUAUCAGACUCUUCACCCAGACUCAAGCUUGUGAUCUUUAUCAUAAGUUAUCAGGCAGAUUUGUUUUGAGGUACACCGUGGGGUCCUGGGUUGUGUCAGUCAGCUUUUUAUCAAGUGAUCCAAAUACCUGAUAAGAACAACUUGGAGAAGGGAAGGUUUAUUUCAUUUCACAGUUUCAGAGGUUCAAGACAUGGCAGGUGACUCCAUUGCUCAGGGCCCAAGGGGCGGCAGAACAUGACGGUGGAAGGGCAUGGAGGAGAAAAGCUCUUUACUUCAUGGCAGCCAGGAACCAGAGGGAGAGGAAGAGAGGGGGAAGGGCAAAGGGGACAAGACAUAAUCCCCCAGCACAUGCCCCAGCAACCCAACCUCCUCCAGUCAUGCUCCACUGACCCUGAGUUACCACCCAGCAUAACAGUCUUUUCACUUUAGAAUGGGCUGGUUAGGCUGCAGCUCUCACAAUCUAAUCAUCUAUCCUCUGAAUGUUCCUGCAUUGACACGAGAGCUUUUGGGAGACACCUCACACCUCAUAUAUCCAAAGCAUAAGGUUGCAUCCCUGGCCUCCAAAAGUUCACGUCCACUUUACAGUACAAAAUGCCUUCAGCCCAAGAGUCCCCAUAGUACUAACAGUUUCAGCCCAGAAGUUCAGGUUCCAAGUUUUUUUUUAUGAGACCUAAGGCAAAUUCUUGGCAGUGAGUUCCUGCAAAAUUCAGAAGCAAAUACAAACAAAAGCAAACACACACACACACACACACACACAUAUAUUUCAAAUAUAUAAUGGCACAGAGUAAACAUUCCCAUUCAAAAAUGGAGAAAUAGGGACAUUGAAAGAAGGAAUGAGACCAAAACAAAACCCAAAUACAGCCAGGCAAACACUUCCUAUAGCUUCACAUCCUUCACCUAAUGCACAUGGUGGUGAGAGGCGAGAUACAAAGGGUUUGGUCAGCCCUACCUCUUUGGCCUUUCUGGUUGCAGCAUUCACAUCCUCUUUCUUAGACUGUCUCUGUCCACAGACAGAGGCUUUCCAUAGCAGAUGGACCAUAUUACUGCGAUCUCUUAUCUCUUGGGGUCUCCCUUCUAGCUUCAGCUUCACCUUAAAAUUUUUAUGCAUCACCCUCUCAGGGGCAGUCCUCAGGGACUAUGACACUGCAACACUUUGCCUGGUCUACCAGGCCCUCUUUUAAAAUCUUGGUGGAAGCCUUCAUGAUCCCUUAACACCAGCAUCCUGCAUUCCUGUGGAUGAUGCUAAAAUCUGCUGCCAGCCCAUGUAGUAGCUACACUGCCUGGGAUCAUGGCUGUAGCAGCCUCUGUGUGCCUGGGUGGCUAGCAUGGUAAAACAACUUCCUCGCUCCCCACCCACAUAAGCAGGGAGCUUGGAUCUCUUCUGAAAGGAAUUUUUAUUUUUACACUCUUGAACCUGCUACCAGUGUGUUUUUACCAAUAUUGAGAUGCCCUCAAGCCAUCUUUCUUAUUAUUUCUGUGCAAAGUACUUGCAUCUUUUAAUGUAGAUAAUCUCUUUAAUGACCACAACUUCAUCGGCCCCAGUUUUAACCAACAAUAUUCAUACCACCAUGUAAACAGUGUACUGCCUUGGAAUUUCUUCCACCAGAUAAAUUAGCCCAGCAUACAAUGUCAGGACACAGGCAAAAUUUACACAAGUCUUUUCCAGAAUGUAACAUAUAUGGCCUCUAGUCUAAUUCUGAGUAGUCUUAUUUCCCUCUGAAACUUUACCAUAGUCUUUACUGUCCAUAUUCCUGUUGACAUUCAAGUCUUUUGCCCUCCUACAGAGUUGACCAUUAAGCUUUGCUUACAAUAUUCUAAGGAUUCUUUAGUUUACACCUUCAAACUUUUCCAAAUACCACUUACAAAAGUUUCUAAACCACAUGGUGAGUCACAACCAUGAAUUCAUUCCUGAUAUCAAUUUCUGUGUUAGUUAGCAUUUUGUCACUGUGACCAAAAUAUCUGACAAGAACAACUUAGAAAAGGAAAAUAAAUUUUGGCUCAUGGCUUAGGAGGUUUAGUUAAUGGAUAGCUGACUCCAUUGCUUUGGGCUCACUGUGAGAUAGAACAUCAUGGCAGAAGGGUGUGGUGGAAGAAAACUACUCCCCCCAUCAGCUGUUCCUCAUGGGAUGUGGAUUUGAGCUCCAGAAGGCAGAGGGAGAAAGAGAGGGAAAGGAGUGAGGGGGUUAAAUAUAAGCCUCUAAGGCAUGUUCUUGCAUCCCACCCCCUCUAGCCAUGCCCCACCGGCUCAGAGUGACCACCCAGCACAGUGGUCCUUUUAAAUUAGAAUGGACUGAUUAGGUUAUGGCUCUCAUAAUCUAACCUCCAAACAUUCCUGCAUUGCUACAGGAGUUUUGGGGGACACUUCCUAUCCAAACCAUAACAUAUAUACAGAGUCAGUUUGUUCAGUUGUAAAUUAAGAUAUUAAUGCCUACAUUAAGAAUGUGAUGAUACCUAAUAAAAUGUUGUAUAUAGCAUAUAUAAAUAAAUAAAAUGUUGUAUAUAGCAGUAAAUGUGUGUAUGCACUAUUCUUAAUGCAGAUAUAAGGAAGAUGGCAUGCUGACCAUGUUUCAGACAUCAUUCUUAGUACUUCAUACAUUUUAAUUUUAGCAACUUCUCAAUUAACCCAUGACGAAGUUCCUAUUAGUAGGAUCAACUUACAAUUGGAGAAACAACAUAGAUGCUGAUAAUUUGUAUCAAAGAGUUAUACAUAGUACUGAUUUGCCAUUAUUAACUAUGAAAUUGAUUAUGAGCACUAAUUAUAAACUAUUGAUAUUAUCUCAUAGUUAGUGAAGUAUCCCCCCUCCUUUGCCCCACAUGACCUAAUUUAUUUAUGUAGUCUAUGAGACGGAAGGUAGACCCAUUCCAUCCAGCACCCCACAGGAACUGCAUCUGCAACUCCUUGGUUACAUGUUGUUUCAUGCUCACGAAAUGAUCUCUCCCACCAGAGUAUAUUUGGAAAGUCCAGAUAGCUCUUCCUUCUAUCUAGAUGAAACCUGCCUCUGUUUCAUUUCCACCCAGGUCUCCUGGAUUUGCCUUCUGGAGCCUGGUUAUCACCAUUUAAUCCUCUGCCCCAUAUUGCCAUUUUAAAUAUUUUAAGGCUGUUAAUGUCCUCUUCCUGUAGCUCCCUUCCUUCAGUCCAAAUGUCCUCAGCCUCAUCAGCUGAUGUGGAUUUUGAGCUCCUCAAUAUUCAGGCCACACCCUUUUGCACAAUUCCAGUUAGGCACACCCUCUUCAGGAGAUGAACAGGACCAAGAGUGACAGUCUGGCUGGAAAUAGGAGUGGUUUGGCCUGGGAGAAGUGAAGUGCUGGUGUCUUUCCAGCAGUAUGGAGAUUGGAACUGCGGGACCUCUCUGAGGUGAACGUUUCUAGGCUGCGCUUUGGAACUAUUAGUUAUUUUCUUGUGAAUAUGAAGUGAGAUAAUGAACAUCAUCAAGGCCCUGACAUAGUGUUCCUUCCUUCAGUCUUUCAUUUUAAACUCUAGGAUAAUAAAGACUAUUCUCCAAAUAGUAUAAAGAACCAAUAAUACAUGUCCUUGAGAUUCAGACUGGGAAAACAAUCUGUGAUGUGAUGUGAUGGUACAUAAAUUCUCAUAUAUGCAGUGGAAUAAUUUUUAUUAUAUCAAAUGUUCUUUGUAUAUAAUUAGCUAGUAUUGAAAUGACUGGUUUGAUAUGUUCCAUAAGCUUGAAAUUCUCCUUUGAUGCCAGAUACCAAACUUAUAGUGGAUAUUAAAUAACAUGUUCAAAGUACUUUGGUCAGUGUCUCGUAUAGAAGGAGCACAAAUAUUUCAAGCAUUGUGUGAUCAUCAUUACUGUUAUUGUUGUUGUUAUUCCUAUUACUAUAUUAGCCAUUUAUUUCAGCUUAUUGUUCAUUGUUUGCUGAUUUGUUUUUGAGUCUAAUGGUCAAACAUUAAAGCAUCCCUUAACAAUACUGUUCUCAUCCUGGCAGAACAACUGGUUUAUCCCUUAAUAAACUUCCAAACUACUGAGGGUGAUGCACAUAUAAAUAACAUCCUCUAACACUCUUAUAAACCUUGUGUUAUAAACACAAUGAUCACAUAUUUUUAGAAAGUUAAAAGGAAGAAAUCAAAGAAAGGGUUAACUAGCUUGCAAGAUGAUCAGAGAAGUCUAAAUAUAGAAUAUAAUGCCUGAUCUGUAUUAUAUGGAAUAAAUUAGAGUUUUCCUAAUUGGGCUUUUUGACCAAAAUGAACAAUUAAAUAAAUCAUAUAAAGCAAAUAUUUCCAUAUAAAUAUUUUCAAAAUGCUUGUCUUCACAGUGUAACUUUCUCUUGAGAGCACUUCUCUCACUGUGCAAAUGCCACUUUUACCUUGCAGGGACAGAUCCAGUGGGUUUAUUUUUACAAAUGUAUCUGCUGGCUACUGACAGUCACUUCUCAUUUACAGAGAAGGUCAGCAAAUUUGGAACAUUGGCCUUUUUGUAAGAGAAGUGGGAUAUCUCUAUCAUUCUGCACUUCCUUUUAAAACAUUGCCAUAAUAUUAUUUUCACAAAAUCAAUAAUAUAAAAAAGAUUUCUAUGAUCAUUUCCCAUCUCAGGGAAAAUAUUGCAUGUCUUUUACUGAUUUUUCUUGUUUUAGGCACAUCAACCACAUUAAUUGCAGGUGAUGUCGCAUUUUGUCUUCUUUCAACUUCAACUUUGGUGCAAUAGCUUAUCUAUGAUAUAAGGAAUAAAUAACUUUUAAGUAUGUAUUGCUAUUUGUAAACUUAACCCAAUUUUUUCUCUUUAUCUCUAAUGAGAGCAUGUGCUCUAAUAAUGAUUAUAAUUAGGUAUUUCUUCUAUAAUGUAUUGUGCUUAAGUUAACUACUAUUUGCAAGGGUGUCUUUGUUACAGGAUCGUGCAAAGAAUUGGUUUUUCAUAUAAUUUAAUCCUAAAUGUGACUAAUGAAAAUUCUAUAAGCAGAUACAUGUUAAAAGCCCUUAUACUUUCAUUCAGCCAUAGAACUCAGAUUCUAUCUACUGUGCAAUUGUUUGAAUGUUUACCUCCUUAAAUUUUCAGCAAUGUUGUCUAGCACAGUAGAAUAUGUUGAUGACAUGAAUACUUUUUGGCUUUUUAACCAUUUGCUUUCCAUCUAUCAUGUCACCCUUUAUGGUGGAACAGGAUUCAGCCACAAAAAUUUUAUAUUUUGCUAUAAUUUAAACAAAAGCUUCUAAAUUAUCUUUAAGUUUAUCAAAAUUUUUUAAAGUAUUUGACUGAUUUUUUUUUAACACAUUCCUUAAAAAGUACUGUUAAGAUCAGUCCCCGUGUUCUUUGGUCUUGCUUCCAGGACAUCUUGCCGAUGGUGAUGGUCACUAUCUGGUCACUAUCUGAUUUUCUCCGGAAGAGAAAUGCUGAGGUGAGGCUCACAGUUAACAUCAAGGGGUGUAAAUCCAUGUUGCAGAUAGAAUUCUUGAUCAUGUCAAUGUUUGAACUAGUUUCCUGAUAGCUCUCAUUACAUCUUUCCUGCUUUUUCCUACUAAUUCACCCCGAAAAACCUUGGCCAAGGAUUCUGAGAGGUACUCACUCAGGUGCUCUUUUCUACUUAUUGCUUUGUACCUAAAUUAUUAGUAUUUUGUCUUUUCUUUUAGGAAGCUUUUUAAGCUACUGGUCCAGAUUGUGAGGGCUAGUUCAAUUAAAACUCCAUAACACAGUCUCUAACUCCCAGAGCAGAGCCCGGUGGCUAGCUAACGCCUGGAGGAAGCACAGAGGCUGAGAGGCUUGCCUGAGGACAGUGGGGACAAGAGGAAGAGAACUGCUAUUUAUUGAGCAAAACAUCCCUGCCCAACUGAGAGUUUCCCUUAUGCAAAGUUUAAUUACAUGCAAAUUUACAUCUGUAUGUUUUUUGGCAACUAUGGAGAUUUGGGUUCCAGUAUAUGCAAGUUUUGUAAUAUCUAUUAUACAUGAUUAGAAAAGGUGUAGGAAAUAGAGAUAAAGCAGUGUAAGACAAGUUUAAGGAUUUUUUAUUUUAAAUUUGAAAUGUUGAAAAAGGUGAAACGAAUAAGAAAAAAUAAAAUUGAAUUUUAGAAUUGCAUUCUGCAGGUGUCCAACAGGUGUGGAGUAGGUGUGCCAGGUGCUGUUGGGGCAGGUCCCAGGGAGGCUGGGUGGGGGAUAGAAGGCAUUAAAACUUGUCAUCAGAAAACCCACAGGCAGGGUUUAGAGGACUCAGGCAGGAAGUACAAGCUGAUAAGCAAACAAGUAUCCUAAUGUGCCAAGGUGAGGACAUACUUGGAACAAAGUAGGAGUUCUUUCCUAAAUGUUUCUAGUGACAAGGAAUUCUAGAAAUCUAUGGAGAGUCAAAGGUUUGACAUUGCACAUUUAAAAUGUAUGAAAAAUUUUUAACAUUGUCUUAUUUACAAUGAGAUGUCUAUUAUUGUAUGUUAGUAAAUUAAAUGUUUACUCAUAAAAAGUUUUAUAGAUUUAUUAGCAGCCUCUUUUCCCUUUGGUUCUUGAAAUUAAACUCCCCAACUGGUAACCAAUUCAUCUGCUCUGUAAAUUUUCAGAAUAUAAACUCUUGCAUUUCAAAGGGCAUACUUUUUAGCAGAAAUGUCUCUAGGUCCUUUAUCUGUGCUCUUUAACUUAAUCUUCAGACUCACUAGGAGACUAAACAACUGCUGAUUGCUGAAGUAAACAGGCAUUCUGCACUUGUAUGUUAAACUGUUAGGUAUUAUUUUUAAUGCUUUGUAUAUAUUUUAUUUUUAUUUUUUUUCAGAAAAGAAAUCUGAGGUCCAUAGAAUUUGAAGAGAUGCUAUUUGAACUAGAAUAUAAUCUGUAUUAGUUUCCCAUUGCUGCUAUAACAAGUUGCAUAUUUAGUAGCUUAAAACACAUAAUUUUCUUAUCUUACAGUUCUGGAUGUCAGGUGUCUGAAAUGGGUUUCACUGGGCUCAAGGUGGGAGUUGGCAGGGCUGUAUUUUUCUGGAGGCUGUACGGAAGAAUUUGUUUCCUUGUCUCUCCUGUCUUAUAGGGGCUGCCUAUAUUCCUCAGCUAUGACCCUCUUCUACCUUCCAACCAAUAUUACUCUAACCUUGCCUAUUGCCAUUGACUUUCCUGCUUUUCUCUCUUACUAACAAGGACUCUAGUAAUGACAUUGAUUGCAUGAGUAUAAUCCUGGUACUCCGCCAUCUCAAAAGCCUUGGCUUAAUCACACCAGUAAAGUCCUUGCAGUCAUGACAAAUGGCAUUCAUAGGUCUUGAGAUUAGGAUGUAAACAUUUUGUGAGCCACUGAGUAAACCCAGUUUGAUCUAAAGACCCUCAUUUUGCCUUUAAACACUAAUUCAUUCAAUAAUUUUUUUUAUUCAUACCUGCUAAUGGAACAAGAUGGUCACAAUCUCAGCAGCUCUACUAUCUCCUGUACCACCUCAUCGUUCCUCACCUACUCACUUCUCCUACCCACGACACCUUUUAAUUGAUUAAAAUCCAUGAUGGAUGAAAAGGGAAGAAUAGAAAUAUAAAUUAAGAUCGGCCAUCUCAAAGAUCACUUGAACUAGAUGGGAAGUUGAGUACCCACGAGUGGACAUAAGCAAAGAAGGAGAAGGAAAAAAAAUGAAAUAAACUUGUCUUGGGAGAGAACUCUUGAAAAUGCUUGGAGUGGAGGAGGUAUGAUCUGAGGUUGUUGCAGUCAGGAGGUAAAAAGUCUCAGGGAGAAGAAAGCUGUGUGCCUGGGGCAAAGGAUGGGUUAAUUAACUUGAUCUUGAGCAUGAAGGAAAGAGAAAGAGAGGAGAGACUGAGGGUAGGUCAUGAGCUGCUGAGUCAGGGGCCCAGGGAAAUAAGAGCAGUCUGGAGUGGGCUUGCCUGCCAACUUAUGGGAAAGGGAGGGGCAGUGGAUGCCCUUGAUAAGAAUGGGGAUGUCUAAUUAAAGGUGCAUGAUGUGUAUUCCAUCUGCAUUCCCGCUGUGGGUGAGAAUUGCUGUGUUCAAGAACUCUUGGUGGGAGUAGAGUUAGGGGUGGGAGAGUAAGUGCUGAGGUGAGAGGAAAUGACACAGGAGACCUGCAGGACAGGGGCCUGGAGACCCAAAGCCAGCACCUGGCGCAGAGCUUAAGGCAAAGGGCUUUAAUCUCAAGUGUUCCAGAAUUGGGAGAGGGCUUUCUUUCCUUUCCCUCUUUCUCUUUUAUUCUCUCUUCCCUUCUUCCCUCCCUUUCUCCUCCCUCCCUCUCUCUCGUUCUCUGCCUAAAUCUUUUCUAACUCUUUUUAUCUCCUGUUUCUCUCCUUCUCUCCUUCCUUCCUUCCUUCCUUCCUUCCUUCCUUCCUUCCUUCCUCUCUUCCUCUCUCUCCUUCUCUGCUUCUCUUCUCUCCUUCCUCUCUUUACCUCUCCCUCCCACCCUUUCAUUCUUCCUUUCUUUCCUCUCCCUAGAUUAUGAGAAGAAGGGAUGCCCUUGGCUGGCAGCUAGGCUGGGUGAAUACCGUGGGGAGUGUGGACUUCAGCGGUUAUGAAAUGGCAUAGGUAAUAUGUGGACUGGAGCUCAGAGGAAGGGAGGUGACAUUCCAAUAGCCUCAAGGGUGGGAAGUGGUGAAGGUCAAAGUAAAAUGGAAAUCCAUAUUUACUGGGCGGCCUCUAAGAGCAAGCUCUGUGCUAGGUGACCUAUCUAUGCUAAACCCUUCUGAUUUUCAGGAGCACCUUGAAGUAGCGAUCAUCAUCCCCUUUCAUUACAUUAUUAAUAUACCUAUUAGUUUACCAACUAUUUAUUGAGCACUGUGAUAGUUUUAUGUGUCAUUCUGGUUAGGUGACACCUCCCAGUUAUCCCAACACUAACUUAAAGGUGACAGUAAAGGUAUUUGUGAAUGUGAUUCAAGGCUAUAAUCAGUUCACUUUAAGUGAGGAGACUAUUUUAGACACUCUGAAGGGUCUGAUUCAAUCUGUUGAAAGCCCUGAAGAGCAGAGCUGGUUCUCUGCUGAGGAGGAGCAGCUUCUGUCUGUGCACUGCAGUUUCAGCCUGUGACCCAGGCUGCAGGAUGCCCUGCGGAUUUGGGAAUGGCCUAGCUGUACCCACCAUCAUGAAGGCCCAUCCUCUGCAGUAAAUCUUCUAAUGUACAUCUUUCAGUGGUCCUGAUUUUUUUGUUUGAACCCCGAAUAGGCAGUGAUGCUUCCAAUUUGAAAUGUCAGCCUAGGAUUUUUAAGCUUUUAUUUUUCCAAAUUCAUGUGUCUCACAGUGAGAACUCAGGUUUUAGUAACAUCAUUCUUUCUUUCUUCUUAACCCUUCCUAGUGUUUAUGGGAAACUUCCUUCACUCAAACUCUUUUGUUUUAUUUUAUUUUAUUUAGUGCAUUUCAGUUAUACAUAAUAGUGGGGAUUAUUUUGACAUAUUCCUAAGUCUAUAUAGCAUACAUUUCUCCAUUUCAAUCCCCAGAGCUAUCUCCUUCCCUGUCCUCCCUCACCCUGUUCCUCCACCUCUAUUUUAUUAGUCUUCUAUGUAUUUAGUUUUAAUUGCUGUAUUACAGUUCUAUAUUGGAAUGCACCGUGACAUAAUCAUACAUGCACAUAGCACAAUCUGGUCAAUUUCACUCCCAAUAUUUUCCUUCCCUCUCCUCCUCCCUUCCCCUGACACUCACACUUCUACACUACUCAUCUCCCUUCUAUUUUCAUGAGAUGCCCCUUUUUGUUACUUAUUUCUCCCUAUCUUCCUCUUAGGAGAGUAAACAUUUGAUCUUCAACUUUCUGAUUCUGGCUUAUUUCACUGUAUGAUGUCCCUCAGUUCCAUUCAUUUACCUACUAAUGAUGCAAUCCCAUUCAUCUUAUGGCUGGGUAGAACUCCUUUGUGUAUAUAUGCCAGAUCUUCUUUACCCAUUCAUCUCUUGCUGGUUAUGGGCUUGUUCCAUAACUUGCUGUUGUGGAUUGUGUUGCUGUAAACAUGGGUAUGCGUGUAUCACUAUAGUAUGCUGAUUUUAGUUCUUUUGGAUAAAUUUCCUAGAGUGAGAUAACUGGAUCAUAUGGCGAUCCAUUUCUAGUCUUUGAAGCAUCUCCACACUGCUUUUCAGAGUGGUUGUACUAAUUUGCAGACCCACCAUCAAUGUAUAAGUGUACCUUUUUCCCCACAUCCUCACCAUCAAUUAUCAUUAUUUGUGUUCUUGAGGAUUGACAUUCUGACUGGGUGAGGUAAAAUUUCAAUGAAGUUUGGAUUUUGUAUCUCCCUGAUUGCUAAGGAUGGGGAUGGUAACAUUUGUCAUAUAUUUGUUGGCCAUUUAUGUUUCUUUAGAUCUUUAUGUCUCUUUAGAUCUUUGUGUCUCUUUAGAUCUUUCCUCCAUUUAUUGAGUAGAUUAUUAGUUAUUUGGGGUGUUAUUUUUGAUGUUAAGUUUUGUGAGUUCUUUAUAUAUUCUGAUUAUUAAUUCUUUCAGAAAGGUAGCUGGCAUAUACUUUUUCCCCCCAUUCUUCAGGCUCUGUCCUCACAUUCUUAUUGUUUCCUGUGCUAUGCAGAAGCUUUAUAAUAUAAUGUUUUUAUACUUAUUAAUUGUGGUUUUAUUUAUUUACCUUUAUAAGUCUUAUAAAGGAAGUUGAUGCCUGAAUCAAUGUGUGGGAGUGUUACCUCUAUGUUUUUAGGGUCAAAAACCCAUUUUGAGGCUCCAUACAUUUUGUAAUCCAACUACUGAAUUCUGUAUUUGGGUAACUAUGUUUCUGUAGACAAGGUCAACCAGCUCUUCAAAUAAUGUAUUCUUUCUUUAUGUUGAAAUGAAUCUCCCACAACUCCUUGAGGGCACUUACUAUGAGUAUUGACAUAUUUAAACAUUACAUUUCAAUGUUACAAAAUUUAAAUUUGUGGUCUCUGAAUUUUAUAUUUUAUAUCUCAGAAGCCAGCACAGUGUUUGAUACACCUUAGGUACUUAAAAAACAUUUAUAAAGUAAAUGGAGUGCCAUGCUUAUUUUCUAUUUAAAGACCUAUUUCUCCAGCUAGCCCAUGAACUCCUUAGACAAAAAGACUCCAUCAUGCAUCUCCGUUCAUCUCAUGACAUCACACUUCUGCAAAGAAUGCAUUGAUGGAUGCUCAGGUUUGGCUUAGUGGCCAGGUGAUGAUGCUGAUGUCCAGAUAGUGGAACUAAAACUGGUUAAAUCCAUGGUACAUCUGGUACAGAAUGACUCUGAGAUUGCUAUUGGGGUGUAUCUACAUUUGGGAGACAGAAGACCCUAGCUACGUGGAGAAAGAAAGAUGAAACUAUGCGACACAAAAAGAUGAAAUAAAGAUAGCCUUUGUUAUGCUUUGGAUGUAAGGUGUCCCCCAAAAUUUCAUGUGUAAGACAAGAAGGCUUAGCAAUAAAAUAAUAAGGUUAUCAUUCCAAACAGUGAAUUAAUCAGUGAUAGGGAUUAACUGAGUUGUAGCUGUAGGCUGGAAAGAUGUGGCUGGAGGAGGCGUAUCCCUGGGGGCGGUGUGUGCCUUUGGGGUAUGUAUUUGUCCAGCUAAGCUUAGUGUCUCUUUGCUUCCUCAUCCUGUGAUCUGCUCCCCUUCACCAGGACGUCCUGCCUCACCUCAAGCCCUGAGGGAUGAGGCUGGCUGUCGAUGCACCGAGACCUCUGAAACCAUGAGCCCCUAAAUAAACUUUUCCUCCUCUAAAAUUGUCCUUAUUGGGUCUUUUGGUUACAGCAUCAAUCAUUUACUUUAUUCUGACUAAAACAGCUUUGAAUAUAACCAAUUCCUUUGAAAGGUAAUACGUAUGUACUGGAAAACAUCUGAAGGAUUAGAAAAUUUAUCCAUCAUAAUUCAUGUUUAAAAUAGUUUUACUUAGCGACAUUUUAUUUUUUAACUUGGCAUAGUCUACCAGCAAUGCAUGUCACAACCAUACUGCUAGUUUUCCCUGAGAAACUACAUGGGGAAUGUCAACUUUGAAAACACUCGUAUGGCUAAAGGAGAAAUUUGAUAAAAUGUCCAUAGGGAGGGAGUGAAAUGCUCAGGUUGAAAACUUCUAGCUCGUAGACUCAAUCCACAGUGAGUCCCAGGAGCUAAGCCAUUUCCAAUUAAACACAGGCCUGUAGCCACAUGGGGCUCAGAGCCUGCUCUUGACUGCAGGCAGGAGUGUUUUCUCAUUUCUCUCCCCGAGGAGCUAGUAUCUCCCCGAAGUUAAUGAUAGGCUUGGCAAUCAAGAUCCAGGUGGAGAGUGAAAACAGCUUUAUCAAACCAGCUGCUCAGAAUGCAUAAUGCCAAGCUUCCAGAUGUUUGGAGGCAUCUGGUGUUCAGGGUGAAACUUUUACUCUGUACCCAGCUACGAAAGAAGAUCAGUGUAGCAGUGGAAUGUCAGUGUCCUUUCAGGGAUCUGCACUUGGAAUCUGUCUUGCACACAGAUGACGUACAGAGGAAGGGUGCUCAGGUUUGGUCUUUGUCAGACAGGUUCUUGCUAACUGAUGCUUCUCCACCCAGGUGGUUUAUGCUCACCUCCAAACACAAACCCCUGAUACCUCAUGGGGAAGGCCUUCCAUUCUGAUCUCUGCACUUGAUUUUAUACUAUCAUAAAUUAUUUAUUGAUAUCUUCCACAUAUUUCCACAACACUUCUUAUAUGUAAUUUUAUCAAUUUAUAACUUUGAUUUAUUCUUUGAUUAUGAAUUUAUGAUAUUUGCAUCUAGAAAGACAACAAAUGCUGUAACUCAAGCAGAUGGGUGAGCACCACAAUAUUUUUGGGAAAAAGCUUGGCAAGUGACAACAUUAAUUACCACCUCAAAGGAUUUCCCACAGUCUCAUAGGCACUAUGUUAUAUUUUGUAUUUUUUUUUUGCCUGGGCCAUAUAUAUAUUUUUUCUAUUUGGAAAGCAAUAAAGUGCCAAUUUGAAAGAAAAGACCUUGACUUAAUGUCACAUCCCUGUGUAGGUGCUUGUUCAGUGUUUAUUGACUUAAUUCAUUAAUAGAGUAUUUGUUAAUUGACUUUCUCUUAAAAGCAAAUAUUCAUUAUUAUUUUGUUUACCAAUAUAAAAAUUCCAUACCACUAUUCUUAGUCUGUUAGUGCUACUAGAACAAAAUAUCAAGACUGGGUAAUUUAUCAAGUUUAUUUUGUUGUAAUCCUGGAUGCUGCAAAGUGCAGGGUCAAGUUGCUAGCAGUUGCAGUUAUCAGGUGAGGGUCACUCUCUGCUUUCAGAUGACAUUCUGUUGUUCCAGAGGUGAGGAACAAUGUGUCCUCACAUGGGGACAGGAAAAAGGCAGGACAACAGAGUGCUGUGUGAAGUCCCUUUCAUUCAGGCCCUAAACUCAUUUGUUGUAGGUGGACUCAAGGCCCAGUCACCCCUGAAAGGGCUCACCUCUUCAUAAUGUCACUUUGGCCAUCAAGUUUCCACACUUGAUUUUUGGAAGGGACAUAUUCAAAUGCAAGCACCAGUUUAGAUUAAAACAAUGUGGAAUGAAUCUGGUAUAGUUUUCCUGUGUACAUACAUGAAAACAUCACAAUGAAUCCCACCAUCAUACACAUCCACAAUACAUGAAUAGAAUACGAUUCAUUCCAUGCUUGUAUAAUUAUCUCAAAAUGGAUUCUACUGUCAUGUAUAACUAAAAGAGUGGCAUCCUCCUAACUAUUUUGUCUUUAUUUCUUAGAGGGAAAUCUCCUUUGGUUUACUUGUAUUUGCUUUACACAUGCAUUUCUAGAAAAAUGUGCAACCAAUAACAGUCCCAGCUCUCAUCCAUAGUUUUACGUACACGUUGUCUCUCCAAGUGAACUUUUAAAGGUGCUGGGAAUUCUUUUUUCUACUUUUUGUCAUUUUUCAUGGCGACUGUCCUAGACAUUGAUUUAUUAAAGUGCAAAUCCCUGACUUCCUCCCUGUAGUGUCUGAUUUGGUAGGUCUUACAUUAGAACCAGGAACCUGCAAUUGUGCCAAUCCAAAUGAUUCUUACAAGGUGGUCCUAGAAGAAACCCCAACCCACAGUAUGGCACUGAGUCCUGUCCAGAUCGCAUAGCAGCUCAGAUCUCCUUGUUUGCCCCCACCCCUUUUAUUAUCUAUUAAGAGAUAAUUUUUUAAAAAGGUAACUCUCAUAUUCUCAUAGUGAAAGAAAUAUAAACAUGUGUUAAAGGUUUGAUUUAACUUAUUAAUGAGGAAACUGGUGAAAUGGUACAAUGAGUUUAAGAGAAAAUAAAAAAAAACAAUAGAUUUAUGAAUCAGAAAUAGAAAAAUGAAUGGGGAAGAUGGCCUUUACCAGAGUGGGGGAGGGGAGUCAAUUUAACCUCCACUGGAUAAAAUUUACAUGUCCUUAGGCAAGAAUUAUAUGCAUUCCUACUAGUUCACAGAGCUGUAAAAUGACUCAAAGACAAUAAAAGACUAGAACCAUAUAAUCUGGAAGGCUGUGAUUUAAACAAUACACAGUUUGCUAUUGAAGGACAAUACUUUCCUGAUGGUGGUGGAGGGUAAUCUGUGAAGAAGGAAAAGCCUGAAUUCAAAGAAGUGGAGGCCAGAGAGGUCAAAAUAUGCAAUGAAAAGCCAGUGAUCUUGCAGGGCGGGAAUUAAGGGGUAGGGCUUCAGUAGUGUGGAACGAGGAGGAAGACAGGAGGGCAGGAGAGCAGAACUGUGAGUUUAAGAUGAGAGUCAUCAGGAAAGGUAUGAAAGAUGUGGUCCUGGGCCAACUGGAAAUUGGGCAUUUGUGUGGUGCUGACUGUCUUUAUCAGGGGAAAGUCUAGCACAUCGUUUGGGCACUGAGUCAGCCUUCCUCCUCCAACAGUAUGAUUCCAUAACUGUCCUGAUGUCCAUAGGGUUUUGACUUUCCUUUUUUGAAAGUCUGUGGUUUGAGUGAGCUCUGUUUGGAAACUCCACCCAUUGGACACAGGUGGAGAAAGAUGUUGGCUUUUGAGGGACAUAAUUUAGGUUCACCAAGUCCUCAUUUUGACAUUUCAAUCAUACUCUGGCUUUUAGUGUCCUGGGUGUAUCUGUAUCUUAAUACGGCGAAGGAAUUUUGAAGUGAUCUUGUGUCCCCUCUGUGGCCACAGGCAGGACUUUGCAGAAUAAAGCAGAGGGAAAUAGCCAUGAGUUGACCAAACAGCAUGGCCAGCCUCUUCAGUGUGGCAUCCCGAGUGUCAUCAGCUUGGAGGGGCAGCUGCCAAGUUAGAUGGGGCAGGACAUUCCUUUAAACAGGUGCCUUCUUUUCCAGGACUCAAGUGAAAGUCUAAGAUAGUUUCCAUAAUGUCAGAAAGCACAUCUUUAGAAAAACAUGCCGGAACUGCCAUCUGACUCUGACCCAAACCCAUUUUUAGUUUGGGUUCUCCAUGAGAAAUUGUGGGAAUAUUUGGCAAAUAUAGACUUGAACUAUCUAGAAAAGAGAAGUCAGAAAGUUAGGAGAAAAAAAUAGCAUGAUUACAAGGAACAAGUUAUUUGUGUACAAUGAAAAUGUGACUACUUCACGUCCUUUCUUGAAACACUUCAGUUAUGAUUUGAUCCAAGCUCCUUGACUAGGUUUAGAGUCCUGCUGCUGUGAAAUUGAUAUGCCUUCUCUGUUCCAACUUGUCACUCUUCUUCCAGUGGCUGAAGGUCUCUGUUUUCCUCUCUCACUGCCCAUUUUCUCUACCAUAUCCCCUGCCCUUGCCACAUAGUGCUCCCUCUGCUUGAAAUGCUUUUCCUGACCCUUUCUCGACCCCAUUGGUCUUGCUUGUCUUGGCUUAGGAUGCUACCAUGCCCACCAGCAAGACUUGCAUGGCUCCUUCAAUGAAGGUUGGGGGCCACCCUGUGUUCUCUUACCACCCUGAAUUUCUCAAACCAAAGCAAUCAUUACCCCAUGUUGAACUGGGCUUCCUCACCAAACUGUAAAUAUGGACACGAGAGACUGGAAUUUAUAGCUAUUGAAUUGAACAUUACUCCUUCAAUUCUGAGAAAAUUUAUAAUAGGAAAUUAGAAUAUUUGUAGAAUGAAGGAGCCUUGGACUGAGAGAUUAAACAAAUAAGUGAUUUUAUGAAUGAAUGAAUGAAUGAAUGAAUGAAUGAGUAAGUGAAAGAUUAAGUGAACAAAUAUGAGAUUGAGGGAACUGGAAAUAUUCCCUGAUGUGAAAAAAUAGUGAAAAGGAAAAUAAAGAGACUAUCCAUUCCCCAGUGUAUGUUCUUGACAUUUUUGAUGAAAAUCAGUUGGCCACAAAUGUCUAAGUUCAUUCCUGGACUCUCCUAUUCUGCCGGUCUGUGAAUGUGCUUACAUGGCAGUAUCAGGCUGUUUUUAUUAUUAUAGUUUAGUAAUCUAUUUUGAAAUCAGGUAUUAUAGUUCUUUGGACUUCAUUUAUUUCCUCAAAAAUUAAUUUGGCUUUAUAAAUCUUUGUGAUUACAUAUACAUUUUAGGAUUUUUUAUAGAGAUUGCAAGGAAUAAGUAGAUUGUUUGGGAUAGCAUGAAAAUCAUAACAAUAUUAAUUAUUCCUACCUGUGAACAUGGGAUAUAUUUACAUUUGUCUCUUUUAUUUUAGUUUCUUUCAUCAGCAUUGUGUAGUUUCAGUAUGUAGGUCUAUCUCCUCCCUGGUUAAAUUUACUACUGUUUUAUAUACUUGUUUAUUUGGAUCUUAUCAUAAGAGGAUUAUUUUGUAAUUUCUUUUUCAGCUUUUGCAGCUGGUACAUUAUUAUUGUAUAGAAAUGCUACAGAUUUUUCUAUAGGGAUUUUAUAUCUUGCAUCUUUACUAAAUUCUGAAUAAAUGGUCUUGGAGAAAGUGAACAUUCACAUGCAGAAGAAUGAAACUAGACCCUUCUCAAACUCCAUGUAGAACAAUCAACUCAAAUUGGAUUAAAAACUUAUAUUUAUAACUUAUAUUUAAGAGUUGAAACUAAAAACUACUAGAAGAAAACAGGAAGAAAGCUUCACAACAUUGGUCUGGAUCAAGAUUUCUUGGAUAGGAUCCCAAAAGCAUAGGCCACAAAAGAAAAUGAGACCAUUUCUCUGUCUCUAUUGGAUUGCUUCAAAUUACAAAGCCUCUUCAUAGCAAAGAAAAUAAUAGUAAAGAGACAACCUACAAGUUGAGAAAAUAUCUGCAGGUUGAUAUCCAAAGUACACAAGGAACUUAAUAGAAAACAGAUCUUUUUAAACAAUGGCCAAAGAAGUUUAAUAGACAUUUCUCCAAAGAAGAUAUGAUAAAUGAGCAACAGAUAUAUGAAAAAGAGCUCAGUUAUCACCAAGAAUCAGGGAAAUGCAAAUUAAAGUCACANACGACAGACACGUCACCCCAUUUGGAGUAGGGGCAGAGUAGAGCUGCCGCCCGCGCCUGCAGGGUAGGCAAACCUGCAACCGACCGGCGGAUCAGGCCCGGUGGCCUGCCGGCGUGGUACACUCGUCACCCCAAUUGGAGUAGGGGCAGAACAGAGCCGCCGCCAGCGCCCAGAACAGGCCCAGUGACCUGCCGGCGUGGUAGCCACGACACCCCAAUUGGAAUAAGGAGAGAGCAGAGCCGCCGCCCGCGCCUGCAGGAAAGAUACGCAAGCAGUAUGAAAAGACAAGGAAAGAAAGGACCACAAGCAAUGCAGGUCAACUCAACAUUAGAAGAGGUAAUAGCUGCAGCAGAUGGAAUGUCAGAUAAAGAAUUCAGGAUAUAUAUGCUUCAGAUGAUCUGGAGUAUCAAGGAAGACAUUAGACAGCAAAAUCAGACAAUGAAAGAUCACUUCGACAAGGAAUUACACAAACAAAUCCAGGAAGCAAAGGAUCAACUAUACAGGGAGAUAGAGGUUAUAAAAAACAAACAAACAGAAAUCCUAGAAAUGCAGGAAGCAAUAAACCAACUUAAAAACUCAAUUGAGAAUACUACCAGCAGAGUAGAACACUUAGAAGAUAGAACAUCAGACAAUGAAGACAAAGUAUUUCAACUUGAAAAGAACAUAGACAGCUCAGCAAGACUGUUAAGAAACCAUGAGCAGAACAUCCAAGAAAUAUGGGAUAACAUUAAGAGACCAAACUUAAGAGUCAUUGGGAUACAGGAAGGUACAGAACUCCAAACCAAAGGAAUGAGCAAUCUAUUCAAUGAAAUAAUACGAGAAAACUUCCCAGACUUGAAGAAUGAGACAGAAUCCCAAAUCCUAGAAGCCUACAGGACGCCGAAUGUGCAAAAUCAUAAGAGAUCCACACCUAGACACAUUAUAAUGAAGAUGCCCAACAUACAGAAUAAGGAGAGAAUUUUAAAAGCUACAAGAGAAAGGAAGCAGAUUACAUUUAGGGGCAAGCCAAUCAGGAUAACAGCUGAUCUUUCAACACAGACUCUGAAAGCUAGAAGAUCCUGGAAUAACAUAUUUCAAACACUGAAAGAAAAUGGGUUCCAACCAAGAAUUGUGUAUCCAGCGAAAUUAAGCUUCAGGAUGGAAGAUGAAAUUAAAACCUUCCACGAUAAACAAAAGUUAAAAGAAUUUGCAGCUAGAAAACCAUCUCUUCAAAACAUCCUUGGCAAAACAUUACAGGAAGAGGAAAUGGAAAAUAACAAUGAAAACCAACAGUGGGAGGUAGGACAGUAAAGGGGGCGAAAAUAAUCAAAGAGGAAAACAAACCAUGUUUAGUAACAGAAAUAAACAAAUAUGGCUGGAAGAACAACCCAUAUCUCAAUAAUAACCCUAAAUGUUAAUGGCUUAAACUCACCAAUUAAGAGACACAGGCUAGUAGAAUGGAUCACAAAACAAGACCCAACAAUAUGCUGCCUACAGGAGACGCAUUUGAUAGGAAAAGACAUACAUAGGCUGAAGGUGAAAGGUUGGGAAAAAUCAUAUCACUCAUAUGGACUUCGGAAACAAGCAGGAGUGUCCAUACUCAUAUCAAAUAAAAUAGAUUUCAAGCCAAAGUUAAUCAAAAGAGAUAAAGAGGGACACUACAUACUGCUUAAGGGAACCAUACACCAACAAGACAUAACAAUCAUAAAUAUAUAUGCCCCAAACAAUGGUGCAGCUAUGUUCAUCAAACAAACUCUUCUCAAGUUCAAGAGUCUAAUAGACCACCACACCAUAAUCAUGGGAGACUUCAACACACCUCUCUCGCCACUGGACAGAUCUUCCAAACAAAAGUUGAAUAAGGAAACUAUAGAACUCAAUAACACUAUUAAUAACCUAGACCUAAUUGACAUAUAUAGAGUAUACCACCCAACAUCAAGCAGUUACACUUUUUUCUCAGCAGCACAUGGAUCCUUCUCAAAAAUAGAUCAUAUAUUAUGUCACAGGGCAACUCUUAGACAAUAUAAAGGAGUAGAGAUAAUACCAUGCAUCUUAUCUGAUCAUAAUGGAAUGAAACUGAAAAUCAACGAUAAAAGAAGGAAGGAAAAAGCAUACAUCACUUGGAGAAUGAACAAUAGGUUACUGAAUGAUCAAUGGGUUAUAGAAGACAUCAAGGAGGAAAUUAAAAAAUUCUUAGAGAUAAAUGAAAACACAGACACAACAUAUCGGAAUCUAUGGGACACAUUGAAAGCAGUUCUAAGAGGAAAAUUCAUUGCUUGGAGUUCAUUCCUUAAAAAAAGAAAAAACCAACAAAUAAAUGAUCUCAUACUUCAUCUCAAAAUCCUUGAAAAAGAAGAGCAAAACAACAGCAAAAGAAGUAGAAGGCAAGAAAUAAUUAAAAUCAGAGCUGAAAUUAAUGAAAUCGAAACAAAAGAAACAAUUGAAAAAAUUGACAAAACUAAAAGUUGGUUCUUUGAAAAAAUAAACAAAAUCGACAGACCCUUAGCGAUGCUAGCGAAGAGAAGAAGAGAGAGAACUCAAAUUACUAGCAUACGGGAUGAAAAAGGCAAUAUCACAACAGACACUUCAGAAAUACAGAAGAUAAUCAAAAACUAUUUUGAAUCCUUAUACUCCAAUAAAUUAGAAGAUAGUGAAGGCAUAGAUAAAUUUCUUAAGUCAUAUGAUCUGCCCAGAUUGAGUCAGGAGGAUAUAGACAACCUAAACAGACCAAUAUCAAUUGAGGAAAUAGAAGAAACCAUCAAAAGACUACCAACUAAGAAAAGCCCAGGUCCCGAUGGGUACACAGCAGAAUUUUACAAAACCUUUAAAGAAGAACUAAUACCAAUACUUUUCAAGCUACUUCAGGAAAUAGAAAAGGAGGGAGAACUUCCAAAUUCAUUCUAUGAGGCCAACAUCACCCUGAUACCUAAACCAGACAAAGACACUUCAAAGAAAGAAAACUACAGACCAAUAUCUCUAAUGAACCUAGAUGCAAAAAUCCUCAAUAAAAUUCUGGCGAAUCGGAUACAAAAACAUAUCAAAAAAAUUGUGCACCAUGAUCAAGUAGGAUUCAUCCCUGGGAUGCAAGGCUGGUUCAAUAUACGGAAAUCAAUAAAUGUUAUUCACCACAUCAAUAGACUUAAAAAUAAGAACCAUAUGAUCAUCUCGAUAGAUGCGGAAAAAGCAUUCGACAAAGUACAGCAUCCCUUUAUGUUCAAAACUCUAGAAAAACUAGGGAUAACAGGAACAUACCUCAAUAUUGUAAAAGCAAUCUAUGCUAAGCCUCAGGCUAGCAUCAUUCUGAAUGGAGAAAAAUUGAAGGCAUUCCCUCUAAAAUCUGGAACAAGACAGGGAUGCCCUCUCUCACCACUUCUGUUCAACAUAGUUCUCGAAACACUGGCCAGAGCAAUUAGACAGACGAAAGAAAUUAAAGGCAUAAAAAUAGGAAAAGAAGAACUUAAAUUAUCACUAUUUGCAGAUGAUAUGAUUCUAUAUCUAGCAGACCCAAAAGGCUCUACAAAGAAACUAUUAGAGCUAAUAAAUGAAUUCAGCAAAGUGGCAGGAUAUAAAAUCAACACGCAUAAAUCAAAGGCAUUCCUGUAUAUCAGCGACAAAUCCUCUGAAAUGGAAAUGAGGACAACCACUCCAUUCACAAUAUCUUCAAAAAAAAUAAAAUACUUGGGAAUCAACCUAACAAAAGAGGUGAAAGACUUAUACAAUGAAAACUACAGAACCCUAAAGAGAGAAAUAGAAGAAGAUCUUAGAAGAUGGAAAAAUAUACCCUGUUCAUGGAUAGGCAGAACUAACAUCAUCAAAAUGGCGAUAUUACCAAAAGUUCUCUAUAGGUUUAAUGCAAUGCCAAUCAAAAUCCCAACGGCAUUUCUUGUAGAAAUAGAGAAAGCAAUCAUGAAAUUCAUAUGGAAAAAUAAAAGACCCAGAAUAGCAAAAACAAUGCUAAGCAGGAAGUGUGAAUCAGGCGGUAUAGCGAUACCAGACUUCAAACUAUACUACAGAGCAAUAGUAACAAAAACAGCAUGGUACUGGUACCAAAACAGGCGGGUGGACCAAUGGUACAGAAUAGAGGACACAGAAACCAAUCCACAAAACUACAACUAUCUUAUAUUUGAUAAAGGGGCUAAAAGCAUGCAAUGGAGGAAGGAUAGCAUCUUCAACAAAUGGUGCUGGGAAAACUGGAAAUCCAUAUGCAACAAAAUGAAACUGAAUCCCUUUCUCUUGCCAUGCACAAAAGUGAAUUCAAAAUGGAUCAAGGAGCUUGAUAUCAAAUCAGAGACACGCCGUCUGAUAGAAGAAAAAGUUGGCUACGAUCUACAUACUGUGGGGUUGGGCUCCAAAUUCCUCAAUAGGACACCCAUAGCACAAAAGUUAAUAACUAGAAUCAACAAAUGGGACUUACUCAAACUAAAAAGUUUUUUCUCAGCAAAAGAAACAAUAAGAGAGGUAAAUAGGGAGCCUACAUCCUGGGAACAAAUCUUUACUCCUCACACUUCAGAUAGAUCCCUAAUAUCCAGAGUAUACAAAGAACUCAAAAAAUUAGACAAUAAGAUAACAAAUGAUUGUGACUUUGAAUUUCCUGCAUCCAUAAUAAUGAGAAAGUCUUUUGCUUAAGUUAUGUAGUCUAUGGUAUGCAGUGAUGGCAUCCUCAACUGAUACAUGCAGAGGAACGUGGGGAUCUCAAGUGCACACAGCGGCGAAAUUCCACAAAAGGAACAUGCUGGCAAACCAACAAUGCAACCAGGGUUAAGAAAGAAAAAUGAUUACCCAAGAAGCACUCCAUUGUGCCUGUCUCCCAGUUACUGCCCCAUUCCCUUACAUGCAGAGUAUCUGCUCUCCUGGAGUCUUAAAUACAGUUUGAAAAAAGCUUCAGAAGCUGAUGCUGCAGUUUGAAUACUUAUAAGAUUUCCAGUGGGUUCUGAGAAAAAUGAAACCAAAUUUAUUAAAAUUGUACCCUGCAAUGAUAAAUAUUUUAAUUCAUCUCCUGUUUAAUCACAAAACUGUUGAAACUUGAGUUUUUUUUUCUCUAUGUAUGCACACAUAAACAGAUGAACAUGCACAUAUUGCAUUUUUAUAACCACUUUCAUCAGUAUAUUGUAGUUUGUCUGUAAGUAUAAAAUAGAUGCCAUUUUCACCUUAGCAAGAAGGAAUUUAUUUAACUUACUUUCUCCUUAAUAUCUAAUAUUUAUUUGAGGUCUACUGUUUUUGGAUUAAGAAAUUUCAGCAUCUCAUAGUAACCAAUGGUUUCCCUAUUUUAUGUGUUAUACAUAACACAUAAUGGGAAUUCUUCUGUUUUUUAAAAUUUAUUUAUUUAUUCUAAUUUGUUAUACAUGAUAGCAGAAUGCAUUUCAAUUCAUAUAGUACACCCAAAGAGCACAAUUUUUUAUGUCUCUGGUUGUACACAGAGUCAUUCUAUUGUGUCUUCAUACAUGUACUUAGGGUGAUGAUGUCCAUAUCAUUCCACCAUCUUUCCCCUCCAUCCCUUUUGCCCUGUCUAAGGCUCCUCCAUUCCUCCCAUGCUCCCCCUGGACUUCCCCAAUGGAUCAGUAUCUACAUAUCAGAGAAAACAUUCAGCAUUUGGUUUUGGGGGAUUGGCUACUUCACUUAGCAUUAUAUUCUCCAACUCCUUCAUUUACCUGCAAAUGCCAUGAUUUUACUCUCUUUUAAUGCUGAGUAAUAUUCCAUUCUGUAUAUAUACCACAUUUUCUUUAUCCAUUCAUCUAUUGAAGCAUAUCUAGGUUAGUUCCAUGAUUUAGCUAUUGUGAAUUGAACUGCUAUAAACACUGAUGUGGCUGCGUAACUGUAGUAUGCUGUUUUUAAGUCCUUUGGGUAAAACCGAGGAGUGGUAUAGCUCUGUCAAAUGGUGGUUCCAUUCUCAGUUUUCCAAGGAAUCUCCAUACUGCUUUCCAGAUUGGCUGCACCAAUUUUCAGACCCACCAGCAAUGUAUGAGUGUGCCUUUUUCUCCAUAUCCUCACCAACAUUUAUUGUUGUUUGUAUUCUUAAUAGCUGCCAUUCUACCUGGAGUGAGAUGAAAUCUUAGAGUGGUUUUGAUUUGCAUUUCUCUAAUUGCUAGAGAUGUUGAACAUUUUUUCAUAUAUUUCUUGAUCGAUUGUAUAUCCUCUUCUGAGAAGUGUCUGUUUAUUUCCUUGGCCCAUUUAUUGAUAGGGUCAUUUGUUUUUGUGGUGUUAAGUUUUUGAGUUCUUUAUACAUCCUAGAGAUUAGUGUUCUAUCUGAUGUGCGUGUGGUAAAAAUUUGCUCCCUUUCUGUAGGCUCUCUUCACCUCACCAAUUGUUUCUUUUGGUGAGUGUAAGUUUUUCAGUUUGACUCCAUCCCAUUUAUUGAUUCUUCAUUUUUUUUCUUGCACUAUAGGAGUCUUGCUAAGAAAGUAGGGGCCUAAUCCAACAUGAUGAAGAUUAGGACCUACUUUUUCUUCUAUUAGGUGCAGGGUCUCUGUUCGAAUUCCUAGGUCCUUGAUCCACUUUGAGUUUUGUGCAUGGCGAGAAAUAGGGGCUUAAUUUUAUUUUUGCUGCAUAUGGAUUUCCAGUUUUCCCAGCACCAUUUGUGAAGAGGCUUUUUCCAAUAUAUGUUUUUGGCGCCUUUGUCUAGUAUGAGAUAACUGUAUUUAUGUGGGUUUGUUUCUGUGUCCUCUAUUCUGUACCAUUGGUCUACAAGUCUAUUUUGGUCCAAUAUCAUGCUUUUUUUUUUUUAACUAUUGCUCUGUAGUAUAGGCCUUGUUUGGUAUAGUGAUGUCACCUGCUUUACUCUUCUUGCUAAAGGUUGCUUUAGCUAUUCUGGGUAUCUUAUUUUCCUGGAUGAAUUUCAUGAUUGCUUUUUCUAUUUCUAUGAGAAAUAUCUUUGGGAUUUUGAUUGGAAUUGCAUUAAAUCUGUGUAGUGCUUUUGGUAGUAUGGACAUUUUGGCAGUAUUAAUUCUGCCUAUUAAAAAAUAAAGGAGAUCUUUCCAUCUUCUGAGGUCUUCUUUAAUUUCUUUUUUUAUCAUUUUGUAAUUUUCAUUGUAUAGGUCUUUCUACUCUUUUGUUGAUUCCCAAGUAUUACCUUUUUUUUUUGAGGCUAUUAUAAAUGGGGUGAUUUUCCAGUUUCUUUUUCAGAGGAUUUGUCAUUGAUGUACAGAAAUGCCUUUGAUUUAUAGUUGUUGAUUUUAUAUCCUGCUACUUUGCUGAAUUCAUUUAUUAGUUCUAGAAGUAUUCUGGUGGAAUUUUUUGGAUCCUCUAGGUAUAGAAUCAUAUCAUUGGCAAAUAGUGAUAGUUUUAGUUCUUCUUUUCCUAUCUUAUCCCUUUAAUUUUUUUCAUCUGUUUAAUUGCUCUGGCUAGAAUUUCAAGAACUAUGUUAAAUAGAAGUGGUGAAAGAGGGCAUCCCUGUCUUGUUCCAGGUUUUAGAGGGAAUGUUUUCAAUUUUUCUCCAUUACCAUGCAGCUUCUGUUAUUGGGAAUCCACACAAGCUAGUCUGCACUAUUACUACAUUUCUAUUUACAGACAUGUGAAGGAUAAAUGACCAUAUCUCCUAGUUCAUGCUUGCUGUUCCAGUGCCCUGACUGCUUAGCAUAUGUUCCAUAGUAUCCUUUUUAAAAAUGAGGUAUUAUUGGUUGGCAUCUAAAUAAGUGAAGAUGGGUUUUGUGGUCAUCCCUUUGUUCUCCAGCCACAAUCACAGUCUCAUUGGAGAGCAUAUGUGACGUCCAUUUAGAGAGCAAAGUUCUCAAUCUCCUUGCCUGAACUUCUCCUGACAACAUCACCAACACUUUCCUGCCAAGGUACAAUCAGGGCACUUGCUGGUAAAAUAAAUUGCUCUUGGACUAAAGUGUUCCAGGAAAUGGCUUAUUGGAAAGAACCACCCUUCCUCAUAUGAGUCAGAUAAAACUCAAGGAUGCUGCCAUUGUUUGCCUAUGUCAAGGCCAAACACUGAUCCUCCAAAUUCCCAUUUUUGGUUUAUAAAUUAUGAGCUGAACUGUUUGUCUCCAUUGAUCAAUGAACUCAAAAUGCCCACCAACACGACUUGAUAAAACUUUGCUGAGGCUUCUUCCCUUCUCCCUAAUGCCUAAAUUUGAUGCAUUCUCAGACCAAGUCAUCAUUUAGUUCUUCCUUACAGCUUCUCCCAGAAAGAGCAAAGGGGAAAAUAUCCUCUGAUCUAUUAACCAAUCAGACUACUCCACCGGACAGUCCUACUUUCUGACACCUGGUCCUUGCUAGUCCUGUCCACUCCUCCUGAUCAGCCUUUUUCUGCCUAAGCUGUGAGACGUCUGAGAUUUUAUAGUCAAAGAGUUCUCCCUAUUAUAGUAGUUCCUUUCUCCUUUCAGUAAUUCUUUAAAAUAAAUCUUCUACUUACCUCACUCUAGAUUUUUAAUAAGUUUCCAUUUUUAGAGCAAUUUUAGGUUCACAGCAAAAUUGAGCAGAAAAUACAGAGUUUCUAAGAUCUCCCUUCUCCCCCACUCCCACACCCUGUCCUACUGUCAAUAUCCUGUGCCACACUGGUUACAGUCAAUGAACCUAUACAGACAUAUAAUUGUCAUAGAAGGGAAUCAGAAUAUGUCUAUCCAAAAUAUGCCACUUUGGCAUAAGAAUGUUUGACCCAAAGGCCAUUGAGAAUCAGCAGAUGCAGAAGAGCUCUCUGCUGUCCUGUUAUCUGUCUAAAAAGCAGGGCAUACAUUUCCCUUUGUGAAGAUGUCCAGUCUCACGUACUAGGAGGAGUCCCACAACUCUCACACUGGAGAUGGAGAGACUGCCCCAGGAUGAGUUUGAGAUAAAUAAGUCAAAUAACCCUUAUCUCCCAUUAGUUUCCCCAUAAUGCUUGCUAGUAACUUCCCCAUGACUUACCAUCCUUUGAAGCCCCAAACCCCUUCCGUUGUUAAAAUGGUUUAUGAUGCAUUGUGUCUAAUUGCUUCUUUGCUAUUUCUGCUCUGCAUUCCUGUGCAUGUAAAUGUCACUUCAAAUGUUAUGACUCUUUUUUUAUUGAUCUUGCCUUUCUUAUUCUAACUCAAAGUCUCCCAAACACUGAACUUAAGAGGAAAGAGGAAAACUUGAUCUGCACGAUGUUGCUCAGUGUCCCCAGAGUUCACUCUCAGCAUGAUAUUCCAAUGCUGUGCUCUGGACGUUUGUGUUCACCAUCCACAAAUUCAAUCCCAGAGAUUUUGGUCUGGAUGCUUAUGUUCCCACUAAACCCAUGCCCAAUAAGCCCAAUCCUAAUGUAAUUAUUUUAAGAGGUUGGGUCUUUGCAAGGUGACCAGGCCAUGAGGGGAAAGCCUCAGGAUCUGAUCAAUGAUCUGAAAGAAGCAGCUAUGGAAUUUGCCAUGCCCUUCCCACAGUGUAAGCUUGCAGUGAGAAUACAGCUCUCCUAGUACCUCUGGAACUGUGGGAUAAACAUUUGUGUUGUUUAUCAACUAUCUAGUCUAUAAUAUUUUGUUGUAGAAGCCCAAAUAGACGAGGGCUUAUGAGUUUUGACAAAUUUAUAAUGAUAUAUAUCUGCCAUCAUACAGAACAAUCCCACUAACCUAAAAAAAAUCGUCCGUGCUCUGCUUGUUAAUCUCUCCCUCCCUUUAAGCCCUGACAUCUUUUAUUGUGUCAAGGGACAUGCCUUUCCUCGGUGUCAUGUAGUUGGAAUCAUAGAAUAUGAAGCCUUCUCACACUGGCUUUUUCUGAAUUUUUAAUUUGAUACUUGGUAACUGAGAACACAUCCUGAGUCACAUAUUCUAUAGUAUUGAGUUUAUAUUCCUAAUGGUACAUUAUGCAUAUUGCAACAAGGGAAGAGGGCAUGCAGCAUUUGCAAUGCAACAGGGAAGGGACAUUUGCAAAGGUGGUACAAAAAUUCUUUUCAGAUAGAAAUUGUGCUUGCCUGCUGUUUAAUGUUUCUAUUAGAGAUUAGAGACGGAGCUCCCCCAUCAGUGUGUCAAAUGAAAGGAGAUAGUUCUGAUUGGAAGUUGCUUUGUGGCCACCAUUUCUGCCUCAGGGGAAACAGUAUAAGGGAUGAUUUGAUGCAAUUUCGGGUCAUGCCCACAGUCCUUGGCUGCCUACGGAAGCUAGUUCACUCUGAAGUUAAUGAAGCUUAUUCUUUGAGGACUCCCAUUUUGUGUUCAUAAUUUCAUUCUUUUCCUUAAGAGGGUCCCCCAUUGUAUGAGCUUCAUUGCCCCCAGGAAACCGGGAUCAUCCCCUGGCUGUGCAUUUUGGCAGAUUCCUCUUUGCUUAUCAUUUUAUCCCAGUGAACUCUGCCAGCUCGUAACCCAUACUUCUUGAAGGAUGAGACCAAUGUCCGUACUAAAAAUAGAAAGGGUAGGAAGUGGGGCACAACUCCUUCUAUAAUAGUAAAACAUGAAGCAGAACACCACACGUUGGGCAUCCUAGACCUGCCCUCUUAAUGGAUUUUAAAGUAUAAAAUUAGGAACCCCACAGCCCAGAAAGCACACAUCUCUAUUUCUCAUAGCUCUGAUAUUGACUCUGACAUAUGUCCUUGAAAUAAUUACAGCCAUAGAUAAGUCAGAAAUAACCAAAUUAAGAAAAGGUUGGUUAUUAUGCCUCAUAUAGAUCUAAACUUGAAAGAAGUAAAUUAAAUUUCAGAAUAAAAUAUUGUUGAUGGAACAACAAUUUCAAAAAUGGAACCAAAACCUCAAGAAUGUUCUUAGUACAUAUCACAGUUUGCAGAGCAAGCUACCCACAGUAUCCAACCUCCAGCCCCACCCCACAGGCUGCACUCAUCCCACCUCCCUGGAAUUCCUCUGGUUCCCAUAACGUGAGGAGCCAGAGGAUGCAACAGUUAAUAUUUAUUGGACUGAUAAUGUUCCAGACACCAUACUGAUGCUUUACACGUAUUAACUCAUUUAGUCUGUUGAGACUGGGCAAAGGAUGCAAUAAAGUUUUGGAAAAGAAUGAGAAACAAACAACAGGAAACAGACAGAAGGAACCAUAUUACUCCAUUAUCAUUUGCUUUAAUGUCAGUUUUAUUAUGUGUAAUGCUGAUUUGAGGACAUGGACUUGGGAAUCAUAGAUGGGCUUCCUAAAUGCUUCACUGCAGAUGUGGUUGUCAGUCACCAGCUCAGCAGGUCCACUGAGCUGUCCUGUGGGAAUUGAUCCCCAGCUGUACAUAGACUGAAGGGAAGGGCUGGCCUUGGUGGGAGAUAAAGACAAGGAGAGGAAGGAAGGCGGAGACUGUCUGGGAUUCUCUUGUUGGACAAGGAUACACAUGGUGCCUCUUUAGACUGGCCCCAGCAAGAUUCCUUCAAACCUUGAUUCUGGAACAUUUCCCUCUAGUUACUCAGAUUCAGCCCCAAGUGCUUCAGCAACUUCUGCUCCUCCCCACCUUUUUCCUAAAUGCAUCUGUGCCUCGGAAUAGAUGAGGCAUAACAAGUUCAGGUAAGGCUGUACAGACACACUCAAUUUAGUUUUCUAAUAUUAAAUUGAGAGGCCGAAGUCUCCAUUCCCUCCAUUCCCUUUCCCUUCCAAGGCAUCCAUACGGGUUCACAUGGAUUAUGAGUUGAUAAUAAUAAUUAGAUGAUAAUCUUAUGCUAAUUCUUCAGCAAAAGCAGAAUUCCAUACAUCUCCCAAAGCAGCUGUCUAUACUACAUUAUAAACCUCUUACUCUGUUUAGCUCCGUGUCUAUAUUAUUGUUGAAAAUCUUAUGGAAAAACUGUCCCCAUGGACAAUUUUGUCAUGAUUAAGCAAUAUUCAAAGAAAAUAAAAUAAUCAGAAGACCUGUAACUAUAAUUUUCUUUGUGUAGUUCAUAUUGAUAACUCAUUAGGAGAAGAAAAAAAAUGUCAGAGAAAUUGUAAGGUGCCUUCUGUUGGGUGAAAGACAUUGUUCUUCUUAACUCAAUAACUUAAUCUCUUGACAAUAUACAGGAUCAGUCUAAGCACCUUAGAUGUAAUAACAUUCAUUCUCAGGAAUUAGAAGAAAAGACACAAAAAAGGGAUAUGUGGUUUGUGUUUCAGUUUACUAAUUUUGGUGGAAACUAACAGGCCUGGGUUUGGCACAAGAAUCCCAAAUUCCUGGACAAGUCUCAAUUUAAGCAUCUCUAAAAUAGGUUUAUUAUCCGUUUACACCCUCUGGCCAUUGGAGAAGGGGCUAGACCAUGCACAUGACAUGUGCUGAAAUAAUUUGUUUAGAAAAGCUCUGUUUAUUUGUGGGUCAAAGGUGCUGCCACUAGUCUAUUAUAUUAACUAUUAUUUCCAAGCUCUCCUUCAAUCCAGCUGUGAGGUAGGAUCUCAGGGACAAGGCAAGGUUUCUUUGAAACUCAAAUUCCAUCCUACAGUCUGGAAUUACUUUGUCAAUAUGAUUAUUCAUAAUAAUCUAUAGCUUACUUUAUGUCAAGUAUUAUUUUCUGAGCAUUUUAUAAAUAUUAGACUAUUCCCUCCCCAUAACAACUAUAAAAAUAUUGCUUUUAUUAUAUAUUUUUUAAAUGAAAAACAAACAAACAACAAAAAACUUGAGGCAAUAAAGUGCCUCAUUACCAAAAUCACAAAGUUAGCAAAUGCCCUGCCUAGGAUUUGAAAGCAGGCUGAUUUUGCUCUUUAUCACACGACAUUACUCCUUUAACUAGAAAACCGCUAUGGGUAAAAUUUUAAAAUUACUACUUUUCUCUCCCAUCCACUUUAACUUACUUUUCUAUAACUAUUUUUUACUAUAUAAUAACACUAGUUUAGCUAUCUACCACAUCCUCAUAGUCAACUAUUUUUUUUACCUAGUUACCUAUAGAAAUCAUUUCUAUUUUCAUUUUAAAAAAUCUAUUUCUAUUUUUAUAACAAUUACUAAUAACUGUAUGGUAAAGAGGGUAGGGAUUAGGCCCACAGGCUCUGGCCCCGAGUGCAGUGACUUGCAAGCAGGCACGCCACCUUCAAGCUGUGGCCUUUAGCGAGUUGCAUCAACUUGGUGUCCUUCAGUUUCCUCAUAUUGAAUGAAGGUAGCACUUCUACCACUAAUCUCCACUGGAGACUUCAUAUAUUGUGAGUUAAUUCAUUCUGAAUCGUACCAGGUGUACAAUUGCUCUCUGCAAGAAAGAAUUCUUAUGAUUAUGUGUUUGUGUGUGUGUGUGUGUGUGUGUGUGUGUGUAUGUAUUUAGAUCCCACCACUUCUGCUAUUUUAUUUUUGUGUGGAAUAUGCCGUUUACUAAGUGUUUUUAUAUACGUUGACUGAUUUUCAUUUUUAUGUAACCCUGUGAGAUAAAUGAACUUGUUUUAAUAUAUGGAAACCUAGACUUGAUUGUCUUGGGCUGAAUUAUGUCCCCUGAAAUGGACAUGUUGGAGUCCUAAUCCCUACUUUCUCAGAAUGUGAACUCAGUAGAUACAGUCUUUGCAGAAGUAAUCAAGGUAAAAUGAGGUUAUUAAAGUGAAUUCUAUUGCAAUAUGACUGAUAUCUUUAUCAUAAUGGGAAAUUUGGACACAGACAUGCAUAGACAAAGCCCAAGAGAAAGGCCUGGAACAGAACCUUCACAGCCUUCAGCAAGAAUAAACCCUGCCAACAUCAAGACUUCUGGCCUCCAGACCCUCAUGAGACUAAACUUGUUAUGCUCUCCAGAAUGUUCCUAUCUGUAUCAAGGAUUGUUUGAGUAUAUUCUGAAGUGACUUGUGACACUAUCAUGUACCAUUGACAAGGACCAAAAUCACAGGACCAGAGAACUUGGAUAUCCACAAAAGCCUUAUCCUCAAAGCAAGCCUCUCCAUUUUCUGCAUUCCUCUGAAGUCCAGGUAUCAUUUGAGCUGGAUUUCUUGGUAUCUCAUACUUCACUGUGGCUUCAGCUCACCCAAAAGUCUGGGUAAGGUACGGAGCACCUACCACCUCUCACUUUCCCCUGAUUGUCUCAUGCUUCAGGGCCCCAAUACUUUGUAAACCAAUAUCAAAUAUAAAUUUAAGGUUUAUUUUCAUGUAUGCAAAUCCAAGACUUGAAAAUUACAGACUGUAGUAGACCUAGAAAUGAUAAAAGACAGACUAAUGAGAUUGUAUGACUAUGUGAUCCAUGAAUAGAAUCUUAUAAUGAAUGAACUGUUAGUCAGAAGAUGCUGAGUUUUGCCAAAAUACCAUUCCUGUAAGGGCAUUGCCUCCCCUUAUCAGUUCAGUGGCAUCAAUCAUGUGGACACCAUUGUCAAAAGUGUCUUAGAGUGACUUUAAUUCUGAUAAGUGAACCUAGUCCCUUUACAGGGAUUAUUUUAAGAAGUCUUGGUUCUUUGCCUCAUUCUGGAUCCUGAGAGCUUUUCUUAGAACAGAAGUUUUUUUUUUUUUCAAGUGAUUCAGGAUCUAAAAUUAUUCUUUUGUCCUGAAAAAUGUGCCAAACACAGGCCCUUUUGCUCUAGAAGGACAUUCACAUUGCCCAGGAAGGGCAUGACUUUGAGUUCUAGGCAUGAUUAACCAUUUCUCCAAAGGGCAGAGGAUUUGUACAGGUACCAGAGUCAGGGCACUUGGUGAGGGCAAAAGAAGCAGGAUGGUAUAGUAAUUUUAGGCCCACGAUCUAUGUCAGGGCAAUAGCAUUUGACCUGACAUUAGAAAACUUGGCUCCCCAUUCCCGCACUGUUGUAUCUGGACCCUACUGCGGCAGUCCGGCUGCAGCAAAAUAACCGGGGGGUGACAAACAAUUUGUGUACAUUGAUACAGCAGGAGUGGGAGCCGUUUAUUGUAGGACAGGAGGGGUAUAUAUACAUCACACACAGCUUAUCUUAAUUAACAUAAACUAGAUAGAGCCGUCAACCAAUAAGGAAUCUCCACACUUAAUGGCUCGCUGGCGUUACUUCACAAACCACUCCCUCUGGCAAAAUGCCAGGAGCCAUCUUGACUUGUUUACAGACCCUAACACCCUACAUAUUUAGGAGAUCUUCUGAGUUUUCUGAGAUUUUUUUUCCCCUGAGAAUUCAAUUCAAUGGAUUUUGGAAAAUCUGUAUGCUAAUGUAACCCAUGUGUGGAUUAAGGUAUGGGGUGUUUCCAUCACCCCAGAAGGUUUCCUCAGGGUCCUUUGCAGUCACCACUCCCACCAUGUUUUCAUAGAGAGAUUAUUACUUUUCAAAAAUAUUCACGUCUGUUGCCAUGGAUCAUAGAUUCAUUUUUCCUGUUGUAGGACUUCGUAUAACAGGCACUCCAUUAUGGCUUCUUUCAUUCAAUAUAACGUUUGUGGAAUUAUUUUAUGUUGUCACAUGCUCAGUCAUCUUCUCCUUUUUGUUGCUGAGUGAAAAUCCUUUAUAUAAAUGUAUACACCUGAACUUUUCAAAUUAAUAAAAUAAGUGGGAAAACCUAGAUUUAAAACCCAAACCCACUGGGAUUUUGGAAAAGGUGUUUGGUUCUUCCUGUUUUUUUUUUUUUUAAUCUAACAUAGAGCAUAAUCUCACCCCUCCCUCCAUGUCAACAUACAAGGUUUUAAGCAUGUAUGUUUUGGUGUCUGGCAAUUUUUGUUUAACGUAUUGUCCAUGAAAUUAAUCUGACAACUGAUGUCCUAGCUUCUGUCAUUCUCUAUUCAGCAGCUAGGAUGAAUCUUUUGAAUGUGAAUCAGACCAUGUGACUUUUUUGAUCUGACCUACCUUCACCACCAGCCCAGCCUCCCUCCUCAUCUCUGGCCAUUCUCCUUCAAUUCCCUGCACCUUUAUGACCACAUCUCUAACAAGCCCCAUCUUCUUACUGGGGAGCCUGAAGAAAGUUGUCCCUCUCUAUUGCAGGUCUGCUUGUUUCUCACCUUUAUUUCUCUGCCUAAAUACACCUUCUGACCUCUGAAACUAGAGAGAGACUCUAGUUGGGCAUUAUUGAUCAAUAAUUAUUUGUUGGAUUAACAAACAAGGGCACUGAGCACUAUAGACACAAUAAAGUGUAAAAAUUUAUGUAGUCAUGUUAGUAUUUUAUAAUAAAAAUGCAUCAUAAAAUAUAUGCUCAUAAAUUAGACUAUGUAGUUGUGGUCACUAUGAAAAAAAAACAGAACUGUACUUUGCAUUCCAUAAACUUAUCCUUAAAAUGUCAAAUAAGAGAGAGGAAACUGAAAAUUAUCUAAUGACUCAGAAAUGAAAAUUAAGAAGCACAUUAGCCAAUUAUACUGUGGGUGGAUGAUGAGCAGGUAGAAAGCUUCCUACGUCUGGGAGGUGGUGGGACAUCUUGGGGUCUGCAAGAAGGUUAAAUUUAGGUUUCCUGAGAUAAUGGGAGCACAGUGACAAUACCAUUAAUAUUGUGGAUUUCUUUUUUUAUAUUUUAUAAAUAAGUAUGCUGGUGUACAAAUUAUAAGUGAAUAAAAUUUAGUUAGUUAUCUCUUAAAUUGACUCCGUUUACAUUAAUAAUGUUCUACUCUUCUACUGUGAAACCUGCUGUCUGACAUCCAUGGCAUGCGUGAUACUCCAGGCCAGCUAAACAGCUCAUCAUUGAUCCUUCUUUUCCCUCCACUUUUCCCACCAAGAGAUAACCAUGUUCCAAAUCUAUAUAUUUCUAUAAUAGCUAUUGGUUUACAAAUUGCCAAAAUUUGAGUAGGAAAAUAAAUGGUCUCUAUGAAUAAUUAGCUGAGCAAUUUAGAAAGACUUGAUAAGGGUGAACAACUUUAUUUUUAUGAUGAAAUAGAUGUGGGCAAUAAAACUUUAUAAGAUUUGGAUAAAAUUAUAAAAAUAUGGAUAUAUUCUGAAUUAAAUAGAUUUAGGUGCUUUUAAGUUCUAUAAUCUAAAGAAACUGAAAUUCAAGUGUUUUCUUUUAGUCAAGUUAUUUUUAUGCAAAGAAAACCCCCAGAGUUACAUCAAAAGAUUAGCAAAGAAGAACUCUUCUGAUUAUUGAGUCAACUAAAUGCUCUGAUUCUUAUGAGACACAAAAAAAAAGCUUGCAGUGAGCUGAAUGUAAUCACUCUCUUCUAUUUUACUAGUAGCAGAAAUGUAGAAAUCAUCAGAAUGCAGAAAUUGAUGCUCCCUAAUUCAAUGUAACUACUGGAGAAUCGCAUAAAUCCUCAACCUCACAGUCCAAUUCUGGCCUUCCUUUAACCAGCUUAUUUCAGUACAAAUAUACCUCGUCUUACAUUCUUCCAUUAUCUGAUUUCCCCCUCAUCCCUUGGGUGAGCUCUCUUUCACUAAGACACGAUAAUGUUAUAAUAGGCAAUUCCAUUCAAUGUUCUCUGCUUUUGAAAGUAUAUACUGUACUUUUUAAAUGAAGUCUCCUCCAUUUAUUUCCUUCAUAUUAUUUCCUCCUGGUUUCUCUUAUACUCUCAGAAAACUCCUUUAAUGCACACACCUUCAUACUUUGUUAGUGUUUGCAAAGAUUUUGUCCCUAAAUUUCCUGUCUUCUAUAUACUUUGGUUGAGUCGGCUCAAUCAAGACAGCAGCCUUUAAGUAUCACCUAUUUCUCAGAGACUCCCAGGUUCCAGUAUUCAGCUUGGAUGUUUAUCAUGAGCUUUAGAACACCUGGAUGUGUUCCUCAUAGUCAAAAUGAUCAAAAUGGAGAGACAUGUGCAAGAAUGCUCAUAGCAGAUGCAUUCUUGCAAUAAUAAAAAAUAGCAAUAAUCCAAGAGCAUCCACAGGAGUGGGAUAAAUUGUCAUAGUCAGUUUCCUGUUUUGUGUACAUCAGGGAAAACUGAAUAAGGUGCAGCUACACAAAUCAACUUUAAUGAAUCUAAAAUAACAACAUUCAUAAUAAUAAUAAAACCUGAAAGAUUCAACUUAUAGAAUGCUAUAUAUUGUAGCAAAAUUUAAAAAUAUAUAAGAAUAUAUUCAUAAAUGGUAAAACUAUGAAAACAAAAUAACAGUUCUGGUUGGGGGAGUGGUUUGGGAAGAAACACAGAGAUAGCUUUUAUGUUACUAGUACCACAGUAUUUUUAAAUUUGUGUGGCAAGUUCACAAGUAUUCACUUUGCUCAUAUUUUUAUGAAUUUUCUUUAUGUUUUACCUAAUAAUUACAUUAAAGAGCCUAAAACUAAAUGUAUGUUAUUCCCAUCCCAAUAAUUUAUUUAUGCACUUAUUUUUCUUCUGUUCCCUUUUUGGUCAAAGUCAAUAUCAUCCAUUUAUUUGCUAUAGUCAGAAAAUUUAACCACAUUUAUUUUACUUUGCUUUGUCUCCCACAUCCAUUGGAUUCUACCUAGGCUGAGCUCUUGAACCUAAAUCAUUAUCUUCAUCCCCAAUAACUUCACACUUGAAGCCUCAGCAUUUCUCAACAAUGGAAACUUUGAAACCAUUCUGCAUAUGCUGCCUGUAUUCAAUAAGUCUCAUUCCCAACACACACUUGAAAAUGUCCUCUUCCUAUUCUGAUGCUUAGCAGAUCCCUACUAAGCACUUACCAAAGGCGACUAACUUACCUUCAGGUCCCAAAUUUGAUUCCUUGAUACCUAUUUCUUUUCAUCUCCAAACCCCUUUGUCCACAAUGUUUUAAACAAGGCAUGGAUUUUCAGGCCUUUAUUUGUGUUCUGCAUGUCCCUAAUGCUGACUUGUCGCUUUUAGGCUCACAUUAAACAAAAUCUCUAUCACAUCCUCGCCAGCUAGGCACGCACAAUCCAUCAUUCACUCUCCCAUUUUCCCAAGGCACUCUGCCUAUCUGUGUUGCAGCACUUGUCUCAUUGUAUAAGUUCACUCUGUCUCCUUAAAUGCACUAUUAACUUCUUGAAGACGGAAAUGAUGGUCUUAUCUGUUGUAUUCAUCUUCAUAUAUGCUAAUCUCUGUGUGGGGCAUGGUUAUCCUCUAUGUUCAAUUUCAAGGUUCUGAUAUUGAGAUACCCUAACUGACUGAUCCGCUAAGCUACUUGAGGUCACAGAAUGACUGUCUGCUUCUCUUUAAGUGUUCUUUCACAAAUCUCAACUUACUUAUUUGUAGGAAGCUGGUAUUCUACAUAGGAUAUUAUUAGGAACACGUUCAUAAACAUUAUGCAGCCUCGUUCACUGAAAGAAAGACAAAAGCUAAUCAAUAUCCAGUGAUUAUUAUUUGUUAGGAAUGAAGUUAGAUCCUCUUAUGCAAUUAAUUUUUCUUAGUUUUCCCAGAAACCCCUUAGUUGUAGACACUGCAUUUACCCCUCCCUGGUGGUGGGAGAGAAAUGUAGAGGGCUGCUAAUACUUACGGAGUUUAUUUCUUUGUGAUAAAAAUGUUCUAAAGCCAACUGAGGUGAUGGUUGCACAACUCUGUGCACAAAAAAAAAAAAAAUGCUGGGUGAUAUACUUUAAAUGGAUGAAAUGCAUGGUAUGUGAAUAUUAUCCCAAUAAAGCUAUCAAGAAGAAAAGCUAAAGACACAUCUGCCAAACUUCAAAGUUCUAUCACACCAUUCAUGUAAAUAUCUUAUUUAUUUAUAAUUUUUAAAUGACAUUUUGUAAAGAAACUUAACAUAUGGUCCUUGAAGAAGGUGUUCAGAAUACGCAGAGAUUCUCAAGUGUCAGUGUUCAUUAGAGUAACCUGCAAACUCUAGAACUCCAAGUACUAAAGUUAGAAUCUUAUAGGAGAAGCAGAGAGAUCCUGCAUUCAGGACCAGCUCCCUAGGUGUCUGGUAGGGGCCCAUGUGUUGAAAGAACAGGACUUGAGCUAAGAUUUCAAACUGCUGCCACUUCAUCUGCUGCCUUGCUGCUUGUGACACGUUUCCUACCCGAGGACUCAACAGUGCACAGUGCCACAAACACUUCUGGUGAAUACCUGAUCUGCUCACAUUCUCUCCUAAAGCAGAGACACUGUAUCUCCCCAAAUUUCUUUGGGUGCUGGAGAAUACAGAACUCAUUGAAUAAUGCAUUUCAUCCCCAGGCUACUUGAAAGAGGCUCUGCUUAAUGCAGUAGAAAUUUUCAGAUGAUUUAUUCUGGAGCCACUGAUCAAAAGUACAGCUAAUGGGAACAGGUGAGCUCAGGUGAUUGAUAUCUUUCAAGGGACAGUGAACAAAAUCCCUAUCACUAGGAAAGAGACACAGCAAUUAAACCAAAUGUCAGAGAAGCAGAGAAACCUUUCCUUCUGUUUAGGCUUUAACAUAAAUUUCGUCAGAGUCCCCCGCAAGCCUCAGACUAGACGUUAGCAUGUCUAAAUGGAUUCUACAAUGUUGGCAUCAUGUUUCUGGGUCUGAGCUGAUAGUGCCUUGUGGUGUUGGUGAAUGAGGCAGGCAAGGAAUGAAACUGACAGGGCCAGGAAAACAUCAAAUAUCUCUCAGAAAUACAGUGAUGGGGAAGAAAGUCAGCCCUCAUCAGACAAAAAGAAGGUGAUUCUCACAGAGCUCCUGCUUGUAUGUCCCUCGGAGGGAGUGCUUCGUUUCACUUGGCUCCAGUGCCAAUCAAAAUGCCCCCUUGGCAGUGGAUAAAAUAAAAUAAAGAAGGCAGAAAUAAAUGCCAAAACAAAUUCAUGCACAGAAUGACCUUCCAAAUGCUUCAAGGCCCAGCUAAGCUGUCCUCUACCAAAUGAACUGAAAGGGCAGAGGGAAAAAAUCUAUAAUUUAACUCUUACUAGAAAGAUCUUUAAAAUUAGCUGAGGUUCUAAAAUAUUUGCUAAUCUCUUCUUUCUGAUGGUGACCUGACAUUCAAUGAAUAUCUCCUACUCUACCAGAUAUUUUAUAUGGAUUUUACGGUAUCAUUUCACAAUACUAUUGUGAAAUGGAUGUCAUUGUCCCCAGUUCACAUUUGAAGAAAUAAGUCAAGGUCAAGUCAGUUGCCCAAGGUCACAUUGGAAAGAAGUGAAUCUGAGAUGUGUACUUUGUUUUACUCUAAAGUUCAUUCCACAUUUUAUUCCCCCCCACCAGACAACCCCUCAAGUUUAUAUUAGAAUAAGAAAACCCAAUUAGAUUAUUCUGAAAUGUCAAUGUCUUUUUUUCUUUUAUUAAAAAAGAUGUCAGGAAAUAUGCCUCAUUCAGAAAGCUUGCCUGGGUGACAAAUUGUUGAAAUCAAUUGUUUUUAAACCAUGCAAUCGAAUUUUUUACACUUUUAGUUUAAUUGAGGUGUACGAAGCUUACUUCACCAGACCAGAUUCCAAGUAGAUUGACCUGAACUCUUUAGAAAUUAUUUAGGUCCUCCUUUCACUCUGUUUAGUUCUUAACACAAGGAUAAUGCAGUCAAGUUCCCAGGGCCACCUGCCAAGGAAUACAAGGAGUUUUACAUAACCCUAGUAGACAUAGCCAUGAAGUGUCCAAGGACAACUAGACAAAGGAAAACCUCCUGUCACCAGACUUAUUGCAUCAUGUCAGCCUUAAAAAAAGAACCAAAGAGCUCUGUCAUCAUUCCAGCAGGAGACCUUGGCAGAGUCUUCCCUGAGAGGAAGAUUGUCCACGGAGGCUCCCUUGGCUCCCGAUGGGACUAAGCACCAUGGCAUGGGCCGUGGGGAUAUUGGAACAGACACAUGCAACACUUCUCUCCACAGGAUUUCUUGUCUCCACAUUUUGCCUGUUGUUAAGGAAAAGUGCCCUCUUCUCCCCACCUGGCUACUAAACAAAAAGAGACCACAGAGAAAGGAGUUUGAAGGGGUCUAACUCAGAUGACUCUAGUGGUGAGAGGUUGCAGGGGUCAGGGAAACCUGGGAUGACACCCAAGCUCUGCCAUUAACUAGCUGCAUCAGUUGCAUAAGUUACUUAACCUCUCUGUACUUCAGAUGGUUGUGGUAACUAAACUACACAGCUUUUUGAAAGGAAAGCAAUACAGUAGAAUAGUUAGAGCACCAUCUUUGGAGUAAAUUGACCUGGAGACCAGCUCAAUAACUUAACCUCCCUGCAAUGCUGUGCUGGACAAUUUGCCUUCUGAGGCAGUUCUCUCAUCUGUAAAGCUGGGCUCACAGACACACAUCAUGUUAGAGAUACACAGAGCUACACCAGUGGAUCUUUAAAUCUUAAUGAAAAAGUAAGAAAUAGCUAAAACACAUUGCCACAUAUUCAUACUGAGGAAUAUGAUUAACUCAACUCUCUGAAGCAGAAGUCUUAAAAACCCAACAACAGAACAGGCAAUGAGUGAGUGUACUUCCUAAGGCUGGUGGGGUUAAGUGUGUUAAAAACUGGGGAGGGCUUAGCAGAGCACCUGCUGUAUACCCCAUGAUGGUCACAGCUUUAUAAGAUUUUUGGAUCUGAAGCCUGAAUGGUUUUUUGAGGUGCAUUUCUAGAGUUUCUGGGAGAACAAGUUAUGCCAAAACUGUCCCCCAAAUCUAAUUUUCAAUCUUUUCCAUGGGUCAGUUUUCCAAAAAUGGGAGCGAGUGCCUCUGAAAAUUCACUGUCCUUUUUAUACAGAACAUGAAUAACUCUCUGGUAUAACAGAAGACUAGAGUUUGGUCUGUAACAUUAUGAAUAUAAUGUCAGCUAAAAGUGAAUUAUGUUAAGUUGGUCAUUUCUCAUUUUUGAUAUUCAAAAUGAUUUAGCCAGGUUACAUUUCUUUAUGCAUUAGACCAUUAAGGGGGCACAGUGGUCUUGUCCCAUCUAAUCCUUUAUUAAACCAAAUUAAAAAUAAUUUCUCAAUUCCGUUAUUAAUAUCCUCCCUCUGUGAAAAGUGUCUCCCUCAGCAGACCCUAUUGACAUUCAGUCUAGACGCGGCUGGAGGAACUCGCUUCAUGAAUAUCAAUAAAUGUGUUGCAUAGAGAUGGGAGGAUAUUAAAUUAUUUCCAAGCAGUUGACAGUUGACAAAAUGUUAGUACAAUAAUUAACAGAGCAGACUGUUUAAAUGCUAGGUAGGGGUUCCUCUGUGCAUUGGUCAUAAGGGAAACACAUCUUUGUUAGAGGAUAGCUUCAGAAAAAAACUUAACCUUACCUUCAGUCCAUUCUGGCUUUACACCUCAAGUGAAUCCUAUGUGAAAAGAGAGAAAAGGUCUUCUUUUUAAAAUGCCAUAGACACCUCAUUGAUGUUCUUGGUUUAGAAAAAAAAAUUAAUUUAUUUAUCUACAGGAUUUCUCACUUUGAUUUUCUUUCUCCUCUGACAGCAGACAAAUUCAAAUUCUAGUGGAUAUAUUAGAGGUCAAAAGAGGCUUUGUUGGCCCACAGUGUCCUCAUUUCCAUCCAUCUUAGCCCUCAUUCAAUUCCCAACCACUUUGGAUAUUCUUAUUUCUUUUUUUCUGGAGAUGAAUUUGAACUUCUAUAAUUUUAAAACGUUUAUCAGCUCUUUUUCAAGUUUGAUUGACUGACAGCUAAUAAACUAAAGCAAUCUUUUAUUUGUGUGUGUGUUGGGGGGGGGGAGUACAAGGGAUGAACUCAGGGAACUCGACCACUGAGCCAGCCCUCUUUUGUAUUUUAUUUAGAGAGAGGAUCUCACUGAGUUGCUUAGCACCUUGCUGUUGCUGAGGCUGGCUUUGAACUCACAAUACUACUGCCUCAACCUCCUGAGAUGCUGGAAUUAUAGGUGUGUUCCUGAAACAAUCAUUCCUAACAUGAAGGUUGGCCUGUGAUGCUUACUCAAAAUAUAGAUUUCAAUACCUGAAUGAAUCUCUCCAUCAUGUGCCCCGACAAGAAUGGAGUCCUAAUUAGAAUAAGACAUACUCUAUGCUUGUAUAAUUUUAUAAAUGGAUUCUACUGUUAAGUAUAACUAAGAAGAACACAUUUGGAAGAUUUAUUCCCUGGGAAUAUGAGUAAUUUGGGUGGAGCCCAGGAAUCUGUAUUCUUAACCAACACCCAGACAUUCUGAUUCAGGUAGUCCAAGGAGCACAUCUUGAGAAAACCAGAUGAGCACAUUUCUCAUUUUCAGUUUAAACAAGUUAUUUGCCCUAGAUGUUGACAGAAAGCUGAUCAAAGGCCAGGACUGUACUCAGUUGCCCUCCAUUGAAUACAUCUGCUGGGGAGAGCCAAAUACACCAUGCUGAUAAUGCUCGCAGAAGCUAGCCCAAAAGAACAUGGAGAAAGCACUUACUGUGCUCCAGGCAUUUUACAAACCCACUCUAAUUUAAGUCAAAGUGUACAGAGGUAGAGCUCAGUUACACACCCAUGCCUCGACCAACUGCUGGGGUGAGGGGAGCAAGAGCUGAUAGUUUUCUCUCUCAAUCCAAAACCCCCAGGAAUGAAGGGCAUCAGGUCAGAGAUUGAGACAUCUAAAUACCAGUCUGCAAGUAUGACCCUUCCUCCUUCCUGCAGGCUACCAAUGCAAGUAUCAAACAUCUCCCACUUCUAUUUCAGGAUCUUUCAGGUUUUGGGGGUUCAGAUUGGAAGUAGGUUUCCUCCCUUUUCCUGCUUCAGAAACUGAAGAUGCAUGAGUUGGCACAUGUGGAAACACUUGAUAUUGACUGGAGAAUAAAAUUAUGCAUAGAUGGAAUAUGAUUUAGUCCAUAAAAAGAAAAAAAUCUGACAUAGUUAAGUACACUCUGUGUAUUCUUUGGUAGAUUCAUUCAUUCAUCAAACAUUAUUUGUACCUGUUGUUUAUGAGAACACUGAAGACUGCUAAGGGUAUAGGCUGCCACAGACUAAAUAUUUUCAGUUUGGUGGGGAUAGGAGGAGGCCAAAUAGGAGACACCCGGGGUAGAGGAGGUAGAAUGAAGAUAGGGAACAAGAAGAAGGAUGAGGGGCUAGAAUGAGGGUUGGAAGAGUAGUAGGAAAGUAUAACACAUUUUAAGUUUGUAUACAUUUUUGAAAUUAACAAAAUUAUCUUUUAUUUAUUGCAUGAUUUAUUCAUUGCAUGGUCUCCAGAAGAAUCAUCUAAAAAACAUGCUGUUAAAAUGGGUUCCUGAUCCCACUUCCAGGAAUUCUGACUCAUUGAGUCUGGGUUGGGUCUGGUGGGUCGGGUGUUUGGUCAUGGUCAUGGAUUGACCAUGCCUGGGUUGGUACUGAAUUAAUCCUCAAUAAAACACUAUGGGACAGGUAAGGUCAGAAUUAUGAUCCCCACUUUUUACUGUCUUUUCCCCAUAGUUUUAUUGAAGUUUGUGGGCUAAUAAAAAUUGCAUGUUUAUGGUGUUCAACACAAUGUUUGGUGAUUUAUGUUCACUGAAAUAUUCUUCUCAACAGCCAAGGUGUGGAAUCAAACUACAUGUCCAUCAUCAGGUGAAUGGAUAAGGAAAAGGUAAAUGUGUACUAUGGAAUAGUUCCAGUGUCCAGCCCCUCUCCUCUCCUCUUCCUGCCCUCACUUUACCACAUAUUGUCUCCUACCACACUUUACCUCCUCCUCUUCCCACCAAAAUGAAUACUACCAAACUAACAUACCCAGGUUGAACAUAGAGACAAAUGCUGCCAGGUAUCACUUACAUUUAAAAUCCUAAAAUGUCUACAUCAGAGCAGCAGAGAGGAGAAUGGCAGUUACCGGGGCUGGAUGUGGGAGGCAUACAGAGAUGUUGGUUAAACAUUCCCCAUUUUUCAUCCUUAUUGCUAAAAGGAGGAAACUGAAAUUCAGAGUAGUCAAGGACCUGAUUUAAGAUCCCAAAGCUACCAGGACCUUUGAUGCCAAGCCUUGGGUUCUUUCUUCUCUAUAAGAAUGAUUUAAUGUCAAUAUACUUUGAGGUUGUACAUGGAAAAAUCAGAAUGACUGCCAUUGCCUUUCAAGUAGAAAGAGCUACUACCGUGGAUACAAAUAUUGUUUUAAUGGACUGCAAGGAAUUUCCUUUAACUGUAAGUUCUCUCAUAACUAGUCUCGGCAAGAUGUAAUCUAUUUCUUCCCCUUAAAGAACCAGGAUUCUCAGAGUAGAAAAGCUGGAUACCAGCAGUCAUCUUUAUGAAAAUUGCCUAAGUCUUUGGUCACCUUGCAGCUGAGUUUUAAUCAGCUCUUAGGAUUUUUGUGAGGAAUAAAUGAGGAUUAAUCUUAUUUGAUUUGAAAGUUUGGGCAUGUAGUAAAUGUCCAAUACAUGCUGUCUCCCCCACUCCCGUUAAGUAGCUAGUCUGUCAUGCAAAAGUAGGUGAUAGAAGGACAUGAAGGGUGGAAACUUAUAGUGAAGACUUGGUCAGAUCCAUCAGAGUCACAGGUCACAGGACUUGGAAUCACAGAGAACUUUAUGCAAACAGACAAACAUCUGGAAAGUGGGAAUUGGUAUGCCAAACUCCCCUGGUCAGAGUAAUAAUAACCCCUUCAGGGAACUACUGCUUCAAGACCAGGUCAUACCCAUCCUUUGUGACCAGGUCAUCACAACCCUCCAAAGGAAAUUUACUGAGGGCUAUACAGAUGGCAAUGCACCACUUUAGGGGGGAAUGGGAAACUAAGGCAAGAACAAAAGAACCCAAACUCUUAAAAACCCUGACUCUGUAAGAGCCACAGCAUGCUCCUAGAGGUGGUCCUUGGUGUACCCAUACUGUAGGUUGUCCUCAUCUCUCACAUUUCUAAUAAACUCCUGUCUCUCCUGUCGCUACUUUGUGUGACUGUUUGCAGUUCUUCCUGCAGGAUUGCAAGAGCAGGUGGCUAUAGACCCCCAUGGCUACUUUGACUCUGUGGGUAGUCUCCCCUGCAAUAAUUCUUCAUCCACCUAGUAAGAAUUAAGUAUUAAUAAAAUAGUGAAAGCUUACCAUAUGCCAACCUAUGAACUAAGAAUUUAAUUUACAUUAGUUUACUUAAAUCUCAUCACCAUCCCAAGGAUUUGAUUUUGCUACCAUUCCCGUUUCAUCAAUAAAAAACCCAAGGCGAAGAGAGAUGAAGAUCUUUUCCUGUUCUCACAUUACUUGGAGGUAGAACUGGGAGUUCAAUCCAGGUAUUUUUGCCUCUGGAACUUGCACCUCUUAGCAUGCCCUGCAGAACUACUUGUCCUGUUUGGUAUCUUCAAUUAGUUUGUUAAAAGGUGAAAGUGGACAGAUGAGAUGAGAACAGAAAUUUCCCCUUGACUGCUAAAACCUGACCUGUCCACCACUACCCGUGCAUGGUUCAUAAAUCAACCUAAUAAGUGCUGUUUGGGCAACAGCAAUGCCACCUUGUUUCAUCUCUUCCCCUGGGACAGGGACCAAGAAUAUUGGCUUCCCCCUUACUCUAAUUCCCAGCUCUUCUGGUUCCGAGUCUUUUGCAAGAACGUGCAUUUGCUAUUUAAUCCUUUCAACUUGCUUGUUACUUUGCCUGUCAGCUCUUGCAUUGAUAGAAGGACCUCUCACUGCCUUUUACUCAUUAUCUAAAUAGUUUGGAUGCAAAGAGUUCUGGAGUGCUCCCUCAGGCAGUAUGAACUUCUGGUGAUGCACACACCCUUCCCGUGCCUGUCUACAGGUGAUUGCUGUGUGGUAGGGGUGAAGAAGAAACAAAUUAAACAAGGAAUCACAUCUCUGACUAAAGAAUUUCAAACUUGAAAAAGGGGUCCUGAGAGAAAAAAUCGUGAUUGGUCACAUCUCAUUGAAAGUGUGAGAAAGAACACAGAGUGGAGUUGUCCCUGCAGGGAAAAGGCUGUCCUGCAGUAUAAGGAAGGCAUCCUCAGGGUAGUGGUCUCUCACUGAGAUUUAAGGGUAAACAGAGGUCAACCAUGAAGGGUGAGUGGAGGGAUAUCAGUCUAACAUCCCUAUUGUAGGAGAGAACAUGGCAAGUUCUCACUGAAGCAAAGAUAUGACUCAGUACGAAAAAAAAUACUGAUGUUCCCUAAAGCUGAUGUAUGAGAAAAGAAAGUGGCAUCAAAAUAACGCCCCCCCACACACACACACAUGCUGUAGGAAGGAUAUAAAGUCACUCAUUAAUUUAACAGGUGUGUAUGAAAUUGCUACCAUAUGCCAAUAUCUGUGCCAGAUGUAUGUGAUGCUACAAAAAUGAUAAGAUAUUUAUUUGAUUUUGGUCAUUGAUCAAAUAAGCAUCAAGCAUCUAUUAAUCUGUAUCAAAUUUAUAUCUAUGUAUCUAUCUAUCUAUCUGUUUAUUUAUCUAUCAAUCUAUUUCAAAGGCUCGUGCCAAAUCUAACAAAGUGUAAUUCUCAGGUAAGGAACUUUGGCUCCAGAAUAUUUUAAAUACCAGAAAUGAUUCAUAUAUACAGCAGUGGUUUAAAACCUGUUUUAUACCAAGUUUAAAUAACUAGAUCAAGGUUCCAAUUGUAAGAAGCAAAAAUUUAAAAAUGAUCAUGUUUUGAGGUUAGUGGUUGGUCACAUAUUUUCUUCUCCCUAAAACCUGAGGAAUGCUACUCAACUCCCCUCUGCAAUAGUGAGCUCUCUCCACCUUACAGCAAGCCUGGGGAACAAGUCUCCCUUAGGUUCCUGUGCCACUGACCCCAUGAAACAAAUGUGUUAAGGCCACUCAGAAGGGAAUGUGCCCCAAUGAGGUAUUAUUCCUGUAGAGAAAUUCAUUUUGUUUCUCCUUUACUCCUGAGUGAUUUUGAAAAAGGCACACUUUAUGCAGACCCAGGAAAAAAAAAAAAGACAAGCUUUGACAAUACAUAGAAGGUGAAUGUUACCAAAUGUAUCUGCUUCUCUGCUGAUGACCUUAGUUUCCACUUGGUCUUUAGCCUUGGCUAGUAAAUAUUUGUGUGCAGUUAACAUAGUUGUAAUAGUUAAGUGCUUCAAGAGCUCAUUAACUUGGCAUUCAGGACAAUCACCCAUCACCUCUGGAUUCCCAAGGCACUUGAUACAGCUGGAUCACAUGCCUGUCCCUGAACUGGGGGAAUUAGGUAAGGGCAGAGCAUCCUACUAAAUCCCUAAAGCACUUAAAAACACACAGCAUGAUCUGCCCACCUAUGGAAACUGGCAAAGAUAAUGGCAAGGAAUGCAUCAGGGAAGGAAAGACUGAAUUCAAAAAGCAGUAGAAACUCGUUUUUAGCUGGGCCGGGCCUAAGCCACGUGAGCACCUAUAAUAACCUGGACUGGGUCCAUCUAUGAUGGUUCCAUUUGUUUUACAGGAAACUCUUCCUUUUUGAAAGAGAAAUGCUAAGCUUUUCAGUGCCUCCAGCAGAACAUGCUAAUGCCUUGAUUCCAAGGGUGUGGAUCACAUAAAUCUGAAGUAUCUCUGGUUUCGGUGGGAAUACUGAAACCUUUCUCUGCUGACGCAUCUAGGAAUUAAAGAAGCGUGACAGCUUUGAACUGUUGUCAAAAACUGCAUGGAGUCUCAUUUCUGGAAGGGAUGUUUCAUUUUCUGUGCUUUCAACUUGGAAGUAGAUCCUUCUUAAACUCUCCUGCUCCCCCCACCAACCCCAACUUUAUUCCACCCUUCUUUUGGCUCUACCAAGAAAAGUUAGAAUACCAGGGGUAUGAAGAUUGAAAAUAAUUUAAGGAUUGUAACGACCAUUGCACUUUGUUGGCAAAACAUAAAAUUUCAAUGUCAAGAGUUUGUUUUUGAAAAGAUUUAUAUAUUUAUCCCAUACAUAUACCUCACGUACAACCUCUGUUUUGUUUUGAGAACAGGAAUUUGCAAGCUUGGGAAAGAAAGCUUGUCACUACAAGUGACUGGAGGUUCUUCUUUUAAUUGGUAUUCUGGGUCUCUUGUUGGAGAAAGGUAUACUGUUGAAGGAAAAUGUUGACUUUCAUAAGCCUGGUAGUUUGAGUUUCCCAACUUGUCCUGGUGGUAUCACUAAAGAACACUUUGUGGAUUUGUAAUCAUUUAUUUCUGGUUGCACUUGAGAAAUAUGCAGUUGGAGCCUGUUAUGAAGCAACACAAAUUACUAGAGAAUAAAAAAGAGAAAGUAAUUUAAAAAAUUAAAAUGUGCUUUUAAAUGAUUACAAACCUGUGAAAAUAGGAACUUUGUACAAUGCACUUCAAGGGAGAAUAUUUGUAUACUCCAAAAAAAGCACAGUGACUCUUAGAAUUGACAGCAGGAGGUGUUGGUUGUGUCUGGAGCUGGCGGUUUUAGGCAUGGCUUUGUAAGGAGACAAUCUGGCCCCUGAGGUAUGCUAAAGGAAUAAGAGCACUAAAAUGUGAAGGGAAAGGUGCCAAGUGGAGAGCUAUUGCCAAGUCAAGGAGUCAAGUUGGGGAACGAAUUAUGGUUGGUGAUCUUGAGCUGGUAACAUCACCUGUCUACACAGUUGUGAGAAAAAAAUGGCACAUUUAUUGUGUCAUUUAUUCUCACAACUGUCUUUGUGGAUGCACCCAGAGAGGCAGGGGAAAUUCAACCAUGGGUAGAGUGGUUGCCAUUGAACAUCAAAGAAAAGAACAAGCAAAACAGUGGUUGAAAAGGUAAAGGAUGGAACGUGAGACAUGAUCUAGAAGAGGUGGGAUGAAAGUCAACAAGGAUCCUGCAUCAGAUGAUUAUAGUGAACAGGGUGUUGUAGGAAGCAACCAGUUCAGUGUAGGCAAAGAGACACAAAGGUUGAGGACGUGGAUGGGCCUCAUGGUCUAGAAAGAUAAAUACCACAAGAUGGAGCAUGAGAGAAGAGGAAACUCACAAAAUUGUAUGGAGGAAGGAAGUUUAAUCUGAGGGACUGUCAUAGUUGUUAAGUAAAGCUGUACUUUGGGGGCAGAGUGAGUUAGUGGGACCACAUUAUUGAUAAGACUAAUGAAAGUCAUUUGUAGACGAAUGACUUCUCUCUACUAUUAAAUUCCGUAUUACUCUGGUAGAAGAUCUGGAAUUUUGGGUAUGGACACUGGCUUCCUCUUCUCUGGUUCUUGAAUGAAAUGUGCUCGGUAACGGCAGAAAGGAGAACUUAGAGACAACAAUGUUGCCCAUCUCCCAGGAAACACUCGAGUAAUAUGCAGGUUCAUGGCACCUCAAAGAGGCCUCCAUCUUAAUUCCCUCACAUUUUUUAAAAAAUUUUAAACACAGGACAAAAGUGACUUUGCCUAUGUGAAUAAAUGAAGGAUCAUAAAAUGGAGAGAUUAUCAAUGGGGGCCCAGUGUAAUCAAGAGAGUCCUUAAAAAAGGGAAACAGGAUGUCCAAACAAAGAGAGAAUAUUAUACUGCUGGCUUUGAUGUUGUAAAAAAGGGGCUAUGAGCCAAGGAAAGCAGAUAACUUCUAGAAGCUGGAGGAGGCAAGGGAUUAGCUUCUUCCUCGGGGCCUCAGAAAGGAUGCAGCCCUAUAGCCAUUUCAACUUUGGCUCGUUAUGACCCAUUUUGGACAUAAAUUUGUGUUAUUUUAAGCCACUAAGCUUAUGGCGAUUUUUUUUUGUAGUAGCAAAAGGAAAAUAACACUUUGAGUUUAAAAGUAAUGUUGAAAAAAGUUUCCUCUAGCAGUGGGUGACUGGAUUAGUUGGAUCCAGGAGAGGUGCAGAUGCAUGUGCCCCCGGGGAUACUGAGUAAGAUAAAUAUACCAAGUAAGAUAGGGGAAAGUGUAACAGGAACAGAGGAGAUGGGUGGACAAGAGGGUACAAUAUUAGCAAUUAUCUUCAGGAGUUACUCUGAGCAAAGAAUGGGGAAAAAUUAGCACAGCAACCUAGACUAUAAUACAUACUUAGUAUGUGGUUGAAAAAUCAUUUGUCAGUGUUGACUUUGCUGUGGGUAAGGUGAUCCUUUGGAAAGUAGAGACUUCAGAGAAUAUAUUGUUAGCCCCUCCCUGAAGAUGGUUUUGUGUGUGUAAAAUUGGCUUAUGAUAAAUACAAAGGAAAGCCUUGAAGUGGGGGAAGAGUUGAUGCAGGAACAGGAACGGGUAGAAGGAAGGCAAGCAGAUGACAGGCAGCCUUCUCAACCUGGUCCUACCUGUUUGCAGGGGUGACUGUGCUUAUAAAAGCCUCAGAGAUUUUUUAGCACCAGCUGAGCAUGCUGCUUCAUCUCACUUCCAGCGGCCUCCCUGAGUCAUUGCCCACUCUUCUGCCCUGCAGCGACUGCCUGAGAUCUCUUGGAGAUAAAUCCCAGUGCUUACUCAUCUCCAUGUUGCCGGUACCCAGUAUAAUAGCCAGCAAACACAAAGUGCCCAAUAAAUUGUCAUUAAGUGAAUGAACAAAAGGACAGGGUUCUACUCUUCAAAGUUUUAAGGAUUCAUUGCAAUGAGAGUAUUAUGGGGCAAUGAGCAAUCCUUUGCUCAGAUUUGUGAUUCAGCUGAAUUGUUUCUGAAAGCGGGUCCAAACCAACUCACCAACUGAUGUCAAGCCAGUAAAGGUUCUUGGUGCCUACCAUGAUGGAUCCUGAUUCAGUAGAUCUGGGAAAGGCCCUGGUAGGUGUCUCCUUUACAAGUUCCUCAAGAUUCUUUUUUUCAGGCAGGUACAUAAAUGCAUACAUUCCUGGUUUGUUCUUUCCCCCAGAUGUGCACUUUAAUGGAUGCCCGGGUCAUGCACAGAUGAUAGAUCCUUAAGGUGUUAGAAACUUAUAAGUGUUUCAUUCAUAUCUUCAUAGACUAAAAUUGAGGCCUCAUCCAAAAGGAUUCAGAGGAGCCAGGCUAGAAUUUUUUUUUUUUUAGUUAUACAUGACAGUAGAAUGUAUUUUGACAAAUCAUAUAUACUUCAUACAUGGAGUAUAACUUCACGUUCUUGUUAUUGUACAAGAUAUGGCAUUCCAAUGGUUAUGUAGUCAUAUACAAACAUAGGAAAGCUAUGUCCAAUUCUACUGUCUUUCCCAUUACAGAGAUAUUGUGGUCUGAGAUGAUCAGAGAAUGAUUCAUUGAGAAGUUGGAAUCUAAAUUAACCUUCGGGCAUAGGCAAGAUUGGAUAAAUGGAGGGAAGAAGAACAAGUACAACAAAAACACAGAGUUGGAGACCUUGUAAGAAGCAGUAUUAGCAUCAUUUGGUUUUUCCACUCAAAAUACCAUUCAUGAUCUGUAUCACUGAUUUCUGCAUCUCAAAUUACUUAAGUGUGUUAAACAAUCAUCAUCAUCUAUUAUCUCCCAGUUUCUGAGGGUCAAGUAUUUGGAAGCAUUAUGUCUGGACUUUCCAGACUUGGGAUUUUUAUGAGAUAGUAGUCAGAUGGUGACAGGUGCUAUGGUCAUGACCCAAGAAUUUUGGUCAAGUGCUUAGACUGAGAACACUCAGAAAAUGGGGGCUGAAACAUCUGGGACUCCCUGGACAUCUUUCUCUGUCUCUGUGCUAUCACUCCAUAUGGUCUCCAUAGCAUGGUGGACCCAGAGUCUUUGGGCUUUUACAUGGCGGCUUAUUCUCUAAAGACACAUGCUCUGAAGCAGUGCACUGGUCGGAAGAGACAGGCGAUAAAAGGAAAAGCUAAACUGUGGCACACAAGUAGACUCCAAAGGUGUUUAAAUGGACGGAUGAAUAGAUGGGCAAGGGAACAGUGAUCUUUGGAAGUGUCUAAUUUAACUUUAGCCAUAUACGAAGAGAUUAUUCAAGGUUAUUUUAUGGUAAAAGUUAUGGAUUUUUCCUACAGAAGGAUCACCAUAAAAGAUAUGUUUCAAAAGAUAUGAGUUAGCAUGCUCUGUCAGAAGGAAAUUAAAAAGUUCUUCAAUUCUUUCCAGUUUUCAAUUAUCUCUGAAGGUCAGGGAUCUGAUAGAUUGAAGAAUUCAUUUUGUAGAGUGAAUACAGUUUUAGAAUCCAAAUCAAGAUCCAUGCUCACCACAACAUGCUUGCCAUGCAGGUCUUUAAUACUUUUCCUGAUCUAGCUUUUUAAUUUCGCCAACUUCCUCUCUUAUCUCUUCCUUGAGCUUCACAGUCCAACUUUCUGGAUUGCUUGCUUUUCUCCAGAAGGCUGAAACUGUUCCAUGACUCUUUGCCUCUGUUCCUGGUGAUCCCUCUGCUCGAAGUGCUGCCCUGUCCUGCCUUGGCCUCAGCAGCUGCCCCUCCCUGCCUCUGGCUCUAGUACAGGUGCUGCUCCUUGGAAUCCUUGGAUGCCCGCUUCUGAGGAGCCCACAUGCUGAGUUCCUGCAUAUCUCUCUGUCAUUUCUCAGGUCUUACUAUUUUCACUGCUAGACUAAGAGCUCCUUAAGAAUAGGUCUAGGUCUUAAUUAUCUCUGCAAUGUCCUCAACAAGUACAAUUCCUGGCAUAUAACAAUCUAUCAGUCAAUACUUACUGUGUGUAAGUGAAUAAAUGCACGUGCCAAUGCAGGGAGAAAUGUAUUAUUUCAAACUGUGAAUUACCCAUUUGUAAAACCCUUUAAUUGAACAGUGAUGCAGUGGGUUUCAGAAGCAUUGGUCAGACUAUCUUUUCAUGAUCAGUACAAUGCCAAGAUUGAAAAAUAAAUAGUAGGAAAAAAAUUAUAGUUUCUGGGCGAUAGAAAAGGCUUUUGUCUUUUGAGUCUUUUUUCUCUUUCUUAUUGAGAAUCCUGUGGAAAAAUGAAAGCAAGCUCAGGAAGAUUGAAUAUUUUUCUUUUUAUAUCAAAUACAUAGCCCCUUCCAAGUUUUGGCUACUAGGAUGCUGUCUAUCUUUUUCUACUGCAGAAACACUUGCAGAAGUGGAAUUCACUCUGGUGGGAUGUGAAUAAUCUCAUUUCACUUUACUUCCCCACUGGGAUGGGGCCACACACUAAUGUAGGCUAUGAUUCUUCCCUACAGCCAGGGAGGGGCGGAAAUGGAACGUGAACCUCUGGGCCACACUCAUCUCAGUCUCGUGCUGGUCACUGCCAUUUGCCUGUGAUUUUAUUCCAUUUUCCCAAGCCUCAGUUUCUUCUUCUCUGAUUUGAGAAUUACUGCCUCAUCACACUCGGCUCAAGAAACGGAAACCACGCUAAAGGUAGAGAUGACCUUAACACACACACAGCCUGAAUUCUCACAGAUGUCAAGCACUUCUUCCCUCCUCUCACAUGACCAUCCUCAGAAAAGACUGUUCUAGCCACCCAUGACAAAGAGGUUGUUUCUGGUUGAACUUUUCUGCUUAGUAAGGAUGGGGUAGGGCUCCAGGUAUCUUGUGUAUAUCUUUCUGGCUGGCAUGUCAGGCGCACCCAUCCACAAGGCUUUGUUUCUUUAACCUCAAGUUAUGUAAUGUGUAGGUGUAGGGCCCUGGAUUCAUUUCCACCAGGACCUGUUUCAAAAUCGCUGCCGGUUGCUCUAGGGCUCUGAGUGUAUGUGUAAGACAGAGAGGCCCAUACAUGUUCCCCGCUUGAAGCACCAGACUUGAAUUAGGUCAUUCAACCAUUGCAUUUUUCAGCAUUUCACAAGUCACUGCUAUGGCAGCAGGUUAGGGCCACGGAGAAUAAAGCAAGAGCAGGUAGUUGCUUAACCUUGCUUUUUCUGUUGGCAUGAGAAACAUGCUGGCAGGGAAGUGGUGACUCACUCCCUUUGCUGGAAUACAACAGAGAGCUCCUAAUGACUUUAUUUCAAAGGCUACUUUCCCCCACCUUCAGAUAAUUCCUCUACAACUGAAUUUAAUCUCUGGAAGUUUAGAACAUGUUAGGAAGGGUAUAGACCUGUUCUGAUCUCUAGGGUACCCUUGGGAAACACACAGGGAAUACAUAAGUGGUAUCCAAGGAACCCUCCCAGAAUCUGUGGGAAGUAAAAACAAUACUUGAUGAUUCAAAGAUUGGUGGUUGUGCCCAAUGAUAGUUAUUACCUACUAUGUGCCAGGCCCUUUAUUGACAUUUUCUCUAAUCCUCAUUCAACCAGCUUAUAUUGCAACUGAUUCUCAGGAAGGUUCAAUAAUUUCUCCAAGGUAUCAAUGCUAAUCAGCAGAGAGUUGAGAUUCAAAUCCAGACACGUUCAGUGUCAAAGUCAGGUGCCUUCCACUAUGUCAGGCUGCCUUCCCAGGGUGGAAAUGGAAUGUCUGACCUGCUAUAUCAUGCAUCUCCCUAGAACUGCCACUAGGUAAGGACUUACUGGGACUGUCAGUCAUAGUGCCAACCCCUCCUCUCUCUACUACUAGUGGACUGUGUUCUAGCAUUCUGGCUCCAGUAAAGUCACACUUGCACUGCAGGAAGCUGAAAUAGCAUCCAUUUAAAACAGUUUCUCUGAGAUUCUUUUUCUUCAGUUAUUCUUGCUGAGGUCUACUGGUUUCUGUCUUAAUUACCCAGAUGUAAACUUCAAAUACAUUAUAUCUUUCUCCUUUUCCUUUCUUUUUCUCAUCAUCAUCAUCAUCAUCUCCUCCUCCUCCUCCUCCUCCUCCUCCUUCUUUUUUUCUACUUAGGUCAGUUUGGGACAGUUCCUGGAUAACGUAUACACCAUAUGGCACUCAAAUAACAUCUUGGUUGAAUGAAUGCAGCAGCUGUACAUCCUCAGAAUUUUUUUUUUUUGUACUAGGGAUUGAACCCAGGGGUGCUUGACCACUGAGCCUCACCCCCAGGUCUUUUAAUUUAAUUGAAUUUUUAAAAUUUUGAGACAGGAUUUCACUAAAUUGCUGAUAGCCUUGCUAAAUUGCUAAGGCUGGCUUUGAUUCCUGAGCCACUGAGAUUGCAGGCAUGAGCCACACCACCCAGCCUAGAAAGAGAAGUUUUUAAAUAUUAGCAAGCACCAGCAUUGCCUAGAGGGUUUUAAGACACUAAUAGCUGAUCCCAAUCCCUAGUUUCUGAUUUGGUAGAUCUGAAGGCAUGUCUUAUAAUUUAAAUUUCUAAAAUGUUCCUGGAUAAUGCUAACACUGCUAGUCCAGGGUCACACAUUUGGGACACAAAACUAAAUUCAAACAGGUCUUCUCUGAAUGGAAUAGUAAACUGAAGAAAUUGUUAGGUGUGGUUACGCCUUCCAUGACAGAAGUAUGUGUAUUCAGAGUUUAACGUCUAAAGUUAUAAUUGCUCUGCUCCUAAACUUACAUAUUGCUAGUAAUUUGUAUAUUCUGUCUUUUUGUAGAGACAUUUGCCUUUUGCAAAGAAGACACUUUUAGUUUUAUAGAAUUCCAGGCUAUCAGUCAUGUGAAGGUCAGCUUAUUAAUUACUUCUCUCAUGAAUCAUGCCACUAUUGCAUAUAGAAAAUUGUUGCCCUAAGCAAGGUCAUCUUGGUUUUUCCUGUGUUAUCUUCUAGGAUAUUACAGUUUUGCUUUUUACACUUAGGUCUCUGAUCUACUUUGAGUUAAUUUAUGUGAAGAUUGUACAACUUAUCUAGAUUCUGUUUUUUUUUAAUUGUUGUUGUUGUUUGUUUGUUUUAGAGGUGGAGGGAUGUGGAUGUCCAGUUGUUCCAGCACCAUUUGUUUAAAAAAAAAAAAAAUCUUUGCUUCAUUGUAUUGCUCCUUUGUCAAAGAUCAUUUGGAUAUGUUUAUGUGGCUCUAUUUGGGAGCUCUCUGCUCUGUUUUUUUCCUCCUAUUUGACAAAUUGCCAUGAUCACCUUGUCUUGAUUACUGUGACUCUAUAGCAGUCUGAACAGCAUUAGUCUCCUGACUCUCCUCUUAUUCAAUGCUGAGUUGGCUAUUUUAGACCUUAUGUAUGUGUCUCCAUUCAAGCUUUAGAAUAAAUUCAUUCAUAUUAACAAAACUAAUUGCUGAAAUUUUGAUUGGAAUAGCAUUAACUCUUUAGAUUUAUCUAAAGGUCAAAUUGGGAAGAAACAGCAUCUUGAUAAUAUGGAGUCUUCUUAUCCAUGAAGAUGAAAAACCUCUCUAUUUUUUCAGUUCUUUGAUAUCUUUUAUCAGAUUUUUGUAGUGUUUCUCAUGUAGAUCUUACGCCUAUUGGUUAAAUUUAUAGAUACUUCAUUUAUCGUGUUGCCAAUAUAAAUAAAUAGCAAUCUGCUUUUAACUUCAAAUUAUUCCAUUCAUUACUGGUGUAUAGGAAAGCUAGUGCCCCUGGAAUAUUAACCUCCUAUGCCAUACCCUCACUGUCCUUGCUUGUCACUUCCAGAAGCUAUUUUGCCAACUUUUUUGGAUGUCACAUGCAUGGUCAUGGUACAGCUUUGAAAAAAUGGAGCAAAUUUUAAUAAAAUAGUCUUUAAUACUAAAAGUAAAAUCAUGCACUAUAUUGCUAUAGCAAUAUGAAUGAUAAUAAUGUGGAUAUUACCUGAAGUGGAUUAUAACUUGUGAUAUACUUUAUGAUUUCCACAUAGAAACUAAAAUAGAUCUGUCAAUAAUAGAUAAUCUGAAAGUAGAAGAGGGGCUAUUAGGGACUGAGAAAGGAUUGGGGUGGGGGAAGGAGGAUGAGCAAGAUCAAUGCACAAUAUAUGCAUGUGUGGAAAUGUUAUCCUGGAACACACAAAUUUGUCCACGAAAUACACUUUAAUUAAAAAGAAAAGCAUGUUUUUUAAAAAAAUUCUAUCCCAUUCUCUAUCUCCUGACUUUGUUUACCUCCAAUUACACAUACAUUAGAUCAUUUCAUAGGGAUCCAUAGCUUCCUGAGAAUCUAACAUUUUAUUUUCAAUCUUUUCAAUUUGUUUUCUUUUCUUCAGAUUUUAUAAAUUCUAUUUAUCUAGCUUUAUCCUAUUUUUCCCUGUCUUUUUUCUUCAUUAUGUGUAUAAACUUAUGCGGAGGUAUUUCAAUACCUCUGUUCAGUUCUUUCCUCUUUGUACAUGUUGCUUUGUGUCUGCCUCACACAAACAUGGCAUGGAUAUCACUAAUAUUUGGGGUUUUCUCUUUUUGGCUGGGUUAUUUACAAAAAUUCUUUAUGCAAUCACUUUUCAAUUGUUUUUAUUUCCCUGAAUUAUGUCACCUUGUUAUAAACACUGAAUAUUUUCUAAUUAGAGUACUGGCUACCCUAAGUAGCAUUGAUUCAGUCUUCCAUGAGACUAAAAGCUGAGAACAAUGGCUAACUCAUCCCAUGACAUUCUUUUGUCCAACUUUUAUACUUCCUGUACAGAAUAUGCUUGUUUUUAUUCAUUUUACAUUGAUUUUAGGUCAUUCUUACAUUUCUAUUCAGUGCAUACUUGUAUUCAGCAAGGAUUUGGGUCCAGAAGGAUUAUACCAAAAGUAUAAGUUUUUACUAGGCAUUUUCUUUUAUUUUUAACUUUGAAAAAAUAAAGAUUAUUAUCCCAAGUGUUACCAAACUCAUUUGGAAAUUAUAGGCCAUGAAAUCCAAAGGACUGGAUAUAAACCACUCAUAAAAGCCAACUUCUCAUUCAUUUGAUAAUUUUUUCUAUAGUGCUUUCUUGCUAAGGUACAUAUAAGACACACACACAUGCGCACAAACACACACACACACACACACACACACACAAAAGAAAUAAAGGUAAACUCUGCACUCUCAGGGAACAUGCUGUGAAUAAAAAGGACAAGGUAAAUCAAUAAUAACUUAAGUAGGACAGGUCUUCCAAGACAAAGAUAUGAGGAUGGAUUAUUUGAGAAAUCUGUUGCUGUAACACUAUAGAAGUUCUCUUUAAUAAUUAAAAAUUUGUUGCUGAGAUUUAAAAAUCUAUAGUAAACAUAUAAAAAAACAAUUACUUCCAUUUAUUUCAUUCUUCAUUGUACUUCUCCACAUAAGCCUCAAUCUAGUGUUUAAGUAACUAACUAAUCACUCCUAUUGCUUGAUUUCACUAACCAAAUUCAGAGAUAUCAAAUAGUGGUAAUUGAUAAACAUAUUCAAAAUUAUGUGGUUUUGGACAAUAAACAUGUCUCAAGACGCUUUUUUCAAGAGAGCUGAAAAAAAUGUCUCUCCAUCAACUUUAAUUUGCAUUCACAGUUGCCAAACAUCCUAUUUCCUAGAGCAAGGUUCACAACUAUCUCUAUUACUUGUCAGUGGCUUUCCAUAGCAUUCUUGAUGCAUGAGUUUCCCAAUAGUAGAUGCAAAUGCACCGUGAUUUUGAGAAUGAUCUGAAUUCUGAAGGAACAUCCCUGUCAACAACAAUGACUAAUCAAAUCAACAAAAAUAAAUACCAACUACUCCAGACUGCAUCUUAAAAAGUGAAGGUCAUAAAAGCAGGAUGCCUCUGGCAAAGGUAAUGUUUCAUAUCUGGAAGGAAUUAUGUUCCCUGAGUUGAGUGUAACAUAUUAAAAGGUAUUUGAAGUCAUUUUCAUUAAGCAAUAGGACUGACCAACCCAAGGUCUUUUUAUUGUGUUUGUGUAUUUUUUAUAUCUAUCUUGUCAAUCAAGAAAUUGUGGUUAAUGUGAGUUAAAAAGCUCACAUUAAUACAUUGAAUCACACAUUCUAUUCCAAUGAAUUUAUGCUAAGGAAAGUACUCUAUAGCAAAGACACAAUAGGGGCAUGAAAUAAUUAUUAUAACAUUAUGUAUUAUGGUAAUGUAGACACAGCUGAAGUUCCUAAGUGGCUUACAAAUUGUGGUAUUCUUUGUGGUUUAGGAAUAAUAAUCAUGGGGAACCAUGGAGAUCACCACAAAUAUUUCCUUGCUGUCCUUGAUGAUACCUACCAUGGAGCCUAGGAUGGCCCUGGGGGAACACCAAUGAUACAGGCACACAGAAGAUUGUAUCCAUGGGUAUUUAAGUCAGCUACAUGGUGGAGGGGAUACACCUCACUUUCCCUUUGAGUCUGCUGUCUCCCCUGACAAGCUGAAGAAGGUCAGAAAAACCAAACAGGUGGGCAUGCUUACAUUCGUGAAUUGAGCCUUGGAAAGUCAUAAUCAUGGGUGGUGGAGUGCAUAUGAUAGCCAUGCCCCCUCCACCAAGGAGUUGGUUACCUUACCUUAAGAAUAUGAUUCUCUUGGCUGCCUGAGAUGCAGAUGCCCAGCAGAGCUGAGCAUCAGUUCAGCAGUAGGGGCAUGUUGAUCUAAAUCUCUCUGGAGUAGACUUCACGUAACAAAGUUCUGAUCAGAGCUAGACACCAGCUGCUAGAACUUCCCAUUUAGAAUUUUAAUUCAGCCUCACACUGGGAAUUUGUCUAAUUGUCUGGAGAACACUUCAGUAGAUGGUACUUACCCUUACAUUCUACAUUGCAUUGGUGAAUGGAGAAGCUGAGAGUCAUUUCAACCAGAUUCAGCCUCAGCUCACUCCAGCUGGCAACAGAAUAAAGAAGGGUUUGAUAACUCUCGACCCUUGCUCUUUCUACAGGUUGCAUAGCCUAAGAGAAAACAUAAAAAAAUUGCAGAUUGACAUAAGUAGUAAAUACCCAUUCUUGUCCACAGUUUCAACCACCUCAGUGGAGACAAUUAUUUCAUUUUUCCCACUUAGCUUUAUGAAAGUAAAGUUGAAGUACAAUAAAAUGCACAUAUUUGAAGUAUGCAGUUUGGUCAGUUUUGACAUGUAUGUAACCGGUACAAUCAAUAUAAAAAGUAUUUCCAUUAUGUUUCUUUUAAAAUUUUAAAUCAUGCAGGCUGUGUUUCCUGAUGGUUUUUAACGUUAGAAAUCAAUCACCUUAAGAUAUAUAGGACCCCACCCCCACAUCUCAACUACUUCAAAAUUAAAUGGCACACUUACAACUAUCUCACAGGUCAAAGAAGAAAGCACAAGAAAAGUAAGUAAACAGUACUUUUAACUAAUUGAUAAUAAAAGUUUAAAAUAUCAGAAUCUCUGGGAUAAAACAGUACUCAGAUGAACGUUUAUAGUUUAAAGUACUUGUUAACAGAAAGAAGCUAGAUAAACAAUCAAAUUAUUUUCAAAUUAGGUAGUCGGAAGGAAAAAGUAAGAGUAGGAGCAGAAAUAUGUGAAAUAGAAAAUAAAUAAUGUAGCGAAAAGGUGAUAAAAAUCAAACAAUCUAAUCAAGAAAAAAGCAAGAACACAAAAAUUAAUAUUAAUUGAAAGGGAACUAUCAGAUGCUGAAAAUAUAUUAAAGCAAUAUUACAAUCGUAUGCCAACAUAUGUGAUAGCUUACAUAACAUACUCUAUAUUAGAGAAGUAACCAUGUGCUACUGAGAAGAAAGUGUAUUCAGUCAUUGAUUGAUGAAAUACUCUAUAUAUGUGUGUUAGGUCUAAAUUAUCCAUUGUGCUUUUUUAGUUCUAUACUUUCUUUAUUUAGUUUGUGUUUGUAGGAUCUUUCUAGUGGUGACAGAGCCAUGUUAAAUUUACUCAGUUUUUCUGUGUUGUGGUCAAUUUGAUUCUUGAAAUUGAGGUGAAUUUUUUGUUUGUUUGUUUUGAUGUACAGAGAUACUCCAUUGUUUGGGGCACAAAUAUUUAUGAUUGUUAUGUUUUGUUGAUAUAUAGUUCCAUAAGUAGUAUAAAAUGGCCUUCUUUGUUCUUUCUGAUUAACUUUGGCUUGAAGAUAGAAAACCCUGCUUAUUUAUGAGAUCUAUAUGGAUGAUAUGUUUUUUCCUGAUCUUUUAACCUUCAGUCUGCAGAUGUCUUUGCCUCUGAAGGGAGUCUCUUGAAGACUACAUAUUGUUUGGUCUUGUGUUUUUAAUCCAAUAUGCCAGUCUAUGGCAUUUGAUUGAUGAGUUUAGGCCAUUUACAUUCAAUAUUAUUACUGAGAAAUUAUUUUUAUUUCCUGUCAUUUUGCUUUAUUUCUGAUUGUUACUUUGAAUUAUUUUCUCCUUUGACUAUUCUUCUAGUGUAGUUCCUCCCUAUCUUGUUUUCAAGAUUAUAUAUUUUGUAUUCAUUUCCUGAAACUCUGUCUUCCAAGUGAUCUAGUUUGUUGGUGAUGUUUUCCAUUAAAUUCUUAAUUUGGUUUAUUGAUUCCUUCAUUUUGAGGAUUUUUGCUAUAUUUUUUUCAGAAUCUCUCUUUCUUGAAAUAAUCUUUUAAUCUUUUUAAAAAAUAAAAAUUAGUAUUUAUUUUACUGCUGUAUAUUAAUUGCUGCCUACAUCACUGAUGUUUAUUUAUUCAUUUUUGUGAAGUGCCAGGUAUUUAGUGUGACUCUGGAAGUUUGCAGAAUAGAUGGUCUCUGAUUCUGAGCUACACUUGAAACCCAGGUAAGAGAUAAAAUAUGUUACUCUUCACAUUAUCAUUAGAUACCACUUAAACUUUAGAUACCACUUAGGUUACAGUUCUCAAAAUCAUACUUUAACAUAAAUAAUAGCAGAAGCAAAAUCCCCAAGCCAAAAACUAGGUCCCAAGUAGAAAUAGACAGGCUGUAGCUGAAGACCCACACAUGGGCAUCAGCUCUUACAGAAACACAGGGAGAAAUAACACAAAGACUGUGAACACCACACCUAGGAGGAGCCUCAACAAAGGUCACUCCCAUACCAUCUCAGAACAUGCAGAUUUGUGAAGAGUAGCAGAGCAAUCACAGAGGCUAUCUCCCAUAUGCCCUGCUAUCUAUAACACAAUUGCCUGGUCUACUAGAAAGAUCUCACUCAUACGAGACAUACAUUCAAAGUGGGAUCUUCAAACUCUGACAUAAUACACACUGUGUCCAAGUGCAUUGGUCAUCACUGAAGAAAAAGUUAGUCAGCUUUCCAUCACUGUGACUAAAAUACCUAAAAAGAACAACUUAGAAGAGGAAAACUUUACUUUAGAUUUGUGAUAUCAGAGAUCUCAGUUCAUGGUCAGUAAACCCCAUCACUUUGGGUCUGAGGUAAAACACAACAUAAUGGAAGGAGGUCCUGACAGAGGAAAGCUGUUCAACUCAUGACAGAUGGGAAAUAGAGAGAUUGAGGGGUCAAAAUACAAACACCAAAGACAUGCCUCCAGUUCCCUGCUUCCUCCAGCUAUAUCCUACAUGCCUACAGUAACCCCUCAGUUCAGUGGUCCCCACAAUUAUUAAUUCAUCAACUGACUUAUUUCACUUAUUAGGUUAGAGUUCUCAAAAUCAUUUCACCUCUGAAUAUUUAAGCAUUGUGUCACACAUGAGUAUUUUGGGGGGACACCUCAUAUUCAAAUUAAAACAACCUACAUGGAAAUAUAUUCAACAAUUCACAUCAAUUGAUAUCCAAGAACACAUCAUCUUCAGAAGUUUGUGCUUUAAAAAUUCUUUACAUAAAACUAGAAGGGAAAUCCAACAAAAUAGUUUGGCAAAUUUCAACAUAUAAAUACAAUAGAAAUGGAAAAAAACAAGGUUACAUGACACCUCCUAAGACUCAUUAUUUGCCAGAAAUUGACUCCAAAUAUAUUAAAGUGGAUUAACUACCCAAAAAAUAAUUUUUAAAAGAUCAAUUAUUUAAAGAGAACACAAAAGAGCAUCCAUACACAUUAGGGAAGACAGUAUAGGAUAAUAUGAGAAAUUUAAUAAAGAUAUAGAAAUAUUGAAACAGAAAUCCUGGAAAUAAAAUGCAUAAUAUAUCAAGUUGAAAAUCACACUAAUAGAGUAACUUCGAGUAGAAUACUAAAUUUCAGAGCUUGAAGAAAAAGUGGAUGAACUUGUACAUUCAGAUAGUAUUAAAGAAAAAAAAAACAAAUUAGAAUAUCUAAGAACCCUGGGACGACAUUAGGAGACCUAAAUUCAGGCUCAUAGGUACUGAGGGAAGAGCAGAUCCAGACUAAUGAUGCUGGUAACCUUCUCAAUGAAAUAGUGACAACUAAUUUUCUGAACCUUGAGAAUGAGAUGGACUUCCAAACACUCCAAUCAUUUAGGGAAAAAACUCUCCAUGACGAAUUUUAGGUAAGAUGCCCCCAAUCCAGAACAAUUUUAAAAAUUUAAAAACUACAAGAGAAAAAUGCUAGAUCCAAUCAUAUUAACAGAAGAUUCAUCAGUAGAAAUCCCAAAGUUCAUGAGAACUUUGAUUGUAUUUGAAGUUCUGUGAGAAAAUAACUUUCAAUCUAGAUUCCUAUAUCAAGCAAAGCUAUCUUUCAGAAUCAAAGCAGUAAUAAGAAAUUUCCAAGAUAAACAUAAACUAAAGGAAUUCAUGACUAUUAAUUCAGCAUUGCAGAAGAUACUUACAGGAAUCCCAUAUGCAUAAGAAGAUUUAACAACAACCAUAAAAAGAAAAAAGACAGUGAAGAAGGAAAGAAUAAAUCUUACUAGAAGAUCAUAUAAGCAAAUGAGAAUUAGAAUUGAACCAAAUAUUAAAAACAUAUUAGAAAAUGACAAUAUGUGAUACAUACCUAUGGAUAAUAAUACUGAAUGUAAAUUGAUCUCAAUUCUCCAUUGAAUGCAUAGACUAGCAAGUUUGAUUUAAAAAAAAAAUAAGACUCUAUAUUGCCUGCCAGAUAAACACCUCAUUGGCAAAGACUCCACAGACUGAAAGUGAAAGGGUGUCAGAUGAUAUUUACUGCAAAUGGAGACCAAAAGAAGCAGAAAUGAUUACUCUAAUGCCCAACAAAGCAGACUUCAAGACAAAAUUAGUCAUCAGAAGAGAUGAAGUAAGUUACAACAUACUGGUAAAGGUAACCAUCCAACAAUUGGAUAUAAUAAUGAUGCAAAUAUUUAUGCCUUUAACUUCAAUGACCCUAAUUACACAAAACAAGCACUACCUCACAUAAAGGAUCUGACAGAACCCAAUAUCUGAUUUCAACAUAUCUUUCUCACUAAGAGAUAAGUCACAUAGACAUAGAGUCAAUGAAUAUAUAACAGAGCUAAAACAUACUAUAGAUCAAAGGGAUUAAUGAACAUCUGAUUAUUUCAUUCAACAACAGCUGAAUACACUUUCUUUGUAGCUGUUCAUGGAACUGUCUCCAAAAUAAAUCAUAUUUUGUAUCAUAAAGCAAGUCUAUCUUGGCAAGCAUAAAAAAGUUGAAAUAUUUCUUUGUAUCUCAUCAGAAUACAAUAGAAUGAAAUUAAAAAGCAAUGUGAAGGAAAACUUGAGAAGUUUUACAAACAAAUGCAGAUUAAAUAACAUACUUUUGAAUGCUUAGUGGGACACCAAAGAAGUCAGAGGAGAAAUUUAAAAAUUCUUAGAAUUGUGAAAAUAUAAAUACAUCAUACCAGUCUCUGGGACACUGCAAAGGUAUUAUAAAGAGGAAAGUUUAUAACUAUUACAACCUACAUAAGUGGCUUUAAAAGAUCCCAAAUAAAUAUUCUAAUGAUGCAUCUCAAGUCCUUAGAAAAACAAGAAAAAAAAUUCCCAAAACCUGUAGAACAAAAGAAAUAAAGAUCUGUGCUUAUAUUCAUGAAAUAGAGAAUUUUUAAAAAUUAAUGAAAUAAAGAGUCGUUUUUUGAAAUAAUAAACAUGGUUUGUAAAACUUUUGGUCAAACGAAUCAAAAUAAUACUCAAGAGAGAACACCCCAAUUAAUAACAUAAAAGAUGAAAAGGAAGAUAUUACAACUUUAGUCCAAAGAAUCAUUUGAGACUAUGUUUAAAAUGUAUAUCCCAAUAGAUUGGUAAAAUUUCUAGAAACCUACAACCUACCAAAAUUGAACCAAGAGAAUAUAGAAAAAACAUAAACAUACCAGUAAUAAGCAAUGAUAUUGAAGAAAAGUAAAAAGGCCUUACACUGAAGAAAAGCACAGAACCAGAUGGAUUCUGAAUUCUGAAUUUUACUGGAUCUUUAAAGAAGAGCUAACAUCAAUGCUCCUAAAAUUAUUCCAGGAAUCAGAAAGAAAGGUAAUGCUUCCAAACACUUCCUACAAAGCUAGUAGCACUGCAAUAUCAAAACCAGAUAACAUCAUUUUAAUGGAAGAAAACUGCAAACCAAGAUCCUUGAUAAACCUACAUGCAGAAAUCCUCAAUAAAAUAUUAGCAAACCAAAUCAAAUAACACAUUAAAAAAGAGCAAACACCUGAUCAGUUUGGUUUCAUGACAUGAAUGCAAGGAGGAUUCAACAUAUGCAGAACAACAGACAUAAUAUAACACAUGAGUAGAACUAGGGACAAAAAUCACGCUAUUCUCUCAAAAGAUGCAGAAACAAGCUUUGACAAAUUUCCACACUCAUUUGUGAUAAAAUCACUGAGCAAACUAAGAAUAGAAGAAACUUACCUCAAUAUUAUGAAGACUAUAUAUGACAAAUCCAAAGCCAACAUAAUAUAGAAUGGGGGAAAACUGGAAGUAUUUUCUAUAAAAUUAGAAACAAGACAAGGGUGUCUACUUUCACCACUCCUGUUCAAUAUAGAACUUAAAAACUUAACCAGAGCAAUUAAGUAAGAGCAGAAAAUACAAGUAAUUUAAAUAGGAAAGGAAGAAGUGAAAUUAUUCCCGUUCUCAGGUAAUAUGAUGCUAAACUCAGAACAUUCUAAAAGUUCCACCAGAAGACUUCUGCACCUGAUAAAUCCAGCAAAGUAGGAGGAUACAAAACUUAUAAAUAUACAUAUAUAUGUGCAUAUGCCACAAUGCCACCCACUAUUCUGUGUAAUUCAUACACACCAACAAUAAAAAUUAUAAUCAUGAAAAUUGUGAAAGCAUGAGAAAAUGUUUGCAAGACAAUACAAAGGGGAAAAUAGGAAAACAUACCAAAAUAUACACACUGGGGUUGCAAUUAUGUAAAAUGGGAUUAAAUCUAAAAACUAAGAUUCAAGUAAACCAGGAUAGUAGCAUGUCUAGAGUUACCUACUUAAUGCUGUUGAUUUAUAUUUAGGAAGAAAGUGAGAAAAAAAAAAUGUUUAAAACCAGAUUUUGGAGGAAAAGUAAUUUUUCCCUCUAUAAAAUAUGCCAUAUAGAGCAAAGUAAAUGUUUCAAUAUUAAGGAAAACAAUGCAUGGUCAGUGUAAAAGUCUCUUGAUGACUGAUGAUGUUUAAUUCUGUCACCACUAUCUCUGUACUGCGACAGGAAAAGACUCAUCCUGGUGUUCCAGAAAUCAAAAUACUUGGUACAAAUGGUUAGUUCUCCAGACACCUGGUUGGAAAUGAGGCAUCUCAGCCCAAGUCUCCAGUAACCUCCGAGGAGAGUGAACUCACUCCAGCAAACGUCAUGGCUAGAGCCCUGCACAGUUGGCCUGCUGGAGUCCUGCGGCAUGCUCUCAGGAAUGCAGUCAUUCCCCAGGGGCAGCUAAGGCAGAGAGGCUCCCAAGAUUAACCCCGGAGACAGCAGCAUAGUGAGAAACAGGACUGGAGCAUCCUAGGCUCCCACGUUGUUGUUUUUCUGGAUGUUGAAGAAAACAAGAAAAACGUUUAUUUCUGGUGUGAUUUUUUUUCCUCACAGGUUUCAGGUAUCAAGUGUCUGAGUGUCCCCAGUAUUUCAGGUUGUGGAGAUCACCUUGUCCUUUUUUUCUUCAAAAACAAUCAACUCAAGACUUGAGAGUCCCUGUGGAAGUUGCCCCAAAGUUCUCCCCUUCCUAAUAUAACCCUUCCCCAGCCAUUUCUGAGAUUCUCAGGAGGAGAGUAAAUUUUCAGGAAUUACACUUCCAAUCACCAUUGUUCCCAUUUUCUCUGAUAUUUUUUCUUCCUGCUGUUUUACUUCAUUGUACUAGAACCCCUUUUUAUCUUGUAGAAGUUAAGUUUUCUACUACUUCCAGAAGAUUAACUGACAUUUUGAAGCAUGAAACAUCCUGCAGGCCUUCACAACACAUCACUUAACAUUGGCUCUUAGAGGCUUCAGUUUCUCUGCUUCUGUCUCAGUGCAGUUUUGGGUAUUUCCUUGGUGACUACCAUUUCUUCUCAGUUGCAGCUUUCUGCAAUCUUCAUAGUACACAUAUAAAGCAAAUUUUUUCAUAUCUGUGGUUGUACACAAAUCAAAGUCACACCAUUAGUAUCUUCAUACAUAUACAUAGGGUAAUGAUGUCCAUCUCAUUCCACUGUCUUUCCUACCCCCAUGAACCCUCCCUUCUCCUUCCUCCCCUUUGCUCUAUCUAGAGUUCAUCUAAUCCUCCCAUGUCCCCCAACCCCCAACCACAUUAUGAAUCAGCAUCCUUAAAUCAGAGAAAACAUUUGGCAUUUGUAUUUUGGGGAUUGGCUAACUUCACUUAGCAUUAUCCUCCAACUCCAUCCAUUUACCUGCAAAUGCCAUGGUUUUAUUCUGUUUUAAUGCUGAAUAAUAUUCCAUUGUGUAUAUAUGCCACAUUUUCUUUAUCUAUUCAUCUAUCUAAGGGCAUCUAGGUUGGUUCUACAGUUUAGCUAUUGUGAAUUGUGCUGCUAUAAACAUCGAUGUGCUCUCUCUCUUUCUCUCUUUUUUUUCUAUCUCCUUUUAGUUUCUACAUUUCCUUUCCAUAUAGGGCCUUUUCAACCCACCUACUUGGAUUCACUCCAAAAGUUGAAGUUCUCAUGUCAAUUUUACAGAACAAUUUUGAUUUUUUAUUACCUCCAGCAUCUCUAAGAUCAUUUCCUGAAGUCUCCUAAAUAUGUAAUUGGCUGAGAAUUUACCAGUCAUCAAGUGUUGAAGAUUUUUUUGUUUGAUCAUUUUCCCCAAAUCCAUUUCCUUUUGUAUUUUAUUAUGGGUAGCAAGAAGAAACCAACAAGAACCUUUAGUGGUUUGCUUGGGAAUUUCCUCGGAAGGACAUACAGGUUCAUUAGUUACAGCACCACUUUCCCCAUGACUUCAGGACACAGUUCUGCUGAAUAUUCUGCUGCUGCAGAGUGACGUUCCCUCUUUCCUCCAUUUUCCAAUAACAUUUCCUCCUAAGUCCCACCAACAGGGCCUCUGAACAUUUGUAUUUCUGCCCCUUGUCUGUACAUGGCCAGCUGGUCUCUAAGAUGGGAUACAAUUUUUCUCUCUUGCUCCUCGUUUGCUUCUGAGUCUGUACUAACAGGUUCAUUAACACUCAUAUUUAUACUAACAAUCUGUUCAAGAGAAUCUAGCCUAUUUUUUUCCUUCAUCACAGUACUCAAAACUUCCUGCCUCUGCUCAUUGGCCAAUUCUGAAACCAUAGGUACAUUUUUAGGAAUUUGUUAAAGCAGCACCCAGCUUCUAGGUUUAAGAAUCUGUAUUAGGAUUCUAGUGCUACUGCAAGAAAUGAAUGCAAACUUUGUGUUUUAAACUGACACAAAAGCAUUAUGUUAUCAGUCUAUGGGUUAGAAAUCUGAUAUGGGUCUCACUGGGCUAAACAUAAGUUGUUAAGCUGCUGAGAGCCCUGUUUCCUUCUGGAGCUCCUCCGAGAAUCCCUUUAUUUGCCUUUUCCAGUUUCUGCGAUUGCUGGCAGCCUCCUCUUCUGAACCAGCAGUGCUUGGAGAGGGCUUUCUCAUGCUGCAUCACUUUGACACUGACUCUUGUGCUUAUCUUUCAUUUGUAAGGACUGCUGUGAUUACACUGGGCACAUGGGGGAUAAUAGAAGAUAAUAUCACCAACUCCAGGUCAGCUGAUUAAUAAUCAGUUUUAAUUUCAAGCUCAACUUGAAUUUACCUUUGCCUUUAAUUCACUUGCCAUGUAACAACAUAUCCACAGGUCCUGGGCAUUAGAAUAUAGAAGCCAUCAUUUGGCUUACUAUACUAACUGUUGCACAAUUUCUAGCAAAUUCUCAAUGUCUAAUAAUAAAUACUUGAUAAAUGUAAAUUGAAUACCUAUGCAUCUGAGGUUAAGCAUUGCAAAUGCGAUAGAGAAUUAAAAAUAUAUGUAUCUUGUCUUCAUGAAGUUUACAGUCUAGCAAAAGAUUUGGUCUAGCAAGGGAUGGUAGAGCACAUCUGAAUACUAGCAACUAGAGAGGCUGAGGCAGGAGGAUUGCAAGUUCAAGGCCAGCUUCAGCAACUACGCAAGACCCUGUCUCAAAAAGAGUGGGAGGAUGUUUGGGGAUGUAGCUUAGUGGUUAAAUGCCACUGGGUUCAGUUCUCAAUACACACACACACACACACACACACACACAUAAUUUAAACACACUGAAGUUAAGCUUUUGGUGGCAAAACAUUCAGAGAAGGUACAUAUUCUAUGAAAGGUUGCUGAGAGGAACAUUUGAAAAGGAGGAAAUAUCUGAUCCACUUAAAGUAUGAAUUAGACAGAAAAGGAGGGCCAGAUUUAUGAAAGAGGAAAUAAAAGAAAAUUCGAGCUAAAUAAUUGGCAAAAGGGUACAAAAGUGGUGAAAAGAAAUUCUGUCCAAGCCAUCAUUAGCAAGAGCCUUUAAAUUGCAUUAAAUAAUUUAGUCUAUUUGGUACACAAUGUGGACCACUUGCGUAGGUUUUAAUCUUUGAAAUCAGAUGAACAGAUUAUCAUUUCAGAAUUGUCUCUUUAGAUGUACACUAGGGAACCUAUUGAAAAUGCCUGUUAUAUGGAAAAUAAUUAAAAUAUGGGAAAUUAUUUAUGAGUGUAAAGUUAGAAAUCCAAUACAAAGUAACUUAUAAGUGGAACUAAACAAUAAUGAAGGUACUUCAUGCCAAACCUUGUUGAAUUGAACUUUAAAUCAGAAUUACAUUUUUGGGGGGUGCGCAAAGCUUGUUUUAGAAAAGAACAGUUGAAAAUCCAUAAGGUCAUUAUCUGGGACUAGGAAAAGUGAAUGAGGAGAAACACAAUGAAGUUGAGUUGAGCAAGAGAGGCUUCAAGGAAAGACACUUCUCUCCUUCCUGGGUGUGCUGUUAACUGACAGGUUAAUGACAGGCAUCCUCUUCUGGGAUUAUCUAAGAUGCAGGCAGGUGCUUUACCCAAGGUCAUGCUCUGGCCUGAGACAGCCCACCUCCAAUGACUAGUCCAGGCAGGGUGCAUAGACACACACAUUUUGCCCCUAUUCGGGACAACCCAGCUUGGUCUUUUCAGCUCCAGAGUUCCCUAUGUGUCUGGUGGGGUCUCCUGUGAAGCUGGUGUUGCUGUUCAGUCUCCCCCUCUGCUCAGCCCGGCUCCCUUUCCAUCUCUUACAGAAGUGUGGAUACGAGGGUGCUCCCUAGGAAACAUUUGGCACACUAAAUUAGGAAAUAAGUAUACAAUGGUGAGAUUCAACAAAGCCAAAAGGUGACUCACUAAAAGAUCAAGAAAAUGCAGAAAUGCUUGCCAAAUUUGGUUUAAAACUGAAAAGAGGUUAUUUAAAAAAUUAUGAAUAUAAUGGGGCCAUAUAUUAAGAGUAAACUUUGCAUCAAUGAAUAUGAAUGCAUUGAUUAAAAUAAGGAAGAUUCUUAUAGAUUUAAAGUUUGCCAAAUUUGACUCAAAAAGAAAUUUAAAAACUUUAUCAUUUCUAUAAAAAUUAAAGAACUCAAACUGAUAAUUUACAAUCUCAUUACAACAAAAACACUGGGUCAGAUGGUUUUCUGGAUAAGUUUUAUCAGAUGUUCAAAGAAUAAAUAAUUCUCAUGUUAAUUAAACUCCUCCAGGAUAUAUAAAGGGAAUGCUUCCAAACUCAAUUUCUGAGACUAGAACAAUCUUGAUAACAAAACCUGGUAAAACUAAAUACAAAAUAAAUACAAUUACAAGCCAAAUCACUUUUGAAUUCAGAUAUAAAAGCUGAACAAAACACCAGCCUAUCUAAUCCAGUAGCAUAUCAAAAUGAGAACAUCUCAUGACCCAAUUCUGUACCUAAGGUAAUCAAGAUUGGUCUAUCAUUAAAAAAAUCAGUGUAAAUGAUUUACCAUGAUAAUAGAUUAAAGGGAAUAAAUCCUAUGAUCUCAGCUGAUACAGAAUAUCAUUUGAAAAUUUUCAACACCCAUUCAAGACAAACUUCACAAACUACAAAAGAGAACAUUCACAACUUAAUAAAGGACAUUUACUAAAAUCCAACACAAACAUCAGGUUAAGAAUUGUUUUUUUAAAAAAUCUAUAAAAGACAAUUAUGUCUUAGGAUGGUGGCCUGUGUUUUGGUGGCACUAGACAGAAAAAGAUAUAAAGCAAUUAUUAUCUUGAAGCAGGAUGCUAUCUCAUCACACACAUUUUUGAGGAAGCACCUCACCUAGGGCUUUGCACAUAAAAGAAAAUGUCUCAAACAUGCAUAUUGACCUAUGGAUAAAGAAUGUCAUGAGAAUUGCCACCAUUUCAGAGUAGUGUGUUUUGGAAAUUCUAACAGUCUUCAGAAGAUUCUUGCUUGAAGAUAUCCUCUGUUCUCAAUCUAUCCAAGAAUGCACUAUACCAAUUAUUGUGUUUUUUAUAUUCAGCUACCAAAAGAUCUUCUUUGUCCUAAAACGUAAAUUAAGAGUUUUUUCAGUAUAAAUUUGUAAAUACAUUUUUUAAUUAGCACUCAUAAUAAAAGAUUGCUCUAGCCAUAUAAAUUUUCUUCUAGUGAUUAACAAAUAUUGGGAACACAUAUAACCUUAAAGGACAAUACAAGAAAGAGUAGGAAAAUCACUUUUUAAGGCAGGAAGUUUCUAAGCUUUGACCCUGCAUUGUUAAACAGGGACGUGACCUUGGAUGAGAUUCAAAAUUUGGGGUCCCUAUUUUCUACUGGGAAAAGUGCUACAUGACUUACUCAUUCAUUCAACUUAAGAACUUAUGUGUCAGACAUUUUGUUCCUGUGCUUGUUACAUAGGAGUUGGGGAUAGGCAGUGAUAGGCAAUAUGAAAGUGUAUUUUGAGUCUCCACUUGCUGUACAGGGGUUCAGGGAAAGAGAGAAUUCAAUAGUCACUGAUUUUCUAAAUAAGUCUUGUUUCCUAGGUGCUGGCACAAUGGUGGGUCCUCAAGGGUAUUGGCAAGAAUAGAGCUAAGUACUAAAGGCAACAUCAGGAUCUCACGCUUUCUUUGCAAUACAGUAAUACCUUGAUUAGAUAGGAUGGUAUUUUGUUUAGCUUUUUCAGCUCAAUUCAAAAGUGGAGAGAAGGAUGAAUGCUAGUCUGCCAAAAUUGUUCAUAUGACCUUGAUGAAGUUACCCAACUGUCAUCUGAUGGGAUCCUAAGAUUGGACCAGAACAAACCCAUGAGUGGAAGGAAUUUAUCUGGAAUGUGAGGAGAAGAGAGGGGCAGAGGAAAUUGAGCCAGAGAAAGGGCAAAGCAAUGAAGAGUGUCUGCAUGAGCCAUCGUGCCAAUGUGGGCCUCUGGCACUCAGUCCUUCUGGGGGUCAUCUGAGUAAAUAUGUAAACUUAUCUCAGAUUUGUCCUGCCCAGAGACAGACCAGCCCAAAUCCUUAUCCUUUAUUCUGUUCUCGCUGUGUGAGAGGUGUCCCUGUCCAUUCUGGGCUUCCAUGCCUGUGGACUGAGAAGUUCUUGACAUGAGAUAUUGUGGGCUUCAGGUGACCUCAGCACUGGUCUUUGGGGAUGUGGGACUGGAAUCCACUGCAUCUGCUAUAGUAAUUAAUCUCAUUCUUGACUUCCUGAUUUGUAAUACAAAAUAUAAUUUGUACCAUAGAGGGCAGUUGUGGGCAUUUAUUUUUUUUCCUAUCCAUUUUUUUAAGAAGAAAUGUUUUCUUUAAAUGCUUUAGAGUAGGGGUGGAGACCAAUGAAAAUAUGCAGCUGUUUGGUUCUCAUAGCACAUAAAUCCUGAGACCUGGGAAGCAGGAGUCAUAAACCUGCCUUGCCUUUAUAAUCCCCUUUGAGGAGGAUCCAGGAUUUUGAUAGGGACCUGAUGAAAGAGGCCAAGUAGAAAAGUUUGGGUUCACGGCAAAUGUUUACUUAACUGACACUUCAAAAGCAUUUACUGGAGAAAGAAGUUAGGUGAAUCAACAUCCCUCACCCAUAUCAGAAUCAUAGCCUGCGGCACUGAAUUCUGUUGUGCCUUUGCUAACCCAGGGCCCACAUGUUUGACAUCUGCUUGAGAAGUUCCAGGGCUGCCUUUCUCAUCCUGGUGUAGGAAGAGCCAUAUGAGGUGGCGUUAGUGAAAAGCAGUGGUUCUCAGACUGGAGAGUCCCAUGGGAUCACCUGGAAGGCUUUAGUAAAACACAGCUUGUUGGUUCCAUCUGAGUUUCUGAUUCAGUAAGUAGGAAAUGGGACCCCAGAAUUGACAACUCCAUUAUGAACUCAGGUGAUGCAGAUGUUGCUGAUCUAGGAACCACAUUUUGAGAACUAGUGGUUUUAGAGGAAGCUAGAACCUUAUGAAUGCAUUAAAGGCAUGGGUGGGAGUCACUAUGUGCACCACUGAGGGUUGGGGAAUGAACAUAAGAGGGUCCAGAUCCAGGCCAGCUUCUUUGUGGUCUUUGGAGAUGUCACUGUUGGUUCAUCCUCAAAAUGUUUGCUUCUAUUUACUUUCCAUUCUGUACUUCCCCCCAUUCUUAGCCCAUCAUAAACACACGAAUCACCCUUUCUUCAAAUCAGACUAGCCUUCCAAAACAGGUGUGUGCUUCCAUAGAAAGGGUGAAAAAAGCUAGACUUUGCACAGAAUAAGAUAAAGGACAAAAAGAGGAGGGGAAGAGAAGGAGAAAGGAAAGAGAAAGAAUAGGCAAUAAAUGAUGUUGUGGACAUUUGGCCCAAUGUCUAUGCUGCCUGCAUGUUUUCGUAUACUUCAGAAUGUUGAAUCCUUGCAAAUACUCUGCAAGACCUAUUAUCAUCUCUACAAGGAAACUUAAAUAGAUCCCGAAACCUGCCCAAGUGUAUGGAUUCAAACCCAAAAGGCUUCAAUUACAAAUCUAGUAAAAUUUCUACAGUUCUCUUUUUUUUUUUUUCAGAGUGGAAAUUAGAAGUUUAUUAAAGGACAGCAGAAAAGACUUCUCCCGGAGUAAGAAGGGGACCUAAGAGAUGGAAUCCCUCUACAGUUCUCUAUCCUCAGGAAAAUUGUGUUGAUAUGGAGAGUUUACAUGAAACUGGGAAGCAAAGUCAUGAACCUUUUUCCUGAGUAUCUGGAUUUGAAGUUAGUCCAGGAGUGCUUUUAGAUUGUGAAAAAUUGUGCUGUAAAUGGGUAAUAAUGAGUGUAAUGCAUUCCACUAUUGUCAUGUAUGUAAAAAUAAAUUAAUUAAUUAAAAAAGAUAAUGCUAAGUC